GGUGUUCCAAGAAUCGAAUGCACAAACAAUGGAUACUCUUUUCAGAAGACACUCUACGACACCGGAUCUAACGACAACAUAAUGGCCGCAGUCACUUAUCAGCUCUUGCAUGGAACCAUGCUCCUACAACCAAGAUACAUUAGCUUCAGACAAUUUUUAGGUCAUUGACAUGGGAGAAGACGAGUAUGAUCCAUCCACCAUCCUUGGAAGACCGUUCCUAAACACUAUCAAAGCCAUUAUCUAUAUUGGAACCGGAGAAUUCCACAUGCACUUCCUCUCUGAGAAGGUACGCCACUACUUUAAUGAUUCUAACUAUAUAGUUGAAGAUUCUAAGCAGGUCAGGACAAGAAGAAGACAACGCAACCGCAACCAGAGGAGGCAAAUCAUCAAGGACGGACGGGUAGACUAUGAAGGAGAAGUGAUAAGUACUGAAGACAUUCAACUUGAACAGAACUGUCCUGAGGAGACCGUAGCACCGAGUCAGGUGUGGAAAGAGAACAUAGUUAUACACAAAGAGGAGGCGCCACCGGAAUCACCGACUACGCCACCUAGCGAAUCCCAGGACGACUGAAAACAGAAAAUCCCGUUCGGAGGACUUAAAAACACCGAACGCCUUGCCAAGAGGUAAACUUGGUAGCUAUCCUUUUCCUUUCAAUUAUUUAAAAUAGUUUGCUUAGUUAAUCAGGUUCAUGCUAUCUUAAGAAGAAAAUAAAAAUGUUAAAAAACUGUAAGCCCCAUGUGAGUAGACGAGUGGCAUAAAACCCAUAAGUACAUUCACUGUGGUGGCAUAAAAAUAAAAUAAAUAUUUUUCUGCUCUAUAAAAAACAAAAAUAUAAAAACAGGGAGUAAUAUUUAUUAAGGAUUCUCAACAUGAUAAAGGCUAGAUAUUUAUGCUAACACUUAAUCAGUUCCACAAGCUUUGUUGUCUAUUUGAGCUCUACAGAAUUUAAGAAUCAAGAAGACUAGCAGACGGAGGACAUUCUAAUCGCUGUCAAAAUACUGCUGACUUUCAAACACACCUCUGCCACCUGCUAGCUACAUCAAGAGAAAUUACGUCAAAAUUCAGCUUGGGGGAGAGCACCCCCAUUUAUCUCGAUAAGUAUUUCUAUCUAUCUUUAUACUUAUACUAUAUUAGAAUAUAAAUACACAUAACUAUGAAAAACCAAAUAAAGAUUUUAUGCUUUGCUUAGUGUGUUUAAUAAAUAAAUAAAGUGGCUAUGCUAAUCUGUAUCUAAUAAAACUUAAGCAUGGAUAUGAUGAAUAGUUGCUCUGCCUAAUUUGCAAAUUUGAAGUUCUCUCUCAAGUUUAGAUAUAACUGUUAUAAUUUAAGGCUUGCUCUAGACCUAAACUUGUGGGAUGAAAACUUGAUCUCAAGUCUAAGUUGUUAACGGAUACGAUAUGGGAAGGUUGAGCUGCUGUUUAUCUGUUCCUAGAGAUGCUAGAAUUCUGGAGAAUUUUAUCUUUGAAAAUCUUUAAAAUGUUGCAUGAUGAGUUUCUGUAUGAUGAGAGUUUAAAUUCCUACCACAGCCAUAUAUACAUGCUUGCUAGACUUUGAGCCACACAUUUAUUAUUUACUGCUUAUGAGCAUUGAGUGUGGUCAAGCUGUGUAGACCCUUAGGAGCUUGUCAUGUGGUUAAAUCAAGAUUCACUUGCACGUUCACUCAUACAUGCUACUUCUACUCCGGAAGUACCAUCCACAUAUAUCUACUCAUUUCCAUCUCCACAUUCACCCAAAAAUUAUUCUACUCCUAAUCCGGGAGAGAAUAGCCAAAAAUAUUAUCCUAUCCCUGUUAUUCCCUGUGAAAUAAAUGCUCGAGUUAUCCUGGUUACUACCACUUGCUAUAUUAUUUAAGGAGAUGAGUGCUCUAAAAAAAAGAAGAAAAAAAAGAAAAAAAAAUAAUAUACGAGGAAAUAAAAAGGGGCAAGUGCCAGGAACCUCGAAGAAAAGAAAAAGUGAGACGAGAGGUAAAAAUGGACAAGUGUCCGACAGUAGAAUUAGGGGUACAAGAUACCCACCUGAGAGGAAAGAAAAAGAAAAUAUAGAGCAUCUCAUUCUCCCCAAAAAGGUUCAAAGUGCAAGAAAGGUAUGUAUCCCCUCAAAAGAGCAAAAGUAGAAUUAAACUUUCACCAUUAUUAUCAUCAUCAUCACCAUACACCAUUCAUUCACCACACAUGCACAUCUUGAUUUGACUUAUUGACUUGUUUCUCUGGAUCCAUGGUUUGACUAUGCAAUAAAUGUCUUGUAAGUAUGUAUUAGCUGUCUCCCACCUAUGAGCUCCAGAUAUCAAAACCUUAUUAGAAUAGGGUGAGCGAGAAGGCAAUAUCACUAUGCCUCAUACCAAAAAUACCACAUACUUUGAGAGAAGGCAUAUACCAUCAAUGCCUUGGUAAGGAUCCAGAAAUACCACAAGAGAGAGAUAUGAGAGAGUCAUACAAGGAAUCUCUGAGUUUUAUUUGAAAAUAUGCAAAAACCCCAGAGCUAUAGCUGAUCAAGAAUAAGAGACAUGGCACUUGACUAGACUGUUCUAUCUUUUAACCACUCAAGACAGAAGUGACGGUUACAAGUCCUAUGAAGUAGGUAAAGUAAGUAAGUUUUAAGUCUUAACAGUUUAUUCUAACUCAGAGAUGAGAUCUUGCUUAAAUGCAUGUGUACUUCUAAGAAAUGAAACCACUGCAGAAACUCUUGAGUUCAUCCUUGCUCAGGGACGAGCAAGAGGUAAGCUUGGGGGAGUUUGUUGACGGUCCUUAAGUAUCAAAUUUAAUUAUCAAUUAAACAAAGAAAAGGAUCCAAAUGAAAUCAACAUCUAGACUUAGGGUUUUAUCUGACAGAAUUCCACGAGUUUUGGUGUUUGUCUAUUUCUGCAGGGGGUUAUCAGAAAAUAAGGAAGAAAGGCCCACAUGUCGGGAAUACAUAGAGAUAUCAACCCACCGCGCAAUUUUCUACCAUCUAGAAGACUCCAGAAGCCACGGGAAGGAAGCGGAGCCCGAAAGGGGCCAGGCCCAGGGCGCCCGCCCUGAGGACCUGGGCGCCCGCCCACCUCUGGACUCCGUUCCGGACUCUCUUCGCACACGACGUUCCACCGACCUAUUGGAUCCAGAAUAACAUAGUACCACCUCGCCUAUCGACCCAAAAACGCAUAGAAGGGGAGGACUAUAUAAGGAGACCCCCUCUGGCCCCUGGAGGAGACAAGAAAUUAUCAUAGAGAUUGAGGGGUGCCCUCGAAGGAAAACCUCUUCUCUAAAUAAUAUUACUUUUUAGGCUUAGCAACCAAUGUAAAGUAGAAAUAGAUCUUCUAGUUUCUACUAGAUUGAGAGAGAUAGAGUGGAGGUAUGGAUCGGAGGAAGGCCGGCCUGUCGGUGUCUACUCCGAGUUGUACCUACGGGAUCAAGUCUCCUAACCCGAGGCUUGCUUCUAAGAUUCUUCAGUAAUUCGACUUCUAAUACUAGUAAGUUCUUGUUUUAUUGUUCUUUGGUUUAUGAGUUUACUUUAAUCCUCUUUCGGUUGAGUAUUAGAGUAAUCACUUGUUAGCGUAAACGUGAUGUUUAGGCUAGGGUACUCAUAGAUAUCCCCUGACUAGCUGGACCGUGGUAGUAGCGAGGAACGUGACAUUUCCGAGUUACCUUUGCAGAUCACAUCUCAUUAGCAGGACGGGUAGGUUUAUAGGUGCAGGUCGAACAUCCUUUGUAUUGUCUAGAUUCCGUGAGCCUCCCCAAUAGAACAGUAGAUCAUCCUUACUAAGGUUAGAACGAGACUACGGUUGCAGUCUUCUCUAUACAUCACUCACAUCGAGAGACAUUCUUUGUAGCCUAAAGGGAUAGUAGCAAUAGAUUUGGUUAGUCAGAUGCACCCUUUCUCCCAGUGGUAAAAAUAUAAAUACGAUACUGUGGAAAACCUCCCGGGUGAAAUGCUCACCGAUAUCCGUGCGCUUGCGGAUCAUUUUCUAAUUGCGUUACCAAAUAUCAACAAAUUUCUCUACUGCCAUCAAGAAUCAAAUUAGCUUUAAUAAAAUGAUUGAAUCUCAGUUAAAUCAAAUAGCUGCUGCUGUUCCUGCUACUAACCCCGGUAUACAAUCACAACCGGAAGGAUUAGAAUCUGCAAAUCUUGUAGACAUGUUUGAUAAAGGUAACUACUGGAGUAACCCGUUGCGGAAGUUACUAGUGACCAUCUGCCGGUCAAGAGAGGCGAUCCAGGACGCCCCAUCAUCCCGAUCUCCAUCGGGAUGGUGGACUUCCCAGAAGCACUCUGCGACUUUUGCUCCAGCGUCAACAUUAUUCCCAGGGUACUCUAUGAAAAAAUCUUAACAUAUCCUUUAUUAGAAACAACUAUGUGUUUGUAGCUUGCAGAUCGGACGCUAAGCUUCCCAAAGGGAAUAUUGAAGAACCUCUGUGUCCGAGUUGGUACCUUGUAUGCCCCAGCAGACUUCAUGGUGAUAGAAACCAUUAAUGAUGAGAGGGCACCGGUCAUCUUAGGGAGGCCAUUCCUAAACACCUUGGGAGCUGUCAUUUACGCUAGUGCUGCCAAGAUCAGUUUCUACAUCAAGGGGAGGAAGGAGACGUUUUCCUUCAAGAACAAGACUACACAAAUCUCAGAGCAAUCCCAACAUGAACCAAUGAAGAGGACCAACAGGAGGAACAGGAGCAAGCAAAUGUGGACCGAGUCAGCUAAGAUGGUCACUGCAGUUCAUGGAGGUCAAGAUCAUCGACUUAAGUCACCGUUCCUGACCAAGAAGGACGACCCGGUUUGCUAAGCAUCCAGUGCUCCAUUAAUGGAUACAACUUCUACAAGACACUUUGUGACACCGGAUCGGGCAUCAACAUAAUGGCCGCAGUCACCUAUCAGCUCUUGUUCGGAAACAUGCCCCUAAAACCGACAUACAUUCAGCUCCAGAUGGCAUAUCAGACAUUUCGAGAGGUUGCAGGUAUAGUAAUUGAUGUCCCUGUCAAAAGAGACGAUCAUUUUGUCCAUACAGACUUUCAGGUUAUCGACAUGAGAGAAGACGAGUACGAUCCACCCAUCAUCCUUGGGAGACCAUUACUCAACACCGUUAAAGCAAUCAUCUACAUUGGAACUGGAGAAGUCCACAUGCACUUCCCCUCUGAGAAGGUACGCCGCUAUUUUACUGACCCUAACUAUAUAGUUGAAGACUCUAAGCAGGUUAAGACAAGAAGAAGAUGACGCAACCGCAACCAGAAGUGGCAAAUCAUCAAGGACGGAUGGGCAGACUACGAAGGAGAAGUGGUAAGGUCUGAAGACAUAAAGCUUGAACAUAACUAUCCUGAGGUGACCGUAGCACCAAGUCAGGUGUGGAGAGAGAAGAUAGAUAUACACGAAGAGGAGGCGCCGCCGGAACCACCAACUACGCCAUCCAGCGAACCCCAGGACAACUGAGAAAAUGGAGAGUCCCGUUCGGAGGACUUAAAAACACCAAACGCCUUGCCAAGAGGUAAACUUGGUAGUUAUCUUUUCCUUUCAAUUAUUUAAAAUAGCUAGUUGAGUUAAUCAGGUUCAUAUCAUCCUAAAGAGAAAAUAAAAAUGUUAAAAAAAUAGUAAGCCCAGCAUAAAAUCCAUAAGUACAUUCGCUGUGGUGGCAUAAAAAUAAAAUAAAUAAUUUUUUCUGCUCUAUAAAAUGAAAAUAUAGAGAGUAAUAUUUAUUGAGGAGGCUCAACAUGAUAAAUGCUAGAUAUUUAUGCUAACACGUAAUCAGUUCCACAAAUCUUUGUUGUCUAUUUGAGCUCCACAUAAUUCAAGGAUCAAGAAGACUAGCAGACGGAGGACAUUCUAAUCGCUGUCAGGGUACUGCCGACUUUCAAAUACACCUCAGCCACCUGCUAGCUACAUCAGGAGAAAUUACGUCAAAAUUCAGCUUGGGGGAGAGCACCCCCAUAUAUCCCGCUAAGUAUUUCUAUCUAUUCAUAUACUUAUACUAUAUUAAAAUAAAAAUAUACAUAACCAUGAAAAACCAAAUAAAGUUGUGCUUAUAUAUAUAUAUAUAUAUCUUUUGCUUAGUGUGCUUAAUAAAUAAAUAAAGUGGCUAUGCUAAACUGAAUCUUAAUAAAGCUCUAGCAUGGAUAUGAUGAAUAGUUGCUCUACCUAAUUUUCAAAUUUGAGUUCUCUCUCUAGUUUAGACAUAACUGUUAUAAUUUAAAGCUUCCUCUAAACCUGAACUUGUGGGAAGAGAACUUGAUCUGAAGUCUAAGUUGUUAACGGAUAUGAUAUGAGAAGGUUGAGCUGUUGUUUAUCUAUUCCUAGAGAUGCUAGAAUUCAGGAGAAUUUUAUCUUUGAAAAUCUUUAAAAUAUCACAUGAUGAGUUUCUGUAUGAUCAGAGUUUAAAUUCCUACCACAGCCAUAUAUACAUGCUUGCUAGACUUUGAGCCACACAUUUACUUUUUACUGCUUAUGAGCAUUGAGUGUGGUCAAGCUGUGUAGACCCUUAGGAGCUUGUCAUGUGGUUAAAAUCAAGAUUCACUUGCACGUUCACUCACACAUGCUGCUUCUACUCCGGAAGUACGCAUCCACAUAUAUCCACUCAUUUCUAUCUCCAGAACCACCUAAAAAUAUUCUACUCCUAAUCUGGGAGAGAAUAGCCAAAAACAUUCUCCUAUUUCUGUUUUUCCCUACGAAAUAAAUGCUCGAGUUAUCUUGGUUACUACUAUUUGCUAUAUUAUUUCAGGAGAUGAGUGCUCUAAAAAAAGAUACGAGGAAAUAAAAAGGGGCAAGUGCCCGGAACCUCGAACGAAUAGAAAAAAAUGAGACGAGAGGUAAAAAUGGACAAGUGUCCGACAGUAGAAUUAGGGGUACAAGAUACCCACGUGAGAGAAAAGAAAAAAAUAUAGAGCAUCUCAUUUUCCUCAAAAAGUUUCAAAGUGCAAGGAAGGUAUGUAUCCCCUCAAAAGAGCAAAAGUAGAAUUAGACUUUCACCAUUGCUUUCACCAUUGUUAUCACCAUCAUCACCAUACACCAUUCAUUAGCCACACAUGCACAUCUUGAUUUGACUUAUUGACUUGUUUCUUUGGAUCCAUGGUUUGACUAUGCAAUAAAUGUCUUGUAAGUAUGUAUAUCUCCCACCUAUGAGCUCCAGAUAUCAAAGCCUUAUUAGAGUAGGAUGAGAGAGAAGACAAUGUCACUAUGCCUUAUACCACAAAUACUACAUACUGUGAGAGAAGGCAUGUACCAUCACUGCCUUGGUAAGGAUCCAGAAAUACCACAAAAGAGAGAUUUGAGAGAGUCAUAAAAGGAAUCUCUGAGUUUUAUUUGAAAAUCUGCAAAAACUCCAGAGCUAUAGCUGAUAAAAAAUAAGAGACAUGGCGCUUGACUAGAUCGUUCUAUCUUUUAACUGCUCAAGACAGAAGUGACGGUUACAAGUCCCAUGGUGAAAGGUAAAAUGAGUAAGUUUUAAGUCUUGACAGUUUACUCUAACUCAUAGAUGAGACCUCAUUUGAAAGCAUGUGUACUGUCAACUUUAAAGGUAUUAGAACAACUUCUUAUCCAUCGCUGAGAUUAUCCUUGCUCAGGGACGAGCAAGAGGUAAGCUUGGGGGAGUUUGUUGACGGUCCUUAAGUAUCAAAUAUAAUCAUCAAAUAAAUAGAGAAAAGGAUCUAAAUGCAACCAACACCCAGACUUAGGGUUUUAUCUGACAGAAUUCCAUGAGUUUUGGUGUUUGUCUAUUUCUGCAGGGGAUUAUCAGGAAAUAUGGAGGAAAGGCCCACGCGUUGGGUUUACAUAGAGAUAUUAACAUGCCGCGCAAUUAUCCAACAUCUAGAAGAGUCCAGAAGCCACGGGAAGGAAAGGGAGGCGGAUCGGGCCCGGGGGCAGGGCGCCCGCCCUCCCCCCUUGGGCGCCCGCCCUGGCCUAAGGGCCAAUCACGUCCAACUUUGCGGAUCAUGCUCCACCGACCUAAGGGAUCAAGGAAAACCGUGCGAUUAAUGUCAGUUUGAUCCAACGGCCCGCAUUCAUUUGGAAGGACUAUAUAAGCAGACCUCCUGGCCCCUGGAGGAGAGCACCUUUGAACCCUAAUUCAUUUAUCCAUCUCGGGAGAAGAAGCCUCUGAUCAAGCCCUAGAGCCACCACAUCAAUAGAUCUCUAGUUUAGCAUAGCUACAUAGGAUUAGAACUAGAAGGAGUCAAUCUUCGAUUGGUUUCUGGAUCUGUCAAGAGGAUUCUUGGUACUUCCUCUAUUGUUCUUCAAUUGUUCAUCUUUGUUCUUCAAUAAUAUUAAUAUGACUUUGUUCUACUUUAAUAUAUUGAUUAUGACUUUGCUCUACUUGUUAUUAUUUGCAAUUAUAUUGUUCUUAGUUUAUCAUAGUUAUAUGCUUGGCUUAGUUAGAUUGUAAUUAUAUACACGUUUAGGAUCGUAUAGCGUUUAUCCAUGUGUACAGUGGGUAAAUGAUAAGUAUUGUGUAGGCGUGGGGCCUAUACCGUAUUUAUCUGCGAUUGUACCCUAUAUGCCAGAUCGUGGGGUAGUUCGUGGUAGUGACAGCUCCAUUGAUUCUUAUAUAGUCCCCAUCUCGUGUAUAGGGCUGGUAGAGCAACAUUAUUACAGGGGAGUGAUUGCUCUGUUUCUCAUCUUCCUUGAUAAUAUCACUAUGCAUGAGCGUAGUCCUGUCUCGCAAUGAUUGCCAAGUAUAAUUGAACUAACUAUGAUAUGCUAGACUUUAUAGUUAAGAAUAACUUAGGAAAUAUUCUUGUAGUUCGUCCUAAUUCCAUGCUAAUGACUUGCUAGAAUAUCUAUUGAGGUGCUUAUCAUUAUUUUAUGUGGCUAAGUUAUGCUGAUCAGAUUAAUUAACUUUGUCACCAUUCAUACUUUAUCUAUAUCUUAUGUGACAUUUAUCCUUGUAUGAAAGAGAUAGAUAAAUGCUCUCAAUUAUACAUGCAAUGAUAGAUACUCAAUUCUAUAUUUCAUUCCAUAAUCAACAUUGAUGUUUAGCAAUCCCUUCCUAGUGGUAAAAAUAUAAAUAACGAUACCUGGAAUACUUCCCGGUUAAAAUGCUACAUCAGUAUGAAUCUGUGCGCUUGCAGAUCUCAUUUAUUUUUCAUUCAGAAGAGAAAUUGCGUAUUUCAAUACCGCAUCUCUCAUGUCAUGCUGGGGAUGACAACUUGGCUUAAGUGGUAUGAGGGAUAGGUUUGGCAUUUUUGGCGCCAUUAUCAGAAUUAGAAAACUAAGUCUACUUUUGGUAGUGACGUUAAGAAUGCCCAACACCAGCUCCACUUAUAAUCAGCCUUGCAUGAUCCUUGGUGUCUUUUGUGUGUUGUUAGACGGGUAAGUCUAGUUGAGUACAUCCUCGUACUCAGGGUUUAUUCCCACUUGUUGCAGAUGACAUCUUCUAUGACGGAUUCUGCAAGACCUGUCUCCACCCCACUGGGGAUGAGGACUAAACCGUUAGGCGCGGUUCUCUAACGACUUCAUACCUAUGAUGCUUUUGGUGGAUUUGAUGAAACCCUGUCUGUAACAAGAACCAGUAAUGUGUUGUGAAAAUUAUGUUGCUUCUGCUACUCGAACUUGUGUUGUAAUAAAUUAAGUAAACUCUGAUGUGGUGUCGCUUCAUCGACAGUGAAUGAACUAUGUAACAAUCGUUGUGUUGUGCUGAACUAUUACGAUCUUGGUUCGUUGCAAAGAUGGUUUGAAAUCCUUAAUGGUUUGAGUUCACUACUGGCAUUAUAUGGGCUCAAGUUUGGAAACUUGAUUACCUACGCGAUCGUUUCUACACUUGAACUCUUAUAAUUUGGUCGGUUCUGUGACAGCCUUGAUUCUCUAUGGAUCCAUUAGUUGACUUUAUAUUACAUGCAUUGCAAGUAAGCUUAUCCUUGUUAUUAGCACUCCUAUAAGCUCUACCAUAUAUAUACCUUUAGCUAUAGGAGGCAUAACAUUAUUAAUGCCUCAAGAGAGAACCAUAAAUACAACAUACAUUGAGAGACUUAAGGUGUCAUACAAUUAAGUUGUGAGUUUUAUUCUGAAAACUAAUAAAAACUCUGAAAUAAUGGUUCUACAAAGAAUUCGAGACAUAGUGCUUAACCUGUUCUGUGUUCUGAUUACUCAAGGCUCAUGCAAAACAUGUAAAGCCCCAUGGUUAAAGGUAAAACGGUAAGUUUGAAGGUUAGAGCAAGUAUUGACUGAUCCAGAGGAGAAUCUUUGUUUGGGAGCAUGUGUACUCGGAAAGAAUGAAAACAUUAUAGCAACUCUUGAUCCAAAUACAUAUACUGCUUAGGCUUGGUUUGCCAAGGGGCUGGCAAAAGGUAAGCUUGGGGGAAUUGUUGACGGUCGAUAACGUCAACUUUUAUUAUAACUUUAGACCUGAAGUAAAACAUGAAAACACACUAGUAUAGGGUUUUAUCCGACAAUUUCCAUGAGUUUUGUAUAUUUUGUAUUUUCUAGGGUGAAUUUCAAGAAAGCUGAAAAGAGGGACUCUAGUGCGAAAUAAACAUGAAAACAUAUUCACCAUGGGAAACAUCACGAGAAGACUGAGGAAGGAUCGAGAAGGCACCUAGAGCAACGGGGGGCCUAGUGGCUGCUAGGUGGGGCCGGCCGCCCCGCCCUAGCACCGGUCGGUGCCCCCCUUUAGGGUUUCGCCCCCCUCUUCCGAAAGCUUUCUCCACCGCCUCUCCUGAUGCAUCUCGGCCCUUGGUUAAGUCGGUUUGAUCCUACGACGCACGCGCAUCCCAUCGGACUAUAAAUACAUUGGUAGACCCCCCGUGGAGACAACAACCAUUUCAUUAUUCAUCAAGGCCUCAAUCCAUCAAACAUCAAGCACCUUCAAGUUCAUCAAGAGCCUUCUAGUUCAUAAUUCUAGUUAGUUAGAUUAGAAGUAGAGUAGAUCUAGUUCUUUAUUGGGCUCUGGAGCCCCUAGCGUUGGUCUAGAGCACAAGAGUUUGGUAAUAGAUCUAGUUCUUAAUUUAUAGUAUUCAAUUGUAUAUUAUGGAGACUUUAUUCUUAAUAGAUUCAUAUGUUCUUAAUUGCAUUAGACAUUGUCUACUUUGAUUAUAUGUCUAGGAUAGUUGGUUUGAUCUUAUUGAAUUCAUGUAAUUGCUCGUAUAGCGUUUACCUAACCGAUCAUUGGGUAGAUGAUAGACAAUAUGUAGACGUGGUGUCUAGAUAUCUUGUUUGUCUGCGAGUGCCCCCUAACGUGGCGGGACAUAUGGUAGUCUGCGUAGGUGACAGCUACAUUAGUUCCUCUGUAGUCCAACCUAUUGGCAUUUCUUAGCGUCACUACUAAGAAUAGACCAUAGAUCCAUCCAUAGCAAUGGCACUAGAAAAGUUGGGUGUUGGCAUACCGUAACUAUCACUACAUCAGAGAGAUAACCCAAGGAAACUUGAGGGCGCCGACCUUAGCGGUGCAGUCUGGUAACAAUAAUUAGGAAUCCCGGAUUGGCCUUCCUAACUACCCUUACUUGAGAUAUGCAAAGCUGUGGCACUACGCUUGAAAGUGCACAAGGAUUACAAUCUUAAGUAACGGUACUUAGGUACGCCAAUCGAUAGUUCAUGAAUGAAGAAGUAAUGUAACUACAAGCGGACAGAACUAUCAUUGUAGCAUUUCAACCCGUGAGUAUUCAAGGGUGUCGAAUUUAUAAUUCCUAUAGGAAGGCAAAGGGAUCAAACAUGGUGUAAACAUGAUUACUUAUUGAAUGCUUGGUAGACAUAGAGUAAACAAGAAUAACCAUGAUAUUCAAGAUAGUGGACACGGGUUGGAUCAACCUCAAGGAUAAAAUAGAAGAGAAAUAAUAAAUAAAGAAUAAGGAAGUGAAUCUACUUGAGCAGGCAUGGGUCACAUAUAACUAUGCAUAGAACUGUUAGUGGAUCAUCUAAUUAGCAAUAAAUAGAGUCAGAACUAAGCCUGAGAUGAGGGGAGAUCCCCGCCGCUGGAUACCCAGCCGAUAGAGACUUUACAGAACUCCUAUCAGAAUACCUGAUCAUGGGGGAAUGCAAAGGAUGACAGAGCUAUCACUACCCUGCCACCUACCCCUCCACCCGAAAGAUAUGCGCACAUCCACUGAUUCCCGCAUACAUGAACACCAUGUUCACGUAAUUGCAAACAACUCCUAACCACCAUGGGCCCCACCCCUUCGAAGUGACCGGCUAGGCUAAGAGCAACCAUCACAUCACAGUGAACCAUCAUCCCAUUCCUAAUUCUAAUCCUAAUCAUACUAAUCUGAUGAACAAUGAAGAACAAUGAUGAACAUAUCAAAAACAUAGCACAAAAACUAAGAACUAGUUCAUAUACUAUGAACAUGAUAAGAACACAAUCAUACUCUAGUUCAUAUGCAUAAUCAUAUAAAGAUGAAUAGAACUUGCUCAUGCAAGAAGAUUGAAUAUUAUUCAUACCAAGAAGAUCCUUUCUUCCAAGGAGACAAGGUCUCCUUGCUAGCUCUUGCCUUGCUCUACCAGUAAUCUAGACUAAAGAUACAAGUGAGAGGUGUGAGGUAAAUUGACUCCAAAUGAUGUGUGUGUUGAAAAGGGGGGAGUGCCUCACUUUUUAUAGUGAAACUAGGACAGUUCAUCGCAUCUAAAUUUUGUAGUAGGUGAAACUGUCCUAUGCAUGGCAGCAUGCAACCGUCUCAGAAAGAUGGGCCCGGUUUGCCGCCUCUAGGGGUGCGCCCGCACCCUAGGUGGGUCCCCCUGGUCACUACCUUCGCUUGGUCAGUUUGGAUCUGGUCCUGGAUCUCUCCUGUGGUUACGAUCAGGCCUAGUUCUGCAUUGUUCGGACCUUUCUCUAUUUUCUUGGUUUGCGCAUUUCUAAAUACGUCUUUUGGUACUUUGCGCUUUCUUCGUGGUAUGGCACGUUUCCACUUGUUGCACUAUAAUUUCUAACACCCCAGUGUUAUGGUUGCAUAAAUCACAUGCAUAACAUGAGCAUCAUCAUCUACUCAAGCAUUCCAUGAUCAUCAUCUACCUUGAGCCAUGUCAUUUUAUGCAAAAAUGUGAUUGAAGUUGUCUAAAUAGGCCUCCUAGACUUGUGUUGGUGUGUACCAUGCUUGUGUUUGUGCUCUAUGCCUUGGUAAUUAGUUUAUCUAUGCUUAACUCAACAUUAGGAACAAUGUUCAUGUUGAUCAUUUCUCCAAAAUAAUCACUUAAGACAUACUUACACAAAUAGGGCCGAGAAACCUCUUCUGCUUAGGCUUUUAAAAAGUGUUUCAUAAAAUGUUUGCAUGUCAAAACUCUCUACAGCAAAGUUGUAGCAAAUUUUAUAAGUAACAAAAGUUGUUUUAUGGCCAUCUCAUGAAAAUGAUCACAACUAGCUCUAACGUGACCCACAAGGCAGAUUUGGGGCUGUUUCCAACACUUAGAAAAUUUUCUAAGUCCAGGAUCACAACAGUUUGCUCGAGGGUAUGUUGCUUAGCUUCCGGUUUGAAUUCUAGACCGAAUCAGACCUUGAUCAUGUAAGCAAUGUUGGAGUAUUCAUGUAGCUCUCCAGCAUAGAGCAAUUAGCCAGUAAAAUCAUCGAGUGGUUUAGGAGAUAAUCGCAGUGCAAGAUCGGGUUUCAGUCUGGUUCAACGACUGAAUGGAGUCGCCGUAAGUUCAGGGGAGCUCGCCGGUGACGCCAUGUGUCUGGACCCGUGGCAUCCGUACGUCGCCGUUGGUCCCGCUCGCCAGUCCUUAGCGCGUCCUACAGCUCGCCACGGCGCCCCGGUCGCGUGGACAGCUCCAUUUCCCUCCCGGUCUGCUCCCUCUCGCGUCUGUCGUUGUCUCCGCGUCGCCGCCGUUGCUUCGGCGAGCUCGCGCGCGCGUGUCUCCGUGUCUCUGGCCAAGCAACUCCGCCCAGCGCUCCGCUAGCUUCCCCGCAACACCGUCGUCGAGUUGGCUGUAGCUGCCGAGCCUCGGUAAGCCCGCAUUGCCUUCUCCGUCGCGAGCUUACCUCGCCGGAGCUCCGCCAUGGUCACCGACGUCGUGGCCAGGCCUCUGUAGUCCACCAUUCCUCCUUGUUCUUGUCCCAAAAGCUCCGCUAGGUCAUGCUGAUGCUCGUCCGCAUUCUCUUCCACUCUGUCUCCGGCCAGAGACGCCGGCGGUGGGCCGCGCACCACCGCCGUGCCGCCAUUCGCGAGGGCGAGGUACCUAGGGUCCAGUAGAGUUAGGGUUUCGGGUACCGCUCGAUGCGGAAUGGAGUGGGGAGCACGAUGGUGCCCUUGGCCAUUGCCGAGACCUCGCCAUCGACGAGAUCCCCGGCGGUCAAGUCGCGCCUCUGCUCUCGGGUCACUGGCAUGUGGGGUCCGUUGACUCGCGGGUCCCCCUGUCAGCCUCUCUUUCUCCUUUGUUUAAUUUAGGGUUUGAGCUGUUUUUGUAAAAAUCAUAUCUCUACUUCUGGUGAUCCAAAAAUUGUGAAACCGAUUUUGUGGUGUUCCUUGAGAUGGCUAGUUUUUAAUAAAAAUAUAAAAUGAACCAUGUUUUCUAGGAAAAAUAUUUACUAGGAUUUAAUCUUGUUAUUCAUGAGUAAAUUCAUAUCUCUUGUUAUACUCCUCCUUUUGCCAUGAAAUUUUUAUGGUAAUCUCUGUGUGGUGUUAGAAUGCUAUGAUAAAUAUUUCAUGAUUUGUGGAGUACUGCGUCUGUGAUAUGUAAUUUAUGAUUAAGAUAUGGCUUGUUUUCUUAACUAAAACAUAGUAAAUAAUUGAUGCUUAUGCUGGUGCUCUACUUUUGUGUGACACUUCUUUAUGGUAAUAUUAGCAUGUAAAUAAUCUGAAAUCUGCUGUUUGGCACCAUAUAAGCCAUGUUCCUUAAUUUAUGAAAUAAGUACCUUGUCACAUGUUAAAUGCUUAUCUAAACAUUGAUAUGUGCAAUUGCCCAGAAAAUUUUAUGGUGAUGUCCAUCUGCUAUGAUUGUGCUUGUGUAAUUUUUGUAGAUUUUUCUGAGCACUUUUGCUAAGUAUCUUGUAAUUAUGUCCUUUUAUAGAAUUAAAUGGAUAAAUGCAUUGUUAUUAAAUAUCUAGGGGUUAACAUAUAAUGUUCUGGUUAUCUUAUGUGAUACUUAUGCUUAUAAGCCAUGUGGUUGAUACUGUUUAUGUUUUGGCUAUGUCAUCAAAUAAUUAAUUGGUGGGUUAAAAGCUGUUCUGGACAGCAAGGGAGUAAUUUAACUUUUGCUUAAUGAUAACUGGGUUUUCUGGGAAACUUGUCUAAAUCAAAGUUGUUGUAAACUUUACGAACUAGCUGUGGUUUAAAUUUGGGAUCAUUUGGUCCAGUAGUUUUGAAGUUAUGAUCUUUCCAAGUUAGGUUCCAGAAAUAGGUGUUCUCUGUUUUUCUGGGACAGAACCUAGAACUUUGUUUAUAAGGCUUGCUUAACUUAUGAAUCUUGCUAUGAUGUUUAAAGAUGGUUUGUAGACAAUUUCAUAAGCUUUCCAGAAUGUCCUCACUCAUGUGUGUUGGAUCUGCCUAGCAUUAGUUAUGACCUGUUUACUGAGCUAAUUCUGAUAUGUGAUGCUUGCUGUUAUAGUAACUUGGUAGGCUUUGGCUAAGUUAACUUAUCAUCUUGUGUGAACUUGUUAUAACCGUUACUCCGUAAAUGAGUGUCCAAUGAGUCCAUUAUGUUAUCAAGCAUUCAUCUUUUAGUAUGUACAUCUUCUUAUUCAUCGAGCAUGCAAUAGGUGCAUCGGACGCGACCGCCUCCUUCGAGUUUCAAGUGAACCCCGAAGACCAGGAGGGCAACCCGGAGGUGGAGGUCCAGCAAGCCGGACUCGAGGAGCCCGAAGAAGAAGUUGAGUGCCCUAACCACGAGCCAGCUUCGUCGUGAAAGGCAAGCCCCGGAGCAUUCUAAGUCUCCCUUUACUUUCGAAAGUUUACUUAAAUAUGUUAUAUCUAUUGAUGCAUUAAGUAUAGGAGUUGUGAAGAAACCUUUGCUGCAUUUUACUCAAUCCUUGUCCAGAUAUCUUACCACUACCUGGUUCUAUAGUUAGGAUCGAGUAGCAGCUUAGCCAGCUUUAAUCGGUAGAAGUCGGGUGAUUUCCUGUCACCUACGCGAUAUAGGGUUAUGUCAGAUCCCGAUGGACUAUAUGUGCUAUCGUGGAUGGAACCUGAUUAAAUUGACUUAAGCCGGGCGGAGUUUUGCAAGGUUGUAGUAACUCCGUCUGUGGCAGCUAAGGACCAACCGUUGUACGUCCUCUUGUCAUGUUGAACGCAUGCCUGACACUUAGUUGGCCGGAUAACUAGUUCCGACCGCGAAGCCGAGUAGUAUUACUCAGGUCGGAAGACCGGCAAGUAUAAAGUGCGCACUAUCGGAGGAAGUGCUGUGUGUGGGGGACCAUUGGCGUAAGCCCAAAGGCAGGUGAGUUAAAAUUCCUGACCUCCCUGGCAGAGUGGUAGCCCUGGGAGUGCGGCGCUGAUCGGAGCCGCGAUUCCUGAGUCGUACCAAAGGUGACCCGUUAGCUCUCCGACGGGGGAUGCUUGGGCGAGUGCUAGGAAUACCCCUCCAGCUGGAUAGGAAUUCGAUUCGAAUCGCCGUCUCUCCCGGUUAGUGAGAACUUGACAGAGCAGCGGCAAACGUAGCAUUCACUAAUGAACUUGGUUCAUGAUAAUGAUGAUAGCAAGGAAGAACAUAUGAUGAAUUUGAUAUGGUUAUUAUUGCUUGUAAUAAUCAAGUGAAGUGCUUUAGUACAGGUGCUAAUCUAGUGGUAGGCUGAUGAUGAUUAAAUAUGAUGCUCUCACAACAUUGUAGUUAUAAUUUAAGCUUUUGGCAAAUGUUGAGUCAACCAGCUCCACUUGAUAUUAGCUUUGCAUGAUCCUUGGUGUCUUUUAUGUUUUACUAGAUGGGUAAGUCUAGCUGAGUACAUUCUCGUACUCAGGGUUUAUUCCCACCUGUUGCAGAUGAUAUCUUUUAUGAUGGCUUCUGCAAGACCUGUCUCCAUCCCGCUGGGGAUGAGGACUAACCGUUGGGCAUGGUUCUCUAACAAACUCGUACCUGCUGCUUUUGGAUGGAUGGUGUACGACCCUGGCUAUAACAAAAACUUAUGAACUGAACUUUGGACAGUGUGUGUAAUUAUUUUGCUUCCGCUACUUCAAACAUGGGUUGUAAUAACUAAGUAUCUCCGAUGUGGUGCCGCUUCGACGGCAAUGAAUGACUAUGUAACAUUCGCUGUGUUGUGUUGAACUAUUACGAUCUUGGUUUGUUGUAAGUUGGUUUGAAGUCCUUCGUGAUUUCAGUUGACUACCGAGAUUAUAUGGGCUCAAGUUUGAAAACUUGAUUGCUUGUCGAUCGUUUCUACAUUUGAACUCUUAUAAUUUGGUCGGUUCUGUGACAGCUGGUAUCGGAGCAUGCUCAGCAUUAUAAAUGCAGCGUUUGUGUAUUUGAAAACAAAGAGUUUUUAAAUAAAAUUUUGGAAAUCAACACUUAAUUAUGCCAGUGGUUGAAUCCUCCUUGCCCAUAUAAGGACUAUAGGUGGCUAUUUAAGUACUGACUUGGGGGGUUUUAUUUAUGCAUCUCCGGCAGUACUCAGGUAUGGAUGUGUGAUGACCGCACUAUGCUACCCUAUGGUCUAAUAGUAGAGGUAGCCUUCAAAUGUGAAUUAGCCACAUAUGUCACUAGAUUUAAAUUAUGCAACGUCGCACCUACGCUCUGGUAAGUAUGAGCUGUGAGAGCAUGAUCGUCCAAACGGCGGUCUAGGAGAGUGUUCGCGGUGGUUUUCUGGAGUGGUUACAUGUCAAAACCAUGGAACCAUGAAAGAAACUUAAUUGGGGAGUAUUUAAUUUCUCGGGUAGCUGUGGUGUUAUUGUUUGUGCAUGUUGGGCAUGUCCAAGCAAUGUGCACUUAGUUUACUGCUUUCUUGAGUGAUAUUGGGAAUUGUUGGGCUGAAAUGAAGUUUUCUGCAGGUACUCUAACCACGCACGUGUAAUUCGCUAGAUAUCGUAUCGAGAGACGAAUGUAUGCCACCGUAUAUCCGUUAGAAUAUUAAUUUUCUAAUUUUGUGAGGACGUACGGUUCAUGCAUGCAUCAUGUCGCAUUCAUACAUACAUUCUGUCUACUCCUUCCCUUACCAUGUCAUCCCUUUUAAUUAAAUAAAUGUUGCUUAAAAUUAAUCCUCUCUUACCCAUGGUAUUCCUAUUCCUUUCCACAAAUGGACGUGCCCGCUUCACCUCACCCAAGUGACACCUUUCUGAGCGAGUUUGGCACUCCUACCUUGCUCUGGAGGGUGCUACAGUCUGUGGGGUAUACUGAGCCACCUCAGUAUUCUUGGUGGGAGGUGGAUAUGACAGGAGAGUUGCAGUGGUUUGCUGUGCAGGGAGUUGUCCCUCCACAUGGGGGCAGGCCUGCAUGGACAGGGUGGACCUGUAACUCAAAUGGGCAGACUCCUUGGGAAGCAGCUCAGGUUGCAGCCUAGGCUAUGCUGCUCAAUAUCUGUCAGAGAUUUGGUGAUGAGCUGACAGGAGAACCAGCGGCCUCCAUUCCCCGUGCUGACCCAGCAGCAGCGGAGUGGAAGCAGGUUGAUGGGUGUGCGUUGGUCCGAGGCAGGGGAGAGCGAGCUAAGAGUUCCAGUCCUGCUAUGAGUGCUAUGAUGGCUGUGCUCAAGCUGUUCAGUCAGCGAGAGGACACUUGUGCACAGGUGAUGGUGGCUAUUCGUCAGGCUCAGGAGAUGCAACAGAAGGCUGAAAAGCAUGCUCGCAAGUUUCGCAAGCAAGCUAGGCUCCUGGAGCAAGCUCAGAAGGACCACAAUGACUGGGAAGGCGUUGCGGAGUACCGUAGGCAGCAGUGGGUGAAGGCCAUUAGGGAAAGAGAUCAUAAGCAGGAUCAGAUGAGUCAGUUAGCUCGAGAGAGGGAGAGUGUAGGAGCGCUUGGUGCAGGUCACUCGUGAGAGGGAUACUGCACUCUGUGUGUCGGAGAACAGGCGCCAGGCUUGGGAGAUGCACUGGAUUUAGUCGCUUGAGCGGGAGAACUAUCUACAGGAUCAGAUUGAGGCUGGUCUUGUGGAGAUUCACCGUCUCAACAACUUGCUACACCCUAUUCCUCGCCCUGUACCCGUGUAUCCAGAGGUGGGACCUCAGGUGAUUGUGGCUGAUGACGAUGGUAUGGAGGUCGAUGGACCAGCAGCGGCUGCACCACCCUUGCACGAGGACAUGGAGGACGAGGAGCUUGAGCCAGUUAGUGACGAGGAUGGGGAGGUGAUCUUUGACGCUGACUCGGACGACGAGCAUGGAGUGUAGUGAGUAGUGGGUAGUUGUUAUGUGAGGAUCUUUUGUAGUUUGGCAGUUAGCAGGGGUGCUUUUGUAAUCAUGAUGUAAUCUAGAACCUUGAUCUUUGCCUUAUGUCAUGUACUGUGAUGGUGUAAUAACUUUAUAGACCCAAUGUGUAACCUUAACAUGUUCGAUCUGUUAUGACGAUGUUUUCCGUUGUGGUGCAUAUUACGGAUGUCUCUGUCUUGUGUUGGAUUGGUGAUGUUGUUUUGUGGAAUUGAAUUAUUGUGCCUUUUUCUGUAAAGCUAUUCUCUCGAAUACUUUCAGGCAUAAAUAUAAGUUCUUCUAUAGCAAGUCUUGUCAUCAUCAAUGCUCACUGACUGUAUCUUUACAGAUGUCUCGUGGCACUUGAGGUGCGGAACAGCGUGCGAACAUGAACCCACCCCCUCCUCCUCCACCACCAAAUCCAGCUGAGCUAAUGCAAAUGAUGGUGGAAAAUCAGAGGAUGCUCACAGAGACCAUCAACCGGAUGGCAAAUCAGGGUGGUCGUAAUGCACAAGAUGGGCCAGCACCUAACCAGUACAGUAGCUUCAAGGAUUUCAUGGAUACUAAGCCCCACCUUUCAGAGAGGCUGAAGGACCCCUUCAAGCUGAGGAAUGGCUGAACACGGUGGAACAAAAGUUCCACUUGCUUCGGCUGACCAAGGGUUUGAAGGCUGAGUAUGCAGCUCACCAACUGCAAGGUCCAGCAGGCAUGUGGUGGAAUCAGUAUCAAGAAGCCCUUCCAGCCGAUACUGUGCUUGACUGGAAUCUUUUCCGUGAAGCUUUCAAAGGGCAUUUCAUUCCUCCUGGUGUCAUGGAGAUGAAGCAUACCGAGUUUAUGCAGUUGACUUAGGGCAACAAAACUCUGAAGGAAUACUUGCAUGCUUUCAAUCACCUAUCAAGGUAUGCUCCUGAGUUUGUGAACACUGAGACCAAGAAGAUUGCCAGCUUCAAGCGGGGUUUGGGCCCCAAGUUGCUGAAAACCAUGGGCCGCACUAAGUGUGCAACUUUCAAUGAGUUUGUCAGUGAUGCUCUUACCCAAGAGAACUACAAUACUGUGUACACUGUGACCAAGACUCGCAAGAGGGCUUUUGAGGCCGGGGCUGGGGCAUCUCAGUCCAAGGCUCCAGUGGCAGCUAAGCCCCUGAACCGUGCUCCAAAUCCUAACCAGCGGUAUCGCCUCCUAUGAAGAAGAAUCAGGCAAAGACGGGUUUCCGCAAGGGUUACUCCAUUGCUCUUCCUAGGGGCAACACGGGUCCCAGCUAUGCCAAGACUCCACCUACCAACCGUCCGUGCUGGAAUUGCAAUCAGACCGGGCACUGGCAGAGCAAUUGUCCUUACCCGCCAAAGAAGGUCAACCAAGGGAAUGUCCGUCAGGGGUGUGUUCACUACACAACUGUGGAGGCAAUCCCUGCUAGUGAGGUAGUUAUGGCUGGUAAGUUUCUGGUUAACCAAUGUGAUGCACUUGUGCUUUUUGAUUCAGGAGUAUCGCAUUCUUUUGUGAGUUCAGACUUUGUGUCUAAGCAUAAUCUCAAGGCAAUCACACUAGAAAAGGGCAGUUAUUGCAUUAGUGCUGCUGGAAAUGAUAUUUCUACCAAUCAAGUGGUUUUGGGGGCAACUCUGGAAAUAGGAGACCGUCAGUUUCUUGCUGAUCUGGUUGUUUUACCCGGUGUGGGUAUAGACGUAAUUCUGGGUAUGAAAUGGAUGAGUGGUAACAGAGUUCUUAUCGACACCACCACUCGUGUAGUGAUGUUGAGAGACCCAAAUACCAAGGAGGCAUUCUUAGUGCAACUUCCUCAAGAUAUCCAUAUCCGUAGCACUGUGAAUGCAGUUACAGCUAAGGCCAUCCAGGAUAUUCCGGUGGUGUGUGAGUUCCCGGAUGUAUUUCCUGAUGAUUUACCCGGGCUUCCUCCAGAUCGGGAUGUGGAGUUCAAAAUUGAAUUAAUCCCAGGUACCGCUCUUAUCUCUAGAAGACCAUAUAGAAUGCCACCAAAUGAGCUAGCUGAGCUUAAGACCCAAAUAAAUGAGUUGUUGAAGAAGGGUCUUAUCCAUCCUAGUUCUUCUCCUUGGGGUUGUCCGGCUAUCUUUGUGAAGAAGAAGGAUCAGUCCUUACGCAUGUGUGUGAACUAUCGUCCCUUGAAUGCGGUGACCAUCAAAAAUAAAUACCCUCUUCCUCGCAUUGAUAUUUUGUUUGAUCAGUUGUCUAAAGCUAAGGUAUUCUCCAAGAUUGAUUUGCGAUCUGGGUAUCAUCAGAUCAAGAUCCGUCCUGAAGAUGUACCUAAGACAGCUUUCUCGACGAGGUAUGGGUUGUAUGAGUAUCUCGUCAUGUCCUUCAGCCUUACGAAUGCACCUGCUCAUUUCAUGUACCUCAUGAACUCGGUGUUCAUGCCCGAAUUGGACAAGUUUGUGGUGGUUUUCAUUGAUGAUAUCCUAGUAUAUUCUUGCAAUGAAGAGGAGCAUGCAGAGCAUCUGCGUGUGGUGUUGGUGAGCAUCAGCUUUAUGCAAAAUUCAGCAAAUGCGAGUUUUGGCUAAAGAAAGUACCUUUCUUGGGCCAUGUCUUAUAUGAAGAAGGCAUAUCGGUGGAUCCGGCUAAGGUGCAAGAAGUGCUGGAUUGGAAGGUUCCAACUUCGGUACACGAGGUUCGGAGUUUUCUCGGUCUGGCUGGGUAUUAUCGUCGAUUCAUUCCGGAAUUCUCAAAAAUAUCCAAGCCUAUGACUCGCCUACUUCAGAAAGAUGAGAAGUUUGUGUGGACGCCUGAGUGUGAAAAGGCAUUCCAGAAGUUGAGGACAUUGCUAACAUCAGCUCCUGUCCUAGCUCAACCUGAUAUCGAGAAGCCCUUUGAUGUCUUCUGUGACGCUUCAGGUAUUGGUCUAGGCUGCCUGUUGAUGCAAGAAGGUCGCGUUAUCGCGUAUGCCUCAUGCCAACUUCGAAAUCAUGAGGUCAAUUACCCUACUCAUGACUUAGAAUUGGCAGCAGUUGUUCAUGCUUUGAAAAUCUGGACGCACUAUUUGUUGGGUAAUCUGUGCAAUAUCUACACUGAUCAUAAGAGCCUCAAGUACAUCUUCACUCAACCUGAAUUGAACAUGCGGCAGCGAAUGUGGCUUGAGUUGAUUAAAGAUUAUAAUCUACAAGUGCACUAUCAUCCGGGCAAGGCAAACGUGGUUGCGGAUGCCUUGAGUCGAAAAGCGCACUGUCACUCAGUCCAGGUGGAAGAUCCGUUGUUGUCACACCUUAUGCACCCACUUGUGCUCAACCAGAUUUCUCUGGAGAGUACUCUUCGAAAUCGAGUCAUUGAAUUGCAGCAAACAGAUGUAGGCAUCCACCAUAUAAAGAGGAAAAUGAAAGAAGAAGAAACCAAGCAUUUCCGGGUCGAUGAGAACGGAAUUCUUUGGUUCAAAGAUCGACUCGUGGUUCCAAAAGACCGUGAGCUACGAAAUCAGAUCUUAUCUGAAGCUCAUUCAUCCAAAUUGUCUAUCCAUUCUGGUAGUAGCAAGAUGUAUCAGGAUCUGAAACCUCUGUUUUGGUGGACAAAGAUGAAAAAGGAGAUUGCUGCUUUUGUCGUUCGUUGUGACAAUUGUUGUCGCGUGAAGGCCGUUCACAUGAAAGCUGGUUUGCUUCAACCCUUGUCAAUUCUUGGUUGGAAAUGGGAAGAAGUCAGCAUGGAUUUCAUCGUUGGACUUCCAACUUCUGUCAAGGGUUACGACUCUAUCUGGGUGAUUGUAGACUGUUUGACCAAGGUUGCUCGUUUUAUUCCAGUUCAAACUGACUAUCGUCCACAUCAAUAUGCGGAGUUGUACUUCGAGCACAUUGUCCGUCAAUAUGGUGUGCCUCGAACUAUCAUAUUAGAUCGUGGACCACAGUUCACUGCCCGUUUUUGGGAGUGUCUACAUGAGCAGAUUGGUACUCACUUAGUCCGUAGUUCGGCAUAUCAUCCCCAAACGGCAGGUCAAACUGAACGGGUUAACCAAAUCCUAGAAGACAUGUUGAGGGCAUGUGCUCUCUCUUCUAAAGGUUCUUGGGUUAAGUGGUUGCCAUUAGCUGAGUUCUCUUACAACAAUAGUUAUCAGGAUAGUAUCAAGAUGGCUCCAUUUGAAGCCCUGUUUGGUCGAAAGUGUCGAACCCCGUUGAAUUGGGUGGAAUCCGGGGAACGAAGGUAUUAUGGCAUCGAUUUUGUGAACGAAGCAGAGUAGCAAGUCCGUACCAUCCAGCAACAUCUGGAAGCUGCUCAAGCUCGUCAGAAAAGUUAUGCUGACAAAAGAAGGAACCCGAUUGAGUUUGCGGUCGGUGACCAUGUGUAUAUCAAGGUGUCUCCGAUGAAGGCUGUACAAAGGUCCGGAGUCAAGCGAAAGCUUGCACCUCGUUAUGUGGGACCCUAUCAGAUUCUUGAAAGGAAAGGGGAUGUGGCGUACAAAGUUCAACUACCAGUUGAGCUUCGAGCUAUUUUCCUUGUCUUCCACGUAUCACAAUUAAAGAAGUGCCUUCGUGUUCUAGAGGAACGAGUGGAAGUUCGGGAUAUCAAGUUGAAAUCUGACUUUGUGUAUGAAGAAAAACCUAUAGCGGUUCUUGACAGCUAGGAAAGGGUGACUCGUAAUCGGGUGGUUAAAUUCUACAAGGUGUUGUGGAGUAACCACGGGGAGGAAGAUGCCACUUGGGAAACCGAGGAUUAUUUGAAAGAAUUUACAAAACAUUCUUCGAAAAUCAGUAAGCUUUCAAAUCUCGGGACGAGAUUUUUGUAAGGGGGGAGCGCUGUAACACCCCAGUGUUAUGGUUGCAUAAAUCACAUGCGUAACAUGAGCAUCAUCAUCUACUCAAGCAUUCCAUGAUCAUCAUCUACCUUGAGCCAAGUCAUUUUAUGCAAAAAUGUGAUUUAAGUUGUCUAAAUAGGCCUCCUAGACUUGUGUUGGUGUGUACCAUGCUUGUGUUUGUGCUCUAUGCCUUGCUAAUUAGUUUAUCUAUGCUUAACUCAACAUUAGGAACAAUGUUAAUGUUGAUCAUUUCUCCAAAAUAAUCACUUAAGACAUACUUACACAAAUAGGCCCUAGAAACCUCUUCUGCUUAGGCUUUUAAAAAGUGUUUCAUAAAAUGUUUGCAUGUCAAAACUUUCUCCAUCAAAGUUGUAGCAAAUUUUAUAAGAAACAAAAGUUGUUUUAUGGCCAUCUCAUGAAAAUGAACACAACUAGCUCAAAAGUGAUCCACAAGGCAGAUUUGGGGCUGUUUCCAACACAUAGAAAAUUUUCUAAGUCUAGGAUCGCAACAGUUUGCUCGAGGGUAUGUUGCUUAGCUUCCAGUUUGAAUUCUAGACCGAAUCAGACCUUGAUCAUGUAAGCCAUGUUGGAGUACUCAUGUAGCUCUCCAGCAUAGAGCAAUUAGCUAGCAAAGUCAUCGAGUGCUUUAGGAGAUAAUCGCAGUGCAAGAUCGGGUUUCAGUCGGGAUCAACGACUGAAUGGAGUCGCCGUCAGUUCAGGGGAGCUCGCCGGUGACGCACGUGUGUGGACCCGUGGCGUCCGUACGUCGCCGUUGGUCCCACUCGUCAGUCCUCAGCGCGUCCUACAGCUCGCCACGGCGCCCUGGUUGCGUGGAUAGCGCCAUUUCCCUCCCGGUCCACUCCCUCUCGUGUCUGUCAUCGUCUCCGCGUCGCCGCCGUUGCUUCGGCGAGCUCGCGCGCGCGUGUCUCCGUGUCUCUGGCCAAACAACUCCGCCCAGCACUCCGCUAGCUUCCCUGCAACACCAUCGUCGAGUUGGCUGCAGCUGCCGAGCCUCGGUAAGCCCGCAUUGACUUCUCUGUCGCGAGCUUACCUCGCCGGAGCACCGCCAUGGUCACCGGCGUCGUGGCCAGGGCUCCGUAGUCAACCAUUCCUCCUCGUUCUUGUCCCAAAAGCUCCGCUAGGUCAUGCUGAUGCUCAUCUGCAUUCUCUUCCGCUCUGUCUCCGGCCAGAGACGCCGGCGGUCGGACGCGCACCACCGUCGUGCCGCCAUUCGCGAGGGCAAGGUACCUAGGGUCCAGUAGAGUUAGGGUUUCGGGUACCGCUCGAUGCGGAAUGGAGUGGGGAGCACGAUGGUGCCCUUGGCCAUCUCCAAGACCUCGCCGUUGACGAGAUCCCCGGCGGUCAAGUCACGCCUCUGCUCUCGGGUCACUGGCAUGUGGGGUCUGUUGACUGGCAUGAGCUGUUUUUGCAAAAAUCAUAUCUCUGGUUCUGGUGAUCCAAAAAUUGUGAAACCAAUUUUGUGGUAUUCCUUGAGAUGGCUAGUUUUUAAUAAAAAUAUAAAAUGAACCAUGUUUUCUAGGAAAAAUAUUUAUUAGGAUUUAAUCUUGUUAUUCAUGAGUAAAUUCAUAUCUCUUGUUAUGCUCCUCCUUUUCCCAUGAGUUUUUUAUGGUAAUCUCUGUGUGGUUUUAGAAUGCUAUGAUAAAUAUUUCAUGAUUUUUGGAGUACUGGAUCUGUGAAAUGUAAUUUAUGGUUAAGAUAUGGCUUGUUUUCUUAAUUAAAUCAUAGUAAAUAAUUGAUGCUUAUGCUGGUGCUCUACUUUUGUGUCACACUUCUUUAUAGUAAUAGUAGCAUGUAAAUAAUCUGAAAUCUGCUGUUUGGCACCAUAUAAGCCAUGUUCCUUAAUUUAUGAAAUAAGUACCUUGUCACAUUUUAAAUGCUUAUCUAAAAAUUGACAUGGGCAAUUGCCCUGAAAAGUUUAUGGUGAUGUCCAUCUGCUAUGAUUGUGCUUGUGUAAUUUUUGUAGAUUUUUCUGAGCACUUUUGCUAAGUAUCUUGUAAUUAUGUCCUUUUAUAGAAUUAAAUGGAUAAAUGCAUUGUUAUUAAAUAUCUAGGGGUUAACAUAUAAUGUUCUGGUUAUCUUAUGUGAUACUUGUGCUUAUAAGCCAUGUGGUUGAUACUGUUUAUGUUUUGGCUAUGUCAUCAAAUAAUUAAUUGGUGGGUUAAAAGCUGUUCUGGACAGCAAGGGAGUAAUUUAACUUUUGCUUAAUGAUAAAUGGGUUUUCUGGGAAACUUCUCUAAAUCAAAGUUGUUGUAAACUUUAUGAACUAUCUGUGGGUUAAAUUUGGGAUCAUUUGGUCUAGUAGUUUUGAAGUUAUGAUCUUUCCAAGUUAGGUUCCAGAAAUAGGUAUUCUCUGUUUUUCUGGGACAGAACCUGGAACUUUGUUUAUAAGGCUUGCUUAACUUAUGAAUCUUGUGGUGAUGUUUAAAGAUGGUUUGUAGAAAAUUUCAUAAGCUUUCCAGAAUGUCCUCACUCAUGUGUGUUGGAUCUGCCUAGCAUUAGUUAUGACCUGUUUACUGAGCUAAUUCUGUUAUGUGAUGCUUGCUGUUAUAGUAACUUGCUAGGCUUUGGCUAAGUUAACUUAUCGUCUUGUGUGAAGCUGUUAUAACCGUUACUCCGUAAAUGAGUGCCCAGUGAGUCCAUUAUGUUAUCAAGCAUUCAUCUUUUAGUAUGUACACCUUCUUAUUCAUCGAGCAUGCAAUAGGUGCAUCGGACGCGACCGCCUCCUUCGAGUUUCAAGUGAACCCCAAAGGCCAGGAGGGCAACCCGGAGGUGGAGGUCCAGCAAGCCGGAAUCGAGGAGCCCGAAGAAGAGGUUGAGUGCCCUAACCACGAGCCAGCUUCGUUCAUGAAAGGCAAGCCCCAGAGCAUUCUAUGUCUCCCUUUACUUUCGAAAGUUUACUUAAAUAUGUUAUAUCUAUUGAUGCAUUAAGUAUAGGAGUUGUGAUGAAACCUUUGCUGCAUUUUACUCAAUCCUUGUCCAGAUAUCUUACCACUACCUGGUUCUAGAGUUAGGAUUGAGUAGCAGCUUAGCCAUGCUUUAAUCGGUAGAACUCGGGUGAUUUCCUGUCACCUGCGCGAUAUAGGGUUAUGUCGGAUCACGAUGGACUAUAUGUGCUAUCGUGGAUGGAACCUGAUUAAAUUGACUUAAGCCGCGCGGAGUUUUGCAAGGUUGUAGUAACUCCGUCUGUGGCAGCUAAGGACCGACCGUUGUACGUCCUCUUGUCAUGUUGAACGCAUGCCUGACACUUAGUUGGCCGGAUAACUCGUUCCGACCGCGAAGCCUAGUAGUAUGACUCAGGUCGGAAGACCGGCAAGUAUAAAGUGCGCACUACCGGAGGAAGUGCGGUGUGCGGGGGACCAUUGGUGUAAGCCCAAAGGCAGGUGAGUUAAAAUUCCUGACCUCCCUGGCAGAGUGGUAGCCCUGGGAGUGCGGCGCUGAUCGGAGCCACGAUUCCUAAGUCGUACCAAAGGUGACCCGUUGGCUCUCUGAUGGGGGAUGCUUGGGUGAGUGCUAGGAAUACCCCUCCAGCUGGAUAGGAAUUCGAUUCGAAUCGCCGUCUCUCCCAGUUAGUGAGAACUUGACAGAGCAGCGGCAAAUGUAGCAUUCACUAAUGAACUUGGUUCAUGAUAAUGAUGAUAGCAAGGAAGAACAUAUGAUGAAUUUGAUAUGGUUAUUAUUGCUUGUAAUAAUCAAGUGAAGUGCUUUAGUACAGGUGCUAAUCUAGUGGUAGGCUGAUGAUGAUUAAAUAUGAUGCUCUCACAACAUUGUAGUUAUAAUUUAAGCUUUUGGCAAAUGUUGAGUCAACCAGCUCCACUUGAUAUUAGCUUUGCAUGAUCCUUGGUGUCUUUUAUGUUUUACUAGACGGGUAAGUCUAGCUGAGUACAUUCUCGUACUCAAGGUUUAUUCCCACCUGUUGCAGAUGAUAUCUUUUACGAUGGCUUCUGGAAGACUUGUCUCCAUCCCGCUGGGGAUGAGGACUAACCGUUGGGCACGGUUCUCUAACAAACUCGUACCUGCUGCUUUUGGAUGGAUGGUGUACGACCCUGACUAUAACAAAAACUUGUGAACUGAACUUUGGACAGUGUGUGUAAUUAUUUUGCUUCCGCUACUUCAAACAUGGGUUGUAAUAACUAAGUAACUCCGAUGUGGUGCCGCUUCGACGACAAUUAAUGACUAUGUAACAUUCGCUGUGUUGUGUUGAACUAUUACGAUCUUGGUUUGUUGCAAGUUGGUUUGAAGUCCUUCGUGAUUUCAGUUGACUACCGGGAUUAUAUGGGCUCAAGUUUGGAAACUUGAUUGCUUGUCGAUCGUUUCUACACUUGAACUCUUAUAAUUUGGUCGGUUCUGUGACAUAAUUCCUGCAAAAUAUAAUCGCUAUGGUACAAAUUGAACUUGUUAGAAAUACAAUGCAUGUGUGUAUAUAAUAUGAUUGCUUCUUCUCCUUUUGGAUCAAGUUGGCAGUUUAUGAUUGGUCUACAAUGAGUGCCAACAAGUCCCCCAAGCUUAACCUUUGCUCGUCUCGAGCAAAUAAUUAAGUAUGGUUGUUGAUUAGGAGUUGCUACUAUGCCGAUAUAAUUCAAGAGUACCUUACCUAUAACAAAGUAUUCAUUCGCAAUUUAAAUAAGUUGGCAUGCUAUCCACUCUUUACCUUGACUUCUCAUGAGGCUUAUAGCUUUUCCAAGUUCUUGGGUGAUUGCAAGUUUGAAUGGUUGUAACAGACUCACCAUUCAUUCAUCCCUUGAUAGACCAUCAAUCUAGAGGUUUUAUAAAUUUCUGCAAAAUAAAUAAGUUCCUCGAAUGAUUCUCUCAAUCGCUCAUUGUGUAUGAAAUCCUCACCAAAGGCAUUUGUGUUUGCCUUUAAGACCUACCACUAAGGCUGAGAAUGGAGCUUUGGGAAGGUAUAAAGGUGGGCGUACUUACGACACUUGUGUUGCCAAGUUAAAGCCUAGAUCAUGAGGAGAUACAAGUCAUACACCUUCAUUGAGAUGUGCAAGUGUGUGGUGUUUUUGGUGGUAGUCCUAUCUAAAUAUUUUUGGUUACUCCUUGUAUCAUGACUCUCUUUAUUUGAGGAAGAGAAUGAGAGAAUGUAAACAUAUGGACCCUAAAAAAAUGGAUCAUAUAUAUAUAUAAUUUUAUUUCUAACGGGGAUGUCGAUUUUCCCGUCCAUGCCCUUUGGCUUUUCCUUCAUUUUUUUCAUGGAUAACUGAUGCCCACAUGUUUCAAAGGGAUCUCAAAGAGGAAAAUGGAGAGAUCUCAUGAUGGUGAUGUAAGGAGUAGAAUUGUGUAUGGGGAUGCGCAAACCUCAGGGUGAGAGUUUGGCAUACUGAUUUGGUGGAAGCUAAGGCGCAACUCUCAGGGUAAGACUCGGCUUUAUAUGGUGGGUGCGUGAAUCUCAUAUCAUGGGUGCGUGACCAUAAUCUCACUCUAGAAUACCUGGGAUUUGACUCAACUAAAAGCGCCGCAAGCCACAUAUGACUAAAGGUGGACAAACUACUAAGCAAGUCAUAUGGCCUUGGUAGGUAUUUCAUAAUCAUUGAUUAUCUCUUUGUUUUGAAUUUUUUAAAAGAAAACUUCGGAUGUCAAGUUUCUCUUAGAACAAAGUCAUAGCAAAAUCUAUUUAUACCAUAUCAUGUCUCGCAACAACUUAAAAAAGGAUCAUGCAUUUGCAACCCACAAGAUUUCAAGUUCUUAGAAUGAGACAUUUUUAGCCAACAAACUUAAAUCUUGAUGAACACUAAAUUAUAACUUAGAUACUAGAGAAGUAUAGACAGAGCAACUAUUCAUCAUUUCAACAUAAGAGAAACUAACAUAUCAUAGCGCACAUGAGAGUGGGUUUUUUUGAAAGAUGAUGAAAAAUUGCUGAAAUUUAAAUAGUGAAAUUAAGAACUAAAAUUAAGUGCAAGAAUGUAAGAUACAUGUUACCUCUUGUGGGGGUCCUCCCCCAAGCUAGCUCACUGCUGCGGUCCAGGGAAAUGUGCCAUGGAUCGCAGGUAGGCCAUCUAUGCCUCGUGCCGGUGAUGGCUUGCAUCCUCAAGGUCGAUGAAGCUCUGCUGGGUCUGCUGAUGCCAUCGGGUAGCAGUCUAGAUGUGGGCAUUCAGCGUACCUGGGAUCUACCUGUUCAGGAGCUCCAGUCCUCCCAUGCGAGUGUUGAGGACGUCCAGUGUGACCUGAGGGCGAACAGGGGGUGGCAUUUCCUCGGAAUCUGAGGAGUGUCCUGGCUCGUGAUGCCUGGAUCCCGCUUCCCCAUAUGCCACUGGCUCACUUGGGCCUGCGCCUCCGUGCGCCUACCAGCUCGACCCUCCUGCAUGCUAGCUCGAUCCUCCAGCCUCGUAGGGGUGAGGAACGUAUCCCAUACCAUAUACAUACCCAGGGGUAAAUUUGAGUGCAAGUAUAGUAGGGGUCCAUCCCAUCCCUGGCAUAGCUGGUGGUGGAAUGUGCUGUGCUGGCUGUGCGGAUGGUGCUGGCUGUGCUGCCUGUGCUGCCCUUGCUGCUUGUGGUGCCUACUCUUCUUGUUCCCUCCUCCGUGAGUUACUGCGAGAAACAGAGCUCCUGCGUCCUCCUUCCCUCUCAAUGAGGGUGAAGGUGAGUGAUGGGGAAUUAUACAGAGCGAGAUCCGGGUUAGGUAACUAGAUCUCGUUUGUAUAUCCCGGAAAAUAAAAUAAAAUCUUUUUACCUAUUUCAUCGCGUUUAAUCAUGUGUGCAUGCGAAAGAUGUGAUUCAUUAACCAUGAUGCGAGGAGUAGUGAUGUAAAUAAUGGUAUUAGCAGCAUGGGGAUCAACACUUGCAGCAAGGCGAGCAAUAAGAGAUGUGUACAUGAUAGCAGUUGAAGUCUUAAUGGAAUGCAACCAAUGAUUAACAAGCUCAACAAUAGGUGCAACCUUAAUCUUUUUGAGCGCAGCAUAAAGCAACUUCAACUCUAUGUCGUAAGUAAGAUGCGUAUCAUCUCUUGAAAAGAACGAACUAGCGAUCCACUUAUGGGGAAGCCUCAGAGUGGGGUGAUGGAUGCUGGCAGAAUGCCCCUGAAACUUUCCAACGACGUGUUGCCCCGAGAUCAAAUGCCAGAAAGCAUGACGUUGGUAAUCCCCAAGGGAGAAACCUAACUCAAUGGAGCACUGCUCGUGGAAACCCAAACGGUUGGCAAGAUCCUUCCAAUAAAUACCGAAAUCACUUCCAAAGCAACGAAAGGUAAUACCAUAAUCGACAGUUUGUAGAGUGCCCAAAAUUUGUAUCGUCAAAAGACGUGACCCAAGAUCAUGAUCUGGGGCAACUCUACUCCAACCAAGAUGCUUGAAAAAUAGUAUCAAACUCAACAUCCAUACCUAUUUGGUGCAAGAAUGCGGGGUCGAAUGCCGGCGAAUGGAGGAACUCGCGUUCCUUCAAGAGGUUGUAUGCCUACAUCUCCCGCUCGCUCUCCAAGUCGAUGAAGGGGGCGUCGGCCUCGUCAAUGACAAGACCGUGUGGCCCCUCCUCCUCUCCUCCAUGUGCCGGCUGCUCGUUCCUUGUAGGGGUUGGUGGAUCUUCCCCGUGUUGGCGACGGCUCCUUCUAAGCCCGAAAAUUCUAUUCAUGGUGGAUGAGCUAGCACAAGUGUAUGGUGUUUUUGCUUGGAGAGGGAAGUGUGCAAGAGGUUUUUGACAGAAUUUUCUUGCAUUAAGCUUGUGGAGUAAGCUAUGAAGCAAAGUGGAGCAAGAGAGUGAAGAAGGGAAAAGUAAAAAAAUGUGUGUGAGAGGGGUGAGGUGCUCCACCCGGGAUCCUUUCUAUUUAAGUUGAUCGCAGGCGGGGGAGCGCCCCCUCAACGGCUACUAGUCGUUGCCCAAAGGCCAAGGCCAGCAGGCCUUGGGCAGGGUGCGGCCGCACCCUGGUGCGCCCGCACUAGUGGUGGGCCCGCCUCUGCUCGGCCUUUUGGCUGCUGGCUCCAACGGUCACCCCAAACGUCUCUCUGGUUACGAUCAGACUUGGUUCGAAAUCUUGCUCUAGAUUUUGAUUUUCCACAUAUUUAUUCAAAAUAUUUAUGGUUUUCAAAAAUUAUAUAAAAAUAAGAUUUGGAAAUGGGAAAAUCUAUACUACGAGAAAAUAAUUUUUAUAAGAUUUUCAGAGAAACUUUAUUUUUGACUAAAAAUAAAACUAUAGAAAGGGAAACUUUUGGAAACUAAAAAUAAAAACUUCCUAUAAGAAAGGAAAUUAAAACGAAAUUUAAAGGAUUUAAAAACACAUAAUACCUGAGCGGGGACACCUCCCCCAAGCUUGCUUGAUGUCGUGGGCCCUCUUAAGAUAUCUUUAUUGGGACACAAAUAGCACAAAAUUUAUUUUUAUUAUAUAUAGUUUUUUUAGAGAACUACCGAAUGCCUUCGGUAAGGGCUCAACAUUUAUAGUCCGUUGGCAGGACUUUCCUUCCUUCAUUCUUCUGUGGCUGCAUGGACGAACUUAGUAGAGGUUUCCAGUUGCCCUGGGAUCCUCUCUGUGUCAGUGACUGGAAUUGAUGCAGCUAUCUAUGCUAUCUGUGUUUCUAUCAUCUUGUUGAAACUCGUCUGACUUUUGAUAGAUGAACAAAGAGUUUCAAGUCUGGCGUUGAUGUUCUCAAUGAUCUUGUCAUUGUAGGACAGCUUCUUGGUCAGAUUCUCGUUGAUUUUAGCUUGCCCUAUGACCAGAUCUUUCAAGGAAGGCUGAUUGAAGAAAUUACCCUACGGGCGGUGCUGAUUGUUCCACACGUUGUUACCAUGCUGUGGUGGCCGAAACCCAUUGUUGACAUAUGCUGCUUCUUCUUAGGUUUCGGGGCAAUUGUUCCCCGAAUGGCCAUCAUCACCACAAACUUAACACGAUAUGUGUGAGUUCACUGCUUGGACAGUGCCCAUGUUGGGAUUUGCAACUUGUCCGUCCAUCCUUUGUAGCAGCAAGUCUAUUUUUGCGACAAGCACAUCUGCCUCCUUCGCAGAUUGUGAACAUUUUUGUGUUUUCCUUCCUUCUUCCCAGCUUUGAUUUGCCACCCUCUUCUCGAUGAGGGCAGUAGCUUCAUUAAUGGUGAGAGAAAGGAAUGCACCUCCAGCUGCGGCAUCUACGUGCCCCUUUGACAUGGUCAUGAGGCCUUCGUAGAAGUUCUGGAGCACAAGCCAGUCUUCCAUUUCAUGAUGAGGACAGGCCCGGAUGUACUGCUGGAGCCUCUCCCAUGCUCCGGGUAUCGACUCAAGUGAAGACUGCUGGAAGUUAGAGAUCUUCCCCCUUAGAGCGCUGGUCCUGCUCAUGGGGAAGAACUUGGCGAGGAAUGUCACGGAGCACUUUUCCCAUGUUUCAACACCUUCCUUGUUCUGAUAAAACCAUUGUUUCGCCUUUUCGGCGAGGGAAAAGGGAAACACGGAGCCUGAUGCUGUUCUGCGCAACGUCAUUGAUGACAACGGUGUCGCACAGCUCAAGGAAGUUCUGAAGGUGGGCGUUGGCAUCCUCGCUUGGCAGGCCACAGAAUUGGCUUUCCUGCACCAUAGAGAUGAGGCCAGUACGGAUCUCGAAGCUUCCAUUCCCCAUAUUGACAGCAGGCCCAAUCGGCACGUUGGCAACACUGGGAGUGGAGUAGUCACGGAGUGUCUUGGCCAUCACGAUUGGUGCGGUUAGUGCUGGAACAGUUGAUUCGCUUGCUGGUUGCAUAGUAGAAGAAGAGACGGUACGAACCCUUCUCUUCCUUACGAGUGUUUCUGGAUCACUGUGGAAGUUUGCCAGCAAGUUGAAACCGCUCAUACACUAUCCUGUUUUCAUUCCAAUAAAAAGAGGAAGAAAACAGUAAAGUUAUCCUGCUUAAUCUAUGGCUACCAAUGCUUAUUAUGCAAUCAAUGUUUAUGCUAGUAUGAUUUUUGCCUUCCCCGACAACGGCGCCAGAAAUGCUUGUUGGCAUUUCUUAGCGUCACUACUAAAAAUAGACCAUAGAUCCAUCCUUAGCAAUGGCACCAGAAAUGUUGGGUGUUGGCAUACCAUAACUAUCACUACAUCAGAGAGAUAACACAAGGCAACUCGAGGUCGCCGGCCUUAGCAGUGCAGUCUGGUAACAAUAAUUAGGAAUGCCGGAUUGGCCUUCCUAACCAUCCUUACUUGCCACAUGCAAAGGUGUGGCACUACACUCGAAAGUGCACAAGGAUUACAAUCUUAAGUAACGAUACUUAGCUACGCUAAUCGAUAGUUCAUGAAUGAAGAAGUAAUAUAACUGCGAGCAGACAGAACUGUCAUUGCAGCAUUUCAACCCGUGAGUAUUCAAGGGUGUCGAAUUUAUAAUUCCUAUAGGAAGGCAAAGGGGUCAAACAUGGUGUAAACAUGAUUACUUAUUGAAUGCUUGGUAGACAUAGAGUAAACAGGAAUAAACAUGUAUUCAAGAUAGUGGACACACAUUGGAUCAACCUCAAGGAUAAAAUAGAAGAGAAAUAAUAAAUAAAGAAUAAAGAAAUAAAUCUACUUGAGCGGGCAUGGGUCACAUAUAACUAUGCAUAGAACUGUUAGUGGAUCAUCUAAUUAGCAAUAAAUAGAGUUAGAACUAAGCCUGAGAUGAGGGGAGAUCCCCGUAGCUGGAUACCCAGCCAAUAGAGACUUUACAGAACUCCUAUCGGAAUACCUGAUCGUGGGGGAAUGCAAAGGAUGACAAAGCCGUCACUACCCUACUGUUGACACUUGCUAACACCACUUGAAUACUAGGUUGUCAUCCCCAGCAUGGCACUAGAGUGUACUAUGGUAUUUAUACGCACACAGAUAAAUCCGCAAGCGCACGGAUACGGUUGUAGCUUUUACCCGGUUAAAGGUUUUAUCGUAUCCACAGGGAAAUGGGAGAUCUGAUCUACGCUCAAACUUAACCUAGAUAGAUAGGUAGGUGUAAAUAGGAAAGAUGGUAGAAUUGAAUAAGAACAAUAUUAAAGGUAAGAUAACAAUGGGUGAUAAUAUGGGAAUAGAGAGUAGAGCAAUCUAGUAUGUGGGUGGUGGUAGGAGAAUAAAGAGGAUAACUAUGGUUUCUCUACUUCAAAGGGGUAUGUCUAUGUCUGGGAUGAACCACGUGAUAAGAAUACACCACAAAGGAUGCUUAUCCAUAGGCCGAUAAACCCUACCAGUCCUGCUAACGGGAGGUGGACUACAGGGGACCAAUGUAACUGUCACCUACGUGGCCUACCACACGAUCCAGCUAGACAGGGGAUAUGCACAAGUAAUCUAGGUCUAAGCACCACGCUUACACCUAUACUACAACUCUAACCUAUAGGGUCCUAUAGAUUAAAAGUACUCAAAAGAGUUGCGAACCAGAACAUACAUGAAUAGUAAUUGCAUAAUGAAAUAGAAGUAGAUUACCAGAGUCAUCCCAUGAGCAAGCUUGAUUAGAGCUUGAUCAUGGCGAAGUACAACCGGAGGAAGAACCGACAGGCUGGCCUCUCCUCCAAUCCACCCUCGCUCUCCAUCUCGCUACUAUCUAGAUCUACUCUAGUUUAGAGAAGAGAGGAGAGCUCUCAUCUCCAAACCCUAGCUUUUGCUUUGUCUAUGAAUAAUGAAUGAGGAUCAAGGGGUGCCUCCUCCAGGGGCCAGGGGGCUUGCUUAUAUAGCCCCUCCAAAUAAAUGUGGGCCAUCGGAUCAAACCGACCUUAAUCGCAUGGUUUUCCUUAAUCCUUUAUGUCGGUGGAGCAUAAUCCGCGAGGCGGAGCUUGAUUGGCUCCUGUAGCAGGGCGGGCGCCCUGUCCCCGAGCCCGCUCGGCUUCCCGUUCGUUCUCGUGGCUUCUGGAGUCUUCUAGAUGAUAGAAAAUUGCGCGACACAUUAAUAUCUCUAUGUAAACCCAACGUGUGGGCCUUUCCUCCAUAUUUCCUGAUAACCCCCUGCAGAAAUAGACAAACACCAAAACUCGUGGAAUUAUGUCAGAUAAAACCCUAAGUCUAGGUGUUGGUUGCAUUUGGAUCCUUUUCUUUAUUUAUUUGAUGAUUAAAUUUGAUACUUAAGGACCGUCAACAACUGCCACCUACCGCUCUACCCGAAAGAUACCUGCACAUCCACUGAUUUCCACAUACCUGAACACCAUGUUCAUGUAACUGGAAACAACUCCUAACCCUCGCGGGCCCCACCCCUUCGAAGUGAUAGGCUAGGCUAAGGGCAACCAUCACAGCAUAGUGAACCAUCAUCCCAUUCCUAAUUCUAAUCCUAAUCAUACUAAUCUGAUGAAUAAUGAAGAACAAUGAUGAACAUAUCAAGAACAUAGCACAAGAACUAAGAACUAGUUCAUAUACUAUGAACAUGAUAAGAACACAAUCAUACUCUAGUUCAUAUGCAUAAUCAUAUAAAGAUGAAUAGAACUUGCUCAUGGUAGAAGAUUGAAUAUUAUUCAUACCAAAAAGAUCCUUUCUUCCAAGGAGACAAGCUCUCCUUGCUAGCUCUUGCCUUGCUCUACUACUAAUCUAGACUAAAGAUACAAGUGAGAGGUGUGAGGUAAAUUGACUCCAAAUGAUGUGUGUGUUGAAAAGGGGGGAGAGCCUCUCUUUUUAUAGUGGAACUAGGAUGGUUUGUCGCAUCUAAAUUUGGUAGUAGGUGAAACCGUCCUAUGCAUGGCAGCAUGCAACCGCCUGAGAAAGAUGGGCCCGGUUUGUCGCCUCUAGGGGUGCGCCCGCACCAGGGUGCGGUCGCACCCCAGGUGGGUCCCCCUAGCCAUGGUCUUCCAAGCAGCAAGUGACACACCGACAUAGGUGCCACAUCACACUCCACUAUGUCAACAUAUUCACCAAUCUUGAACGGAACUUUCUUUUUAUAUCCAAUCUUGACAUCUCCAAAAUCAUUCAGCCACUGUACAUGUAUGGAUGAGGGUGUCGUAGCAGCUUCAGGCCAAGUUUAUCAGUCAUCUCAUGACUAGCAAGAUUAUUUCAGCUUCCUCCAUCAAUAAUCACCUUCACCACCUUAUCAUGUACCUUUGCUCUGGUUUGAAAUAAAUUAUGUCGCUGCCCAUUUUCAGCUUCUUUCAUUUGAACACUCACGAUUUGAGUCACCACAAGAGCAGCACCAUGCUCAAAUUCACAGCCAAUAUGUUCCUCAUCUUGAUGGGCCUCAUCAACAUGUUCUUCCUCAGCUUGCUCUUCACUGGCUGAUUCAAUUUCUCCACUAUCAUUCACAAUGACCACACGAUUAUUUGGACACUCUCUUGAUACAUGUCCACGGCCUCCACACUUGAACCACUGAAUUCCACUACUCUUGGAAAGUGGAACCCACUGAAGUAUUGUUUGAUGCUGCUGGUUUUGAACUUGGGACAGCAGUGUUCUUUCCACUAAAAGUACCCUGAAAAUUAGAUCGUGAGCCUCCACUUGAGCCUUUCACCAUGGAUGGUUCAGCAGAAAACAUAGUGAUUGAUUUGCUUCCUCCAGAGAAGUUCCUCAUACCAAAGGACAAGGACUUGCUGCUCUUAGCAUCUUGCUGCAAUUGACGUUCAGUUUUGGUUGCUUGAUGUACUAAAUCAAUAAGAUGACGGUAUGGCUGAAACUCAACAAUGCGCUGAAUAUUGCGAUGCAGCCCAGCCAUAAAACGUGCAAUAGUUUGCUCUUCAUCUUCAUACACAUUAGCUCUAAUCAUAGAUUUCUCCAUCUCCUUAUAAUACUCUUCAACAGAGAGACUUCCUUGCUUCAAAUUCUGCAAUUUAUCAAAAAGAUCACACGGAUAGUGCUUCGGCACAAAACGACUUCUCAUUUCUCUCUUCAUUUCAUCCCAAGUUGCAAUAGGAUGUCUUCCAUCUUCUUCACGAUCACUGAGGAGCUGCUCCCACCAUAUCAGAGCAUAUCCUUCAAACUCCAGAGAUGUCAUUGCCAGAUUCUUCUCUGUAGAAUAAUUAUGCAAGCGAAAGAUUUUAUCCACUUUCAGCUCCCAAGUGAAAUAAGCUUCAGGAUCAGACCCACCAUCAAACUUUGGCAUGGUAAACUUCAGUUUUCCUAGCCUCUCCUCAUGAUUGCCUCUUCUACAAUGUCGGCGACCAUAUCGAUAUUGAGAAUGAUCAUCAUCAUCCUCUUUUUCAAAUUCUUCAUCAUCAUGAUUUCUUCGACCUUGACCUCUUCCUCUACCUCGGUUCCUCCUUCCUUGUUCCCUUGAGCUUCUACUAGCAGCACUUCUAUCACUCAUAUCUCCAUCUUCACCAUGGUUGCUUGCUCCAUCAUGAGGUUGGCGACGCCUUCUGAUUUCAGUCAUAAGGUUCUGAACAUCUUGUGUCAACCUAUCUUGCUUUUCUUCUAUGCUUUGUCGGAGUUCAUUAAAUUGUGCCAAAGUGACACAAUCCUCUAUUCCAUCACCCAUCUUCCUGUAAGGUUAACUGAAUACAAAUAAUUUGUAUUUGUGGAAUAUGAAAAUUUGGUGGCCCUCACAACUCACCUCUCUAACCACCGAAGCUCUUAUGAAUUCCUCUGCUGUAGAUUAUAAGGAAAACAAAUGUGUGGUGGCAACUGAAAGUGAUGACGAGGCGAAUACAAGAACAAAGACUACCGAUUAAGAUNNNNNNNNNNNNNNNNNNNNNNNNNNNNNNNNNNNNNNNNNNNNNNNNNNNNNNNNNNNNNNNNNNNNNNNNNNNNNNNNNNNNNNNNNNNNNNNNNNNNAGCUUGGUGGGGAGUAAUACACAAGGAAUGCAAUUUGAGUUCUAGUUUUUGUAAAGUUAAGUAGCGAUCCAAACUAGAAGUUCUCUGCCUAGUGCUGAUCAAAAGAUUCGAAGUGUAUAAAUAGAUCACACACACGCAAAGAAAUUUCAGAAUUGAUGCAAACAAGGAGUGUGAUUGGGAUGCAAGUGUUGCAGUCAGACCCAACCAAAGUUUUGCACCAAACAAAGAAAGCAAACUGGUUGCAGAACUUGAUAUGAAACUUUCAGCACCUGUGCACAUAAACCAACUAAUCUUUCAGAAUUUCUCUCUGAACCUUUCUCAACUAUUUUUUUACUUCACUUCUUUUUUGCACUUUCUUUUCUUUUUUUGGACACACUUUUUUUAUAUAUAGAACUAAAAAACAGGGAUCAGAUUAUGAUACUUACACAACUAAAAACAGAAAUAAAGCAACAACCAGUAGCUAAAUAGGAUCAAAGUUAACACAAAGGAUGAUAUAGGCUAUAGAGAUUUUUUUGUGGGGAUUUUUAGAUAUAAAAGAGGCACAGAGAACACGCGAAGGAUAAUUAUCAGCAACUAAAACAAAGACUCUAAUGGACUACGACUUAACCGAACUCACUAAAAUAACAGAUUGAUACAUAGGUCUAAGCAAUAUAUUUUUCUGGCUUUUUGGUGGAUAGGACGAAGCAAAAUAUAUAUGUAGCUAGGGAUAAAAUUCCUACCAUGGUAACGAAAGCUCUGAUACCAGAUGAUGCGACACGUUGUCCCGAUCUUCACGACAUAGGAAGAACACCGAUAACUAGCUGAAGAACAGCCGGAUAACGUGCUGCAAGCAGCGAUAACUAGUGCAAUCUGGCAAAUAAAACUCGAAGCCAACCACCGUCUUUAACCGGCAACCUGAAUCGAGGAUUCGCCCAACCACACUCUAAAAGAACCAACCAACACAGCCUACAAUCAAUCAAGGAAUACCUUGAAGGGAGUAGGAGCACCAAUUGGGGGCGGAUGAAGCCGUUGCCUAUGUAAUUCCGCGAGGAAAUCACAAGAGCAAGGGGUAGAGAUCACUCUCUGAAUAUUUGCUAGCACACAGCUAAACAAAAGGGGUUCUGUAUUUCAAUUAUCAAAAGUCUAAGAUUACAAUGAGUCUUAGGGGUUAUUUAUAAUAGCAACAGCCCUGCUAGAUAGGUAUGAAAACGAAAUAGAGUUUCUGAGGGAAGGCAGUGUGAAAGGUCCCCUCAAAAUGGAUUCCCGAAGUGGCUUCGCGUGACUGUUGGCCUCCAGAGUAGUUUCCAAUAAACUGACCAUAACUUUUUAUUGGGAAGUCCAAAUGAUGAACUGUGUAUUAGGUGUGAAACUAGACUCAAAGGGAUUUCCAGCAAUGUAUGCCUACCAGCACGAAACAUUGUAGAUUGGUACAGUUUUACUUGGCAACUCGUACCAACAUUCUGUCACGACAGACCGUUGACCUUCUGAGCAGUCUGUACUAAUUCUGGUUUGCAGGCAAUAUGGAGUAUCCAAACUGGUUGCCACUAGAUUCAUUAGAAAGUAGACUCGUCAAGCUUUCCAACAAGUCCUCAUGGACCUUCAUAUAUUUUGUGAGUAAAAAGUUAGAUUUCUUUGCACUAGUCCAUUUUUGACUUCCACUGGUCCGUUUUUGACUUUUUCUGGACUUGCACUGGUCCAUUCUUCAGGGUCCGAUUCAUCCUUCUCUUCUUCUAUAUACCUGAGUACAAUCAAGGUACAACACUUAGGUAGUAUAUAAUUCUCAUUAGUGUUAAAAUAAAUCUCACAAAGUAGCACGUGGACCUCUUGUUGUAGCUUCUUUGCACGACUACGUGUAAUCGGUCCAUUGAUGACUUGGGCUGGUGUCGGUGUAGGUGAAACUUGAGUGGAUGUAGCUUGACUUGGAGCUUGUGACAUCUUGCUUGGUGGCAUGGUCAUAUCAAUAAUUAAUAGCUUUCUUGAAAGAAUAUAAAGAUUGUUUUGCUUGGGAGUAUUAUGAAAUGUCUGGUCUUGAUAGAAGGUUAGUUGAACAUCGGCUACCAAUUAAACCUAGGUAUCAACCUUUUAAGCAAGCUCCAAGAAGGAUUAAACCAGAGGUAAUGGCCGAUGUCAAAGCAGAAAUCACUCGAUUUUAUGAAGCAAAAUUCAUUUGGCAAUGUCGAUAUGCUGAAUGGAUUUCCAGUGUGGUUUGAAUAAAGCUACCCCUAUGGAUAGUUAUCCUAUGCUUGUUGGUGAUAUGUUAGUUGAUGCACCAGCAGGACAUAAAGUCAUUAGUUUUAUGGAUGGUAGUGCCUGAUAUGAUCAAAUCAUAAGAUUGCUUCUAGAUGUCCUGGUGCAUUGGGUUUAUAUGAGUGGGUAGUCAUGACUUUUGGACUCAAAAAUGUUGGUGCAACUUAUCAGAGAGCAAUGAGUUAUAUCUAUCAUGAGUCAGCAAGAUUGUUGAAAUUUAUAUAGAUGAUGUAGUUGUGAAAUCCAAGGAUUAUCAAGAAUAUUUGGAAGAUCUCAAGAAAACUCUUAUGUGUGCCAGAAAGCAUGGAUUGAGAAUGAAUCCACAUAAGUGUGCUUUUGGAGUAUUGGCUGGACAGUUCUUGGGUUUCAUGGUGCAUGAAAAAGGGAUUGAAGUUGGGCAAAAGAGUUUUGAAGCAAUUAGCAAGAUAGUACCUCCAACUUCAAAAUCUGAAUUGCAAUCUUUGAAAGGCAAAUUUAUUUUUGUUAGAAGAUUUAUUUCGAACUUAUCAGAUAAGAUUUUGUUGUUCUCUGCAUUGUUGAAAUUGAAGAGUGAUCAAGAAUUCAAGUGAGGGAACAAACAACGAAAGGCAUUUGAAGAUAUUAAGGAAUAUAUGAAGUCUCCACCAGUUUUAGUACCUCCUUAGAAGGGAAAGCCUUUUAUGUUGUAUGUAGCAGUCGGUGACCAUACUAUUGCAUCGGCUUUAACGCAAGAAUUUGAAGGAAAAGAAAGAGUUAUCUUCUAUUUAACUAGAAGAUUGUCGGAUCCAGAAACUAGAUAUUCACCCAUUGAAAAGAUAUGUUUAUGUUUGCUUUUCAUGUACUAAACAUAGGCAUUAUUUGUUGUCUUUGGAAUGCACUGUGGUGUCCAAGUUUGAUGUGAUCAAACAUAUGCUAUCUAUGCCUAUUUUGAAUGGGAGGAUCUGUAAGUGGAUUCUUGCAUUAUCAGAAUUUGAUUUAAGAUAGAAAUCAGCUAAAGCAGUUAAAGGUCAUGCUAGAGCUGAUUUCAUUACUCAUCAUCGAGAAGGGGAAGUGACAAUGUUGGAAUAACCCCUUGGGCUUUAUUCUUUGAUGGAUCUACUUGCAAGCAAGGAGGGGGUGUCAGUAUUGUGUUGAUUUCUCCACAAGGGGUGAGUUUUGAAUAUGCUAUUCCCAUAAAACCAACAUCUACUAAUAAUCAAGUAGAGUAUGGAGCUGUUCUUAAAGGUAUUCAACUUCUACAUGAAGUAAAGGCUGAGAGUAUUAAAGUUUUUGGUGAUUCUCAAUUGAUAAUUAAUCAAUUGCUCGGCCUAUAUGAAUGCAAAGAGGAUGUCCUGAGGAAAUAUUAUGAAGAAGGCCAAGAACUUCUUAAUUCUUUUUUUUCGUUAUGAUGAAGCAUAUUCCCAAAAUCCAGAAUCAAGAGGCUAAUCGGCUAGCUCAAAGUGCUUCUGGAUAUCAGCAAAUUAUUGAAAUUUUAGCCGAUGAAGUUGUUGUUGAUAAAGAUUGGAGAAAGGAUAUUAUCGAGUAUUUGAAUAAUUCAGCACAACAAGUAUCCAAGAAAUUGUGGUACUUCUUGAUGAUUAGCUAUAUCAUAGAACAAUUGAUGGUGUGCUCCUUAAGUGUGUCAACCGAGAAGAAACUAAGGUUUUAGUGGGAGAUAUUCAUGAAGGAGUUUGUGGUGCCCAUCAAUUUGCUCAUAAGAUGAAGUGGAUGAAAAGAAGAGCAGGUUAUUUUUUGCCGACCAUGUUGAAGGAUUGCUUCGAGUAUUAUAAAGGAUGUCUAGAGUGUUAAAAGUUUGGCAAUAUUCAAAAUCUCCAAUAUCGGCUAUGAACCCUAUUAUGAAACCAUGGCCAUUUACAGGUUGGGGAAUAGAUCUAAUCGGCCAGAUAUUUCCAUCGUCAAGUAAGGGACAUAAGUUUGUUUUGGUAGCAAUGGAUUAUUCUACUAAGUGGGUGGUAGCUAUUCCUUUAAAGGUAGCAUCAUCAGCUAAUGUGAUUGAGUUCAUCCGAGAACAUAUUAUUUAUAGAUUUGGGGUCCUUAAAUCCAUUACAAUUGAUCAAGGGAAGAUGUUUACAUCCAAGGAGUUUGAAGACUUUGCUGCCAGUACUAGUUUUAAAUUGAUCAAUUCGUCUCCUUACUAUGCCCAAGCUAAUGGACGAGCAGAAGCUUCUAAUCCGAUUCUUAUUAAGAUCAUCAAGAAAAAGAUCAAUGAAAAUCCAAGGAAGUGGCAUUCAGUACUCAGUGAAACUCUUUUGUCUUAUACGAUGGCUUGUCAUGGAUCGACUAAAUGUUUAGCAUAUGAGUUGGUUUAUGGGCAUGAAGCUGUAUUGCCAUGGGAGAUUAAUCUAGAAUCUCAAAGGAUAUCACAGCAAGACAAAUUGAUAGCCGAUGACUACAAGAAUCUUAUGUUGGACAAUUUAGAUGAUUUGAAGUUUCAUUGGCUAAAGGCUUUAGAAAAUAUUAGAGCUAACAAAAUCAGGUUGCCAUGUUCUAUAAUCAAAAAGUGUAAGAAAGAAGACUCAGUGAAGGUGAACUGGUUUGGAAGGUAAUUUUGCCGAUUGGAUCUAAAGAUAGUAAAUUCGGCAAGUGGUCACCUAAUUGGGAAUGACCAUUUCAGAUUACUAGGGGUUGCUCCUAGAAAUGCUUACUUUUAUGAAACUUUGGAAGGAGAAUAGUAUCCUAGAGCUAUUAAUGGAAAAUAUUUUAAGAAGUAUUAUCCUAGUGUCUGGGUAGAUCUACUUUAGUUGAUCAAGUCAUACAAAGAGAUGUUUUGAUAGCCCAUACACCAAGUAUGGCCUUUAGUAUAAAAAUUCAGAGUGUUAAGUUGUCAGGAAUAUAUAGCCGAUACAAUGAGUAUCGCCUUCAGUUCAAAAUUUUAAGGGGUUUUGACAGUAAAGUAAUUGAUACAAUAAUAUUCAGUGUUCAGAACUAUAAUUUAUAGCCGAUAUAAUAGAUAUCGCCUUUAGCACAAAAAUCAGAAACACAAAGAAUGUUUUAUUGGUUCAAAAUCAUAUUAAAAUUGCCUCGGUGGGCAAUGUCACAGACAGUGGAUUAGCAAAACAAAAUAAGAUAAAACUGCCUCAAGUGCAGUGUUCUUCAUUGAUCUAGAGGAGUUUUUACAUUGAUCAAAAAUAAAAAAACUAAAUUAAUCCUCAUCGUCAUAGACAGGGCUGAUGAUGUCUGACGACGAUGAGGCCUGCACCAUUGCAUCGGCGUAGGGGGCGAACUCCUCCACCAGCUCAUCAAAGUCUUCGUUGUUGCAUUCCUCGAUGAAGUCCAGAGAAAGAUGCUCUGAGACUUGGGCUCCAUAAUGGAGCUAGUUGGCUAUCAGUGCAGCGCUGCUCUUGAGUGGACGCCAUGGAGCGCAAUCUCCCGGACAUGAUCAGGCAUGUCUUGGAGGCGCUCCAACUAGGUCUCCCCACGAGCGUUGACCAUCCCGGUGACCGCGGCGACGGCAGGGGUGAGGGUGUUGAAUUGCUCCUAGGGCACUGCGAUCAACAAAAUACAUUGUAUCAACAAGUUUGUCGAUUAACUAAAAAGAUAUAGAGAAGAUGAACUUACUGGCGAUGGUGGAAUUAGACUCUACUAAUUGUUCCUUGGACUGGGCCAUGGAUCCCUAGGUGUUCUCCGUCACCGCUCCAAAGCGUUGUGCUGCUCUUGGAGGCGGUGGGACCUCUUUCACUCCUCGGAGUAGAGGUCCUGGGCUACUCUAAGACGCUGGAGGAAGCUCCAGGCGUCUUUGUGCCUGAAGACGGCAUCAUAGCCAAUGGGCUCCGAACAUGCCUAGCUUGCCUCAAAUUGCCUGGUUCACAGCAGCUUCCUCAAAGGCUACUGCUACCGGAGGUAGAGAAGAUGCCAAUGCCUUAGGAACAUGGUUGCUCAGGCCUGCCCCAGGAUUGAUUUAGUGGGGCAGGUGAUAAGUAAGUUUAGAAUGAGAUUGUAGAAAUUGCUACACUAAGUUACCUAUUCAAAGGCCUGCGUUGUGCAGAGUUCACCUCACCGGAUGAAGAAGGUGAUGCGGGGCACUUGCCUCUGCUGUCUGCCAUUCAUUGGAAGGUUACAGUUCUUGGGAGAGAAGGCAAGAGGCUUGAAAGAUUGAAAGGUUGAAUAUGCAAGUCUGACUGUGUGACUUUUACCCUUAGAGCUCUGGUAUUAUUUAUAAUGGGGUAAGUGAAAGUUGAAGCAGUUUGUAGUUAAUCCCCUAGAGAAAGUGGUUCGACUAUCAUCACGAUGAUUCCUUGAAUUUGGGGUGAGUGGAUCGGCUAAACAUAAAACAUCUCCAUAAUCCUAGAGACGUGGGUGACAGAGAAUAACUGAUCAACUUAACUAUGACCGCGGAAGACCUGAGUAGUGGAUCGGCUAACUUUCCCGAUAGAAUUCUACUUUACUUCGAUUCAGUUGGCAUUUCUGAUGAGACUUUAAACAAAAGUACAUAUUGCUGGAGAGGAAAAAACAAGUCUAAGUAAAUAAAAGUUAAGUCUGAGAAUUACAAGAUGCAAAGUAAAUGACCAGAGUGUUCAAAUUACGUAUUUAGAAUAAACUUAAUUUAUUUUAAAGCUAAAAGCCUAAUGCUAUCUAUUUCGGCUAUCUGUUGCUGAUCUUCUUCAGCUGAUCCAGGAAUCUUGGCUUUCUUAUAUUGCUUAAUUUUGUCAAGCUUAGCCUUCAAGGUUGCCAUGUUCUUUUUCUAAUUGGCUAAAGAUGCAGGGAUUUGAGAUAAAGCUUCUUCCUUCUAUUUGAUUGCAUGUUCUACAGUCUUCAACUGAGCUAACAGUUGUGUCCUUUCUUCAUUAAGAGCAGCCAAAUCUUUGUUGAUUUCAGCAGGAGAUUCUUUGAGGAGAUCGACUGCCUUCUUAACUGAUAGGAUUUCUUGGAUGCAUUGGCUUUCAGGAGCAGCUGAGUUCUUUUGAGCUUCUCUAGCUGCUAAUCUAGAUUGAGCGCUAAGGAAUUUAGGGCCAUUGGCUUCGAGGAAUGCAGCUGGCUGAAUCAUUUCUUUCAAAGAAGGAGUAAGAUCAUCUUUGAUGUGAUUGAAGAUCUCUCUGAUAGAACCUGCAUCUUGAACUAAAAAUGAAACGUCUAGCUCCAGAUGGGUGAUCAAGCUUUGUAGUUGAGCUUUAAUGUAGUCAGGUAUCAUCAGUGGAGUAUCUUAUGAGAUCAGGAUUGUUUCUUCAUCAAGAUAUUCAUCUAAGGAGAAUGGCAGAUCAGGUGAAGAAACCUAUUCCUGUGUUGAGCUAAACAAAUUAGUGUUUAUCAGGAGAUAUCAGUGGAUGAUAAUAAGUGGUUUGAUAUACCUAUUCUACUGAAACCAUGGUAGAGCUGGGAAUAGCCGAUGAAGCAACUUCAAGAAGUUGAAGGUCUAGAUUCAUGGAAAUGAGUUAGUAUAAGUAAAAGGAUUUAUCCUAUCGGCUGUUGUAUGGUGUUACCUAAAGAUACUUCUAGGAUUGUGCCCGGGUUGGGAAUAGCAUCAUCAUCACUGCUGGUGAAAGAUAAGCCCUCUAGAAGGUCAGGAAGUUUAGGUCCCUUUUGAACAGUAGAUUUGUGGGCAACAUCCUAAAAAGUAAAGAGUUAGCUAAUGCAUAGGCAUAUUGUAUACUUAUGAGUUAACAGAAAGGUUACCUCGGUGGCUGCAUCAGCUAAAGACUUGAGCUAUUUUGAAGGAGUUACUUUGGUCUUCUUCAAGGUUGCCUUCUGAGAAGCAGCCAAUUGCUUUCUUUUUAGUGUAGCAAUCAGCUGAUCUUCAGGUAAGUCUAAUGCUGGCUUCUUCAAUAAAUCUUUUAGAGGAGGUGCAUCAGAGCCUAGUCUUGGGUUAGGGCACCAUAUAUCAUAGGUCACCAGUGGAGGGUUCAAGCUAGCAAGAUCUUGUAGACAAUUAAUAUAAGUGAAUCUAUUCUGAGGUGACAGAAAUAUCAAAGUGUAGUUUAUUAAACAUACCUCAAGUGCAGCUUGGAAGUCUAGGUCUAAGGAGGAGCAGUAAACGGAUACUAGCACAUUGAAGAUAUGUUGGCUCCACUCUUGCCACCAGUGAUCAAAAGCUGUAGAAGUGAAAAGGGUGCACUCCCAUCCGCUAAUGGCUUCUGGCAAUAGAGAUUGUUCAAAAUGAAGAAUUCUGUUGUACUCUAUUCCAGCACUAACAGUUUCCCUUAGUUUCACCUUAUCAGCAAAGAAUAAGGCUGUGGGCAAUUGGCCAAAACCCAUCUAUCUGGCUACUAUUGAGGGAUAGAAGAAUUCAUAGGAAGUUGGGGGUUUCUCUCUUCCAUGUCUGACUUCAACAGGCAGAAGACUUGGCCUUACCAAAUGGCUCAGAAUUUUGAAAUCCUAAGGAUCACUAUAAAUGGUCUAAAAUCUGAAUGAUGCUGGGAGUUCAAAUUUUAGAAUAUCUGAGUGGACAAACCACUCUAGAUAUGCCUCUUGAGAAUUUCUAUAGAAUAAUUUGAAGAAGUCAGUAGUCGAUCUAUCAAUAGUGAUUGUCGAUGCUGCCUCACCAAAAGACAUACAUCGGCAAAAUUUUUGAUUUCUUGAGAGUUGUUCUUCUUGCUCUUCUAGGUAUUCUAAGGAAAAAGGACAUAUUGAUCGGUUCUGGAGUUACUAACCUCUGCAGAUGGAGAUUGAGCCAUAACUGCAACAACCACCAGGGACCUGUGAUGGUUGGAAUAGUCUUAUUCUCCAUCAGAUAUUGUGAAACUCUGUUCAAGAGACUAUGCAGUGCUCCAAGGAGAUUCUUGCCAAGUGGAAUUUUAGAGGUUCUUGGUAUUUUCUCUAACAAAGUAAGAUAAUUGGAGGUUGGAGAGCAAGCCUAUCCACAAAAGAGACAUCUGUCCAACCACAUGUUUAGGAAAGCUAUAUGUUCCCUAUCAGACACACAUCUAUUAUCAGACUUGUGGCUAAUAAUGUAUGGGGACCAACCCCUAGUUCUAAUGCUAUCUAGCUUGACAAACGGUUUCACUAGUAAAUUGAAGGGGUUGACCUGUCCUGCAAUGUUGAGGACUAUCAGCAUGUGGACAUCAGCUAAUGUUGGGGACAACGGGCCUUGUCUGAAGAGGAAGACAUUGUAGGUGUUGGACCAAAAGAAACAAGUAGCCCUAAGCAUAGGUUCAUUUUUCUUGAUAUCAGAGAGGGACAAGGAGAUGCACUGGUCCAAGUUCCUAUGUGCCCAAUCUGCUCUAUUCUUGGCUGCCACCUUGAUCAAUUAGUUUCUCCAGCCUAGGAUGAUUGACGGCCAGUUCCUCAUUGAUGCUCUCUUAUCCCAGAGACCUAGAUGCAUGUUGGAUUCCUUGAAGGGGACUCUGUUAGUCUCGGCAAUAAUUACCUGCUAGGAUUAGGGUCACCCAUUGGACCUAGGAAGCUCUUGUGUAGAUUGCCAUCAAGUGGGAUGAAUACUGGCCCUGGAGAUUCUAAAAGUAAAAGAAAAGAGUAAGGGCAAGCUGACAGAGUAAGAUAAUUUAGGGAAGCACUGGAAGAAAGCAUACCUCUAGGAUGUUGUCAAUGGACGCCAUUGGAACAAAAGUAACUGAUUCGGUGUGUUGAGAAUGGAUCGUGUGGAGAUUUAGUGGAUUAUACUGAUUUUGAAUUUUCGACUUGGAAUACUUGGAGGAAAACUGUAACACCCGAUUUUAAGAACAAAAUCAGAUAUGCACCAUAUGUGAGUUUUAGAAGACAAGCCUCACAUAUAGCUACAAAUAAGGGGUAAUAACAAAGGACAAUGCAUAAAUUAUAUAGCGUAGAUAAUAAAUUAGAAACAACCUUGGGCAGCAAACACGGAAGAGAACUCCAAACUUCGGGAGUUAACCUCACUCUACAGGAUCCAACUGACUGGUUGAUCACAAGCCCAAAACUUCUCCUGAGGUGUGGGGGAGAUAGCAAGAUUGAGUUCAAGACGAACUCCGCAAGUAUAACAACUAGUUUGUAUAGAUCCCACAAUCUCAUGAUCAAUGUGACAUAAAUAAUAUAGAGCAUUAAACAAUAAUCAUGAGCAUAUUUACACAACAAGAUUCAUCACCCUUAAUGUAAGAAUCCCCAAGGCCGCUCGUGACCGUGAGCACGGCUAGUAUACCAAUUUUUAACACACUGCAGAGGUUGUACAUCUUUACCCAUGAGUCAUGAUUUACCCUUUCGCUCAAGGUGAUCAGCCUCGUAACCCACUACCAAGGUAGGUCGGUAGGGAUCACUAUGAAGUCUUUCAAAGGUUCGUCUAACAAGUUAGGGCCGCUUGGUUUCGGUAGUCAGUCCAUGUGAUUCUACCCCGCAGGGGAUCCACGGUCUGCUAUCCCCCAUUUGUGCCACACGGGUAACCUCUAACAAGCUACAAAAGUUACUCAUACUUGACUAAAGCCAGAGCCAUUAUAGCCCUCAUGGUUGCACUUUCAUCCCGGUUAUCACUUACGAAUAAAUCCUCAAGUUGUUAAAAAGUCAUUAUUAUCAUUUGUUGCUUUAUAUUAAUCUAGUCACAAGAUCAUGGUCAUAGAAUUAAAACCCAAAUGCUCUACUUGCCUUGAUCCAAUUGCUCCUGCUGGUCCUGCUGAUCUUACUUGCUUCCAAGGUUCUGAUAUUGAUCACCGAAGUAAUGCCACUGUCUAAUCUCGAUCAUCGAUCAUCAACACACAAACAAUCGAAGACAGACAUACACGAAGCAAACAAGAUUACAAUUAGAACAGUACACCAGCAUUAAAUAAAUAUAAAUAAAAGUUUUCCAAAAUCAUCUACAUGCUGCUACGAUCACGUCAACGAGAAAUUCACGGAAAACGGAGUUAUGACACGAAAGUUACGUUUUUAACGGGAUUUCAACAGGAGUUUAUGGACUUGUAAUUAACUAGGGAAUCUAACAGUGGCGAACCCAGACAACAAUGGUACUAACGCGAAGUUUAUGAAAUUAUGAAACUAACGCAACUUGAUCGGAUCGAAUCGGAGCUAAAACGGAGAAGAUACGAAUUUUCAAAGAUUUUAUAUAGAAAAGUAUUUAAUUAAAUAGGGUCACAAAUUAAAAAGUUCAAACUGAUCAACCAAGAUUACUAACAUGUUGAUCUCGCGAAAACGAAUCUAACACAAUUUGAACGGGUCAAAUCGGAGCUAAACGAAUAUUUUAUGGCCGAAACAAUGUAGUGGCAAUUCUGUAAUUACUGCAAAGUAUAAACGAUUUAAAUUAAACAAAAAAAUCCUGGAAAUUUCCUCGGCCACGGACUGCGGGCAUGAAUAAAAGAAAAUUGGAGGUCUCUUUGGCAAAGUUGCCCUGCGAAGGGGUAUGGGCCGUUCCUGGCCAUCAGAUUCAAGAUCAACGUGCGAGAUUAGAUGGGAGGGGAGACAGAGGGGACUGGCGGCCGGAGUUGGGGAAGGUUGCGGCGGCAGCCAUUGCCGGCGGCGAGGAGCUCGCCGGAGUAAGCCGUUCUGGCGCUACGGUGCACCAAAUUCGAAACCGCGAGUACUGGGAGAAAGAGGAGAACGAAACGAAUUCAUUCCCGAGCUCAGCACGGCCGGAGAAGGACACGCGCAGUGCGGACAACGGCGACACCAUUGUCGACGCCCUCGGUGCGUGCGAACAAGGCCUUAGAGGCCACGAAACGGAGCGAAAGAAUCACCGGGAGAAAGAGGGGGAGAAGGAGAUGCUCACCGCGGCGAGAAGCGGGGCAAAGACGGCUCGAAAAGCUGAGCGACGCGCGGCCAACGAUGGUGGUUUUCGGUGCUUGCACAAGUGGAGCAGAGGCAAGGGAAGUGAAAUGAGGGGAGGGGGAGGGCGGCUCGGGCGCGGACGCUCUUCCAAUGCCGACACGCGGGGCAAGAAGUGGUGGGGAUCGUGGGGAGCGGGGGCGCGGCUCGAUCCGUUGCUGUCGAGAGAAAGGAGAGAGGGAGGUGACGGUUGGAGAGGAAGGAACUGACAAGCGGGCCCCGCUUGUCGGCGAGAGAGAGGGGGAAAAGUGGGAAAACUGGUCGGCUGGGCUGCGGCCCAGAAGGAAGGGGGGCGCAGGGGCAACUGGGCCAAGCAGGGCGAAAAGAAGGAAAAGGGAAAAAAGUUUCCAUUUUCUUUUCCAGAUAUAUAUAUUUUUUUAAAACUCAUUUUUCUAUUGAAAUUUGAAUUCAAAACUCUUUACAAAUUCCACACAUCCCAAAAAUAAAUGUGCUGCAGCAUGAAUGCAUCAAAAUGUUUUCUAAACUUAUAUUAAAUUUUAAUUCCCCAAAUUUAUUUAUUUUUCCUAUAUUUUUUAUGCUCACAAAAAUUAUUUAAUUAAAUCCAAUUCAUCUACUUAAAGGAAUGAAAUUUUGGGUGUUACAAUUCUACCCCCCUUAAAAUGAAUCUCGUCCUCGAGAUUUGGAAGAGGCUCAGAUCCUCUGAGAGAAACAAGAAAAUAUAUCUUGAUAAUCCUUUCAACUUCACAACUUGCAUACCAAACUUAAACACUUGUCUCAACGUCACACCUCAUGAACAUAAUUUUCAUUAAAUACUAUUAUUCAUAACUGACCAAAGUCCAUCUUGACUACUAAUUUCUUUUAGCUUACAACUCCAAGAGACACGGAAACUUAAUAUGCAUUUGUCUCCUCAGGUAGGAGUGGACUACCGUGAUACUCCAUUCUUUUUCCUGAUGGUGCUAUUAAAAACAUUUUGUACUGGGUACCAUAGAUCACUCCUUUGUGUGCACACAACCAUCCAUUACAAAGGACAAAGGGAAUACUAAGUGACUCUAGCACAAUGAGGUUUAUAGUGAAGUUUUCCUUGUUUAUGACCAGAUUGAUAUUUGAGUAGACCUGAUCUGCUUGUAUUUCUCCCACUGGGGUUUGAACUAACAAAGGCUUCCUCGUUGGGCACUUCACCCUCUCGAUUGUCUUUACAAGGUCGGUAGAAAUGAAAGAAUGCGAAGCACUCGGGUCAAACAGAGCAAAAACUAACACUGAGUCCACUUGAAUAUAGCCACCCACCACUUUGGUAGCUCCAAGAAUGUUAUGCCUAUCCACAUUGCUUAGUCUUCCAUUGAUAUAGUCUCGUUGCACCCUACUUCCAUGAGCAGGCUUCUUACGGCUUUUCCUUUUUCUCUUUCGCCGUUGUGGAUUCUGAUUUGAUUCACUUCCAACUUGCUCUUGAGUAUCAUUAUUUUGAUAGCACUCAGUUUCAUCGUACUCAUAACAUCCUUCAAGGGUAGGAUCAUCAUUCUCUUCCCACGUAUCAGUAAGAGGCAUCAUAGAGGGCUCCUGAUCCAUGGGAAACUACACUCCCUGUCAUCAAAUGACCAACGUCAAUGACACAAGAAGGAGAGAUGAUUAUAUUCAUAGAAUAUCUCACGAGACAACUCUCACUUCAAGAUGAGUUGAAAAUGCAUCAACCCAUGAUAUCAAGGUACUACCCCCCUUAAGAAAGGUCGACUAGGAGGCACAAGGAAGGUAGCUUGCACUUUUUCUUGACAAGUUAUCUUGCAUUGAGACCCUUUUGACAUCCCAAGGAACUUAUGUGCAAGGAAGAAUAAAUAUCCUGAAAUUUUCUCACGAUAAGAAAAUCACCAGCGCAGUAAAAUGGACAUAACUCUUGUUCUGUUAAUCCAAUAGGGUUAUAGCUUAUACCGUUAGAAAGCUUAGAAAAUUUCCUACAACCUUUCUAUAGAACACUUUUCCAAAUUCUAUUGCUAUGUUUGUCCAAAACAGCAGGCAACCAAAACUGGUCCAUGUUCUUGACAGCACAUCUAUAUCGUCUUGUGAUUUUUGUAACUUCCAAACCAUAAUAGCUAUGAGGGUGCUUCUUGUGGUCAGAGAAAGACCAUGAAGUCCACUCUCAUCCAGAAUUUUGUCAUGAUUUUUAUUCAUCCAAGAUCAGAGACAUAAGCCGAUAAAGAUGAGAUACUCUAGAAAGGCACGAUAAGGUAACAAGAGAAAAACCAAAACCCAACUAUUUAUGUCAUUAAUCCUUAUGCCUUAGACAUAUAAACUAAAUGAAAUUGUGAAGAAACUCACAAGAUCAUUACACUCAUUACAAAGAUCCAAAACAAACAUAAACAUAAAGACAAUUCAACCAAGCAGUAAAGGUUCACAAGGCACACAAACUCGACUUUCGCUGCUAGCAUUUUUAUUACACAAGGGUAUAAACUCCUAUAUCUUAAACUCAGUGUGGCUUCUUUCAUGAUACUACUGUUGGUUCUUCUGUGGACAAGACUUUACAUAGUGUCCUUCCUGUCGGCAGUGAUAACACUUUUUCUUAGUUGGAUCCUUCGUGAUAUGAUUUUCCACUGAGGUGUUGCUCCGUGUGUUAUCAGCUCGCUGACUCUGAAGGUUUGUCUCUGGCUGGCUAGCUUUCUUCCUAACUUGGUUGAUCCGUCGAGGUUCAAACUCUUUAUAAGUGAUGGUCCAUCCAUCUAUGCAUACCUCAUGAGCAGUGGGGUUAGCUUGAGAAGUUUCUUCAUCUCCAAGGUUUGGAUUUUCAUGGCCAGGGUUCAAAGCUAAAUGUGACGACUUAGGAUUUGAAUGUUGUUCACUUCCCAAUGCUAGCUCUAGUGAUUUUGCCUUCCUCUUCUUAUCCUCAUUAGUCACACCAUUUGGUUUUACCUUCACUUCCUUUUUAGAUGACCUAUUCCGAAGACAAGGAAGACCGUAAUGCCUACAACAAUGGCAUUGAUCCUGAUAUCCCGAUGUAUUACUAUCAACACCUCCAUGGGUUCUCAUAUUUUUCCAAGCUUCUGCUACUUGUCUCUUCACUGGUCGUGAGAUGCACUGCUGAGAGUUCCAAUUAUGAGUCAUUCCUUCAACUACUUGCUUUUGCAUGGCUAGAAGCUUCUCCUUGUCGAAUGCUUUUACGAGUGGCAUCUCUGAGUCCUUUUGUUCCUUCAUGUCAAUGGUCUCGUCGUUAUGAGCCAUCUAAAUAGACAAGGAGGUUGGAUUUAGAAUAGAGACAAAGUUUUAUAACAGAAUAGGGUAGAGGUAAGCAUAAAUUUUAGCAAUUAUCAAGGUUAAGGUGGAAGCAAGAAGUAAGCAGAGAUAGAAGCAUCCUAAAACGUCCGGUUCUAACUAGGCUUGCGUCCUACAGUCAGCAUUGCUUUGAUACCACUUUGUAACACCCGAUUUUAAGAACAAAAUCAGAUAUGCACCAUAUGUGAGUUUUAGAAGACAAGCCUCACAUAUAGCUACAAAUAAGGGGUAAUAUCAAAGGACCAUGCAUAAAUUAUAUAGCGUAGAUAAUAAAUUAGAAACAACAUUGGGCAGCAAACACGGAAGAGAACUCCAAACUUUGGGUAUUGACCUCACUCUACAGGAUCCAACUGACUGGUUGAUCACAAGCCCAAAACUUCUCCUGAGGUGUGGGGGAGAUAGCAAGAGUGAGUUCAAGACGAACUCCGCAAGUAUAACAACUAGAUUGUAUAGAUCCCACAAUCUCAUAAUCAAUGUGACAUAAAUAAUAUAGAGCAUUAAACAAUAAUCAUGAGCAUAUUUACACAACAAGAUUCAUCACCCUUAAUGUAAGAAUCCCCAAGGCCGCUCGUGACCGUGAGCACGGCUAGUAUACCAGUUUUUAACACUCUGCAGAGGUUGUACAUCUUUACCCAUGAGUCAUGAUUUACCCUUUCGCCCGAGGUGAUCAGCCUCGUAACCCACUACCAAGGUAGGUCGGUAGGGAUCACUAUGAAGUCUUUCAAAGGUUCGUCUAACAAGUUAGGGCCGCUUGGUUUCGGUAGUCAGUCCAUGUGAUUCUACCCUGCAGGGGAUCCACGGUCUGCUAUCCCCCAUUUGCACCACACGAGUAACCUCUAACAAGCUAGAAAAGUUACUCAUACUUGACUAAAGCCAGAGCCAUUAUAGCCCUCAUGGUUGCACUUACAUCCCGGUUAUCACUUACGAAUAAAUCCUCAAGUUGUUAAAAAGUCAUUAUUAUCAUUUGUUGCUUUAUAUUAAUCUAGUCACAAGAUCAUAGUCAUAGAAUUAAAACCCAAAUGCUAUACUUGCCUUGAUCCAAUUGCUCUUGCUGGUCCUGCUGAUCUUACUUGCUUCCAAGGUUCUGAUAUUGAUCACCGGAGCACUGCCAUUGUCUAAUCUCGAUCAUCGAUCAUCAACACACAAACAAUCGAAGAUAGACAUACACGAAGCAAACAAGAUUACAAUUAGAACACUACACCAGCAUUAAAUAAAUAUAAAUAAAAGUUUUCCAAAAUCAUCUACAUGCUGCUACGAUCAUGUCAACGAGAAAUUCACGGAAAACGGAGUUAUGACGCGAAAGUUACGUUUUUAACGAGAUUUCAACAGCAGUUUACGGACUUGUGAUUAACUAGGGAAUCUACCAGUGGUGAACCUAGACAACAAUGGUACCAACGCGAAGUUUAUGAAAUUAUGAAACUAACGCAACUUGAACGGAUCGAAUCGAAGCUAAAACGGAGAAUAUACGAAUUUUCUAAGAUUUUAUAUAGAAAAGUAUUUAAUUAAAUAGGGUCACAAAAUUAAAAAGUUCAAACUGAUGAACCAAGAUUACUAACAUGUUGAUCUCGGGAAAACAAAUCUAACGCAAUUUGAACGGGUCAAAUCGGAGCUAAAACGAAUAUUUUAUGGCCGAAACAAUGCAGUGGCAAUUCUGUAAUUACUGCAAAGUAUAAACGAUUUAAAUUAAACAAAGAAAUCCUAGAAAUUCCCUCGGCCACGGACUGCGGGCUUGAAUAAAAGAAAAUUGGAGGUCUCUUUGGCAAAGUUGCCCUGCGAAGGGGUAUGGGUCGUUCCUGGCCAUCAGAUUCAAGAUCAACGGGCGAGAUUUGAUGGGAGGGGAGAGAGAGGGGACUGGCGGCCGGAGUUGGGGAAGGUUGCGGCGGCAGCCGCUGCCAGCGGCGAGGAGCUCGCCGGAGUAAGCCGUUCGCGCACUACGGUGCAUCAAAUUCGAAACCGCGAGUACCGGGAGAAAGAGGAGAACGAAACGAAUUCAUUCCCGAGCUCAGCACGGCCGGAAAAGGACACGCGCAGUGCGGACCACAGCGACACCAUUGUCGACGCCCUCGGUGCGCGCGAACAAGGCCUUAGAGGCCACGAAACAGAGCGAAAGAAUCACCGAGAGAAAGAGGGGGAGAAGGAGAUGCUCAACGUGGCGAGAAGCGGGGCAAAGACGGCUCGAAACGCCGAGCGACGCGCGGCUAACGGCGGUGGUUUUCGGUGCUUGCGCAAGUGGAGCAGAGGCGACGGAAGUGAAAUGAGGGGAGGGGGAGGGCGGCUCGGGCGCGGACGCUCUUCCAAUGCCGACGCGCGGGGCAAGAAGUGGUGGGGAUCGUGGGAAGCGGGGGCGCGGCUCGGUCCGUUGCUGUCGAGAGAAAGGAGAGAGGGAGGUGACGGUUGGAGAGGAAGGAACUGAUAAGCGGGCCCCGCUUGUCGGCGAGAGAGAGGGUGAAAAGGGGGAAAACUGGCCGGCUGGGCUGCGGCCCAGGAAGGAAGGGGGGCACAGGGGCAAUUGGGCCAAGCAGGCCGAAAAUAAGGAAAAGGGAAAAAAGCUUCCAUUUUAUUUUCCAAAUAUAUAUAUUUUUUUAAAAACUCAUUUUUCAAUUGAAAUUUGAAUUCAAAAGUCUUUACAAAUUCCACACAUCCCAAAAAUAAAUGUGUUGCAGCAUGAAUGCAUCAAAAUGUUUUCUAAACUUAUAUUAAAUUUUAAUUCCCCAAAUUUAUUUAUUUUUCCUAUAUUUUUUAUGCUCACAAAAAUUAUUUAAUUAAAUCCAAUUCAUCUAUUUAAAGGAAUGAAAUUUUGGGUGUUACAAAAACCCUUGCUUUAAGGCCGAUGAACAAAGAAGACAGAGGAGGAAAUAGAGUAAUCAAUAUGUCCGUAUCGGUUUUGAGUUGCAAUUUUGGAAUAAAACAAAUUUUAUCCCAAAAUUUGGGGGCAUGUGUUAAUCCAAAUUUUGGUAAGUCAGGAAACUGUCAGUGGGCCUGCUUCGAAGAAGGAGGGACAACCGGAUAAGUGGAUCGAUUAAAUAAGAGGGGCAGUGAAAUUUGUCGAUCAAAAAGGUGUUGGAACAAGGCAAGACGAAGGAGACGUGUCGGGUUCAAUUAAGAAUGGAAAAGUUAGAGUCCAGGUUACCUUUUGGAGGAAAGAGUCAUAUUAGGACAUGAGACUAGGACUCCAGACUAUAAAUAUUGGGAACCGAAUCAAUGGCGGAGCCAGGAAUUACAUAUAGGGGGGCAACCAAAAAAUCAACUUGUUAAAACUAAGCAUAAUCGGCGACCGCCUAGCUUGAUUUGUCGACUUGACGUAGGUGCUCGCAUUUUCUAUAUGUAUUUUAGGAUCAAAUGUGUUAUUUUUCUGGUGGUAAAUGACACACCCUUAACAGAAAGAUGUUUGAGAUGAUUUUGUAAACCAGCUUGAGAGACGCGUCUCUAUUUUUCUAAGGUGCUUCUUAGUAUUAUCUAGUUAUGUUUUGUAUUUCCUCCAUCCCAAAGAAUUUUGGAGAAUCAAAGUAGAAAGAAUCACAAAGACUUAUGCCAUCAAAUAGGUAUUCUGCGAAAAUAUAAUUAAUGAAGAACCUAGUGAUACUUAGUUGAUAUCAUAAGUAUUACUAUCUUGUUAUAUAAAUUUUGUCAAAUUUAGGAUGCUUGGACUCUCUAAAAUUCAUACAAUGACUUAUAGUUUAGAAUGGAGGGAGUACAAUUUUACUAUCUAAAUGAUACUGAUAAGUAUAUAUAAGAAAAAUUGUUAUAUUUUUCUCUUAAUAUAAAUAAAAAUCAUAAAUUUAUACUAAUAAAAAUGUUUGUUGACACAUGUUAGGGGGGCCAUGGCCCUGUCAACCCCCCCUUGGCUCUGCCACUGAACCCAAUCCUUGUAAGAAUAUACACAAUUAUAAUACAAACCCUUUUCGGCUUCGGCCACCAACCUUAGGAGUAGGAGUAAUAGUAGUUCUCGAUGAGACCCUCAACGAAUCGAGCUGCAUCGGUUGAUUUUGACCUUCGGUUUCCUUGUAAGUUUUGUCAUGGUUCAUGUUUAGUUUGUUAUGGCUGCAUCAUUUGAACUCAUGUCAAGCUCAGUUAUGAACUAGUUAUCGAUUUGAAUUGUAUUUGUGAGACUGCAUUGCUUCAAUCUCUUAUGGAUAUCGAUUAAAAUUAGUUAUCGGCUCUAUUAAAUUGGCAAUUUAAUAGAUUCAUUAAGUUAUCAAUAUUGUUCAAAGUUUAAUGUUUUAUUUAUCGUAACAAUAUUCUACCCAAUCCAGAUUCGACACGUUGGUUUGAGAUUCAAAUCAAUACGCUUACUACAAACCCUAAGCAAUCAAUGAUUGUUAAGCGAAAUUAAAAUAAUUAACGUGUUGAUCUUGGUUGAUUACAUGUUGUGCGUUCAGGAUAUUUAUUUUUUUGUUAUGGUUAAUUUGGUAACAAUAAUUGAAUCUUACUAUAACGAAAUAAAUAGAUCUUGUUCGUACGUCAUGGACCCAUGUAUUGGCUAAAUAGUCAAUCUAGUUAAGCUCAAACGAAUAGCGUGCGUGCAUAAACCCACUUAUGCAUUAAAUGAACUAGUAAUCUGUGUUGGAGUUAUUGAAGCCCGCUAGCCUUUAGACCAGGUGAAUAUAGAUUUAAUACAUAUUAUGAAAGUGAUUUAUCAAAACUGCAGGCCUUUAGACAUGUUUUAAUAAGUUAUUGUUUGUUUAAUGAAUGAAAGGAUAAUGUACGUAAGCUAUCUCUCUUUUAUACACAGUGUAUUGGCUAAAAUAGCCGAUACGGUCAUUCAUACCCAUAAGAUGCAAAGAACAAAUGUUCCAACCUAGUUCUGGAUGAUCGGCAGUUAGCCAAUUUGGCCUUUCAAGGAUUGCUGCCACAUCUCAAAGAUAAGUAUGCCUCUCAAGAAUUUGAAAGUUUAAGUCAUUUGAUGCAGAGGAUUUCUGAUCAAAAUGUCAAGGCUUUUGAACCUAGGAAGACUUGGAAUAAAAAGGUAUCAUUUAUUGAUGAGGCAGGAAGUUCUAAUUCUGAUGAAGAACCAGUCAUCGGCUUGGCAGAAUGGGUAAAAAAUAAGAAGCCGAUGUCUUGUCCUUUUGGCCAGAAAGAACUAGAGAAAUUUGCUUUUGAUAUCUGUUGGGUAUUUUAAACGCAAACAGAAAAAUCCGCAAGCGUACGGAUACCGAUGUAGCUUUCACCCGGGAGUAUUCCAGAGUAUCGAUUUUCCACAGAGAACGUGAGUGUACUAAUUAAGAUCCAAGAUCGCCCAAGGAUAACUAUAUAAUUAUUUUUGGUGGGAAGAGAGAAAGUUUCCUGAGAGUUCUCUAGUUGAUCUAAGAAUCAAGAAUUACUUCAAGAUUAUUUAUUUCAGGACAUCAUAGCACUAACCACAGAAAGAGAUGAGAAGGGGGCUAGGAAGGUCUGACUACGGUCCUACAAACACCGAUCCGAACGAGGUGGAAUACGUCGACCGUUAGGGCUGUCACUACCCUAAGGCUACCACAACAAUCCGCAGGAUUGGGUGCAAUUCCAGGUAAUUGCAAGACUAAACACCACGUCUAAUCUAUUAAUUACUACUCUAAUGUUGCAAAGAUUAGAGCACUUGAUGCAAGCGGGAAUCCAAUAAAUAACUUGAAUGUAAAUAAAAGUAAUUAAAGAACUCAGGAUUAUGAAUUGAAGAACCUGGAGAACGAUGAAGAACGAACCAGUUGCUGCAAAAGUACAAUGUUGAGGAAGAUCCGACAGAUCCGGCUCCUCCUCCGCUCUCCUCUUCUCUCUCCCUAUUUUCUAGAUUACAACUAGAACUAACUAGAACUAGAACUAGAGGAACUAGAACUAGAACUAGAUGAACUAGAACUAGAUCUAGAUGAACUAGAGGUAGAACUAGAAGAACUAGAGGGAUCCUCUCUACUUGGAUGAAGAAUUGAAACCCUAACUUUGAUUCUGUAGAAGAGGUAUGAUCUCCAGGGGCCAGGGGGGUCUGGUUUUAUAGUCCCUUCAAGUGAAUCUGGGCCGUCGGAUCAAACCGACAUUGAUCGUGUGGUUUUCCUUGAAGUAUUAGGUCGGUGGAGCAUGAUCCCCGAACUUCACCCUGAUUGGUCCAGGGGGAGGGCGGGCGCCCAGUAAGGGAGGGCGGGCGCCCAGUGCCCGGCUCCGUUACGUCUCCCGUUCGCUCCCGUGGCUUCUGGAGUCUUCUAGAUGAUAGAAAAUUACGCGGCACGUUAAUAUCUCUAUGUAAACCCGACGUGUGGGCCUUUCUUCCGUAUUUCCUGAUAACCCCCUGCAGAAAUAGACAAACACCAAAACUCGUGGAAUUCUAUCAGAUAAAACCCUAAGUCUAGGUGUUGGUUGCAUUUGGAUCCUUUUCCAUGAUUAGUUGAUGGUUAAAUGUGAGAAUUAAGGACCGUCAACAAGCUCCCCCAAGCUUAACCUUUGCUCGUCCCUGAGCAAAGCUAAAAUCAACAAGAAAAUAGAGGUUACUUUUAUGCCUCUUACUACAGUGUUUUUAAGUUAUCACUAAGGUCUUAAGUGAUUGAAAAAUAGAACGAUCAAGUCAAGCACUAUGUCUCAAGUUCUUCCGUCUUACCUUUGUUCUGGAGUUUUUUUUAUAAGUCUGCAAAAUAAAACUGAGGCAUUUGUCUUUUUCUCGAAAGAUUUAUAAGUAGAGCUUUAAAAGUUUUAGCAUACUUACUUUGCAUUUUGCUAUGUUAACGCUCGGAGUAAGGGAGAGGAAUGCCAUACUCCUAGAUCAAGACCUUUGACCUUUUUGAGAAGUUUGUCAUCUCUUAAUGGCAUAUUGCUUAUUAGAGGGACCAUGGGCUAUCAUUUUUUUUCUUUCUUCUUUUUUUUCAGUCUCUUUUUUUUUUCAAGUGGGCAGCAAGUUCCUCUAAUUCUACUGUCGGACACAUGUCCAUUUUUUCCACUCAGGUGGGUAUCUUUGUACCACUAAUUCUACUUCAGACACUUGUCCAUUUUUACCUCUCGUCUCACUCUCUUUUUUUUCGAGUCACAUUUUUGCAUAGUCCCAUGCCUCUAACGCAAUGAUACUUCGGAAGAGUGAAUCUUUUAUAUUUUUAAAACAAAAAGAUCUUGAUCUUGAGAGCAUGAUAAUUCUCUCAACCAAAGCUACAAGAAUUAACAAUGGCUUGAACAAAGAAAGUACCCACAGUUUUAAUAUUUAUUUCUUAUAAGACUCUAGGUAUUAUGAUAUAUAUAUAUAUAUAUAUUUUUUAUGAAUUUUUAGAUUUUGAAAAGAUAAAAUCUCCAGAACUCUAACAAAACUUGAAACAAGUUAAAUAGUAGCUCAGACCUUCUCAUAUCAUGUUUGUCAAUUACCUAGACUUGAACCAAACUCUCUUUUAUUUUAAAACUUAGGAUUACACAAAACUAUUGUAUAUUACUCAAAAGAAAAACUUUGUUUGGUUUCAUGGUUAUGCAUUUUUAUUUAUUUAUUUAAUUCCGAAUACUAGAAAAUAAAACCAAAGGAGGAAAAGUAAUACUUAUCUAGAUACACGUGGGGGUGCCUCCCCCAAGCUGGAUGUUGACAUAGUCGUUCACUCUUGUGGCCUGCAUGUUCGGUCUUACUCUUCUUAAGCUUCAAAAUCCUGCACAACCCAAAUAGACAACAAAACUCGUGGAACAUGUUAAGGGUUAGGUAAUUGUCUAGAGCUUAUGAGAGCUUAGAAUUCUAUAAACUCAAUCACAUCAAGCUCCUCUGCCAGGUUGUUUUGUGGCUCAAGAUAGAUUUUCAAGCGUAGACCAUUUACCUUAAAAGUGUUACCUAUGUCAUCUUGGAUGGUAAUAGCUCCAUGAGUUGAAGUGUCAAUAACCUUGUAUGGUCCAUCCCACUUACUUCGUAGCUUACCAUUACCAAAGAGCUUAACUCUUGAAUUGAAUAGUAGAACCUUAUCUCCAGGCUUAAACUCCUUGUGCUUGAUUCUCUUAUCAUGCCAUCGUUUUGUUCUCUCUUUAUAGAUCCUUGAAUUGUGGUAGGCUUUCUCUCUCCAUUCUUCUAGCUCAGAUAGUUGCAUCAGACGAUUCUCGCUAGCAAGGUGGUGAUCCAUGUUCCAUUUCUUGAGUGCCCAAUGAGCCUUAAACUCUACUUCCACAGGCAAAUGACAAGUUUUUCCAUAUACAAGUUGAUAAGGUGACAUGCCUAUGGGUGUUUUGAAUGCAGUUCUAUAUGCCCAAAGUGCAUCAGGAAGUUUGUCCUUCCACCCCUUACCCAUCUCAUCUACGGUCUUUUGUAAAAUAUUUUUGAUUUGUUUGUUAGAUGUUUUGGCUUGACCGCUAGUCUGAGGAUGGUAUGGUGUUGCGACGUUGUGUCGAACUCCAUGAUCGGCUAGGUACUUCCGGAAGAUUUUGUCGAUGAAGUGGGAACCUCCAUCGCUUAUAACUAUCCGGGGUAUACCAAAACGAGGAAAGAUAACUUCGUGGAACAUUCUCUUGGCAUGUUUUGAAUCAGCUGAUCGACAAGGUAGGGCUUCCACCCAUUUGGAUACGUAGUCCACAGCUACUAAGAUAUAUUCGCAAUUCCCGGACAUAGGGAAUGGCCCCAUGAAAUCAAUGCCCCAAACAUCGAAAAGUUCUACUUGAAGAUUAUUUGUGAGAGGCAUUUCAUUUCGUGAGUUAAUAUUCCCAUGUUUUUGACACCGGUGGCAUCUCCUGACAAAGUCCUUUGUAUCUUCAUACAUCGUUGGCCAGAAAAAACCACUUUGCCAAAUUUUAGCUUGUGUUCGAAAUGCUCCAUAGUGUCCUCCAUAUGGCGAGGUAUGGCAUCUUUCCAUAAUUUGAGUAGCCUCAGCCAUAGGAACACACCUUCUCAAGAGUCCAUCAGCGCAGACUCGGAAAAGAUAUGGCUCAUCCCAAAGGUGGAAACGACUAUCGUGAAGCAACUUCCUUUUGUUUACACCAGGUGGGACAUAGCCUUUUACUAUAAAGUUUACGAUGUCUGCGUACCAUGGAUCUGCAUGUGUUAUCUUAAGUAGGGUGUCAUCCCUUAGGUAGUCAUUUAUGGGAAGUUCAUCAUGUGUUUCCUUAUAUUGAAGCCUAGACAAGUGGUCGGCUACGGAAUUCUCAACUCCCUUCCUAUCUCGAAUUUCUAUGUCAAAGUCUUGGAGUAGAAUAAUCCAUCGAAUUAGACGAGGCUUAGCAUCUUUCUUAGUGAGGAGGUACUUGAGAGCAGCAUGGUCUGAAUAGAUGAUUAUCUUUGCCCCCACUAAGUAAGAUCUAAACUUGUCUAUAGCAAAGACAACAGCUAAAAGCUCUUUUUCAGUUGUAGUGUAAUUGAGCUGUGGUCCAGACAAGGUUUUGCUAGCGUAGGAUAUGACAUAGUGCUUUUUAUCCUUGGUUUGUCCUAAAACGGCACCAACCGCAAAAUCGGUAGCAUCACACAUGAUCUCAAAAGGAAGAUUCCAAUCAGGUGGUUGGAUAAUCGGGGCUGAGAUGAGUGCUUUCUUAAGAGUUUGAAAAGAUUUAUGACACUCAUCACUAAAGAUGAAAGAUGCGUCCUUAGCUAGGAGAUUAGUUAGGGGUCUAGCAAUUUGAGAGAAAUUCUUGAUAAAGCGUCUAUAAAACCCUGCAUGUCCCAAAAAGCUACGGAUUCCUUUCACAUUCGUGGGAGGUGGAAGUUUUUCAAUAACUUCAAUCUUUGCUUUGUCCACCUCUAUACCACGUCCGGACACUUUAUGUCCUAGCACUAUUCCUUCCUGAACCAUAAAAUGGCAUUUCUCCCAGUUUAGGAUUAAUUGUUUUUCUUCACAUCUCUGCAAGACUCUGUCUAAAUUCUCCAAACAAUGAUCGAAGGUUUUGCCAUAGACGGUAAAAUCAUCCAUGAAAACCUCCAUGAUCUUCUCAAUCAUGUCCGAGAAAAUAGACAUCAUGCACCGUUGGAAAGAAGCUGGAGCAUUGCACAAUCCGAACGACAUUCGUCGGUAUGCAUAAGUUCCAUAUGGACAUGUAAAGGUAGUCUUUUCUUGGUCAUCUGGGUGGAUUGGGAUUUGGUGAUAUCCAGAAUAACCAUCAAGGAAACAAAAGAAAGAGUGGUUUGCAAGCCGUUCCAACAUUUCAUCAAUGAAGGGUAACGGAAAGUGAUCUUUCUUUGUAGACUUGUUGAGUUUUCGAUAGUCAAUACACAUACGCCACCCAGUGACAAUUCAUUGAGGGAUGAGUUCAUUCUUCUCAUUCCUAACGACCGUCAUUCCUCCUUUCUUUGGCACUACUUGUACAGGGCUAACCCACUCACUAUGUGGCACAGGAUAAAUAAUCCCAGCAUGAUAGAGUUUGAGGACCUCUUUCUUAACAACCUCUCGCAUAGCAUUGUUAAGUCUCCGCUGUGGUUCCCUUAAAGGUGUAAAAUUAGGAUCAAUAGGGAUACGAUGAGUGCAGAGAAUGGGACUAAUGCCCGUGAGAUCCUCGAGAGAAUAGCCAAAAGCUGAUCUAUGUCUUUCAAGAACAGUGACAAGUUGUUGUGUUUCAUAAUCGGAAAGCUUGUCACUGAUAAUUACUGGAGUUUUUGGGUUAUUGUGCAAGAAGACAUAUCUAAGGCCAGAAGGAAGAGGUUUUAAUUCUAUCGAAGGAGGUAAAGGUUGUUCAUUUUUGUCUAGCUCAACGGGUUCUACCAACUCUUCUUCUUCUUGAACAAAGUGUUCAUGAUUAAAGAAUGGUUGGGCCAUCUCCUCUUGAGUCAACAUUAAGAUCUCCUCAAUAGGAUCUGGUACAAGUUUGGGUUCCACUAUCGUGUUAAUUGAUCUAGUAAGAGGAACAAUAAUAGUAGAAUUCCCAACCUUGAAGUCUAAAUGACCUCGUUGUGGUUGUUCUUGUAGAAGUUUCAUGAUUGGUCUACCAAUCAAGAGAGGAAUCUCCGGUAUGUCAUAAAUGUGAAAAUCUAGACAUAUUCCAGAGUCCUUGAUUCUAAUAGGAACUGCCCUUAAUACCCCAUGGCUUUCUAGAAUUAAUCUAGAUGGACUUUGUAAAAGUUUUUGAGAUGGGGUUAUGGACUCGUUGGGAUAAAGAGUGUCAGCUAACUCCUUGGAAAUAACAUUUAUCCCAACAUAUGGAUUGUAGUGGACCUUCCUAGCGGACCUUCUAAUUUGGCAUAGAAGAAUGGUUGAAGGAGUGAUGAUUCGAGCUACCUCAGGAGACAGCUCAGCUUCUGUUAGCCAUUCAUAACUUAGAAUAGCCGAAAGGCUUUUGAUGUGUUCUAUGUCAACAGAUUCUACUCUUAGAACGGAUUGAGUGGUCCUUGCUAGAGGUCGUGUUUGGAUAGGAAAAUUCGAGGUGUUUCCAAAAUCUUCAAAAAGAUCUUCCUCGAAUUCAAAGGGAUGCUCUAAAGGUGGUGGUUCAUCAUCCCUUAGUUGGUUUUGCAUUCCUUUAUCAGGAGGUUUUUCUACAACCAAAUUAAUGGAUGGGUCAGGUGAAAUUUCUAACUCGGUUGCAAGUUCCUCAUCUUUUGGUUUAGGAUCAGGCUCGACUUCUUUUUCUCCUUCAGGAAACUCAUCAUAAAUGCCUGUGUAAGGGGUAUUUUCAAGAAUUUUUUCUAGGAUAGCUCUACCCUCAUCUGUGAGUUUGUGUGUGAAUGAGCCUCCUGAAGCAAUGUUGAGGUGAAGAGCAGCUUCCUUGUUUAGACCACGAUAAAAGUGGUAGUACAGUACAUGGUCAGGCAGGGAAAGGUUUGGACCGAAAUUGGUAAGGCUUGUGAACCUAGCCCAAGCUGCUCCUAAAGUUUCCUUCUCUCUUUGUUUGAAUGUAAGAAUUUCAAUUCUAAGGUCAGCAAUUCGAAAAAGUGGGAAGAAAGCGAGACAAAAGUUGUCUCGAAGUUCAUCCCAACUUCCAUUAACACCUCCUACAGAAUGAGUAUACCACUUUUUUGCUCUUCCCAAAAGGGAGAACGGAAAUAAUUUCCAUUUAAGGGUUUCUUGUGUCAUGCCGGAAAUAGAUCGGCAAGAGCACAACUGCUCAAAUUCUCUAAGAUGGGUGUAUGGAUCUUCAUCUACUUGCCCAAAGAAGGGUUGCUCCUGAAUCAUGGCUGAGGUCAUAGCCAUCUGUAAGAAUUGGAUGUGAUGAUGGUGGUGGCUCUAAUAACUCGUCCUUUGGAGCAAAGAAUUUAUAGAUAGGAGUGAAAUCCAUGUGGUGUGGUGAAAAUGGUAAGGUGAGUGUGGUAAAAGCGAAAAGAAAAAGGAUACACGGACGACUUGGUUCGAAACUAGCACAGCUACCGUUCCCCAGCAACGGCGCCAGAAAGCUUGUUGGGUAUUUUAAACGCAAACAGAAAAAUCCGCAAGCGCACGGAUACCGAUGUAGCUUUCACCCGGGAGUAUUCCAGAGUAUCGAUUUUCCACAGAGAACGUGAGUGUACUAAUUAAGAUCCAAGAUCGCCCAAGGAUAACUAUAUAAUUAUUUUUGGUGGGAAGAGAGGAAGUUUCCUGAGAGUUCUCUAGUUGAUCUAAGAAUCAAGAAUUACUUCAAGCUUAUUUAUUUCGGGACAUCAGAGCACUAACCACAGAAAGAGAUGAGAAGGGGGCUAGGAAGGUCUGACUACGCUCCUACAAACACCGAUCCGAACGAGGUGGAAUACGUCGACCGUUAGGGCUGUCACUACCCUAAGGCUACCACAACAAUCCGCAGGAUUGGGUGCAAUUCCAGGUAAUUGCAAGACUAAACACCACGUCUAAUCUAUUAAUUACUACUCUAAUGUUGCAAAGAUUAGAGCACUUGAUGCAAGCGGGAAUCCAAUAAAUAACUUGAAUGUAAAUAAAAGUAAUUAAAGAACUCAGGAUUAUGAAUUGAAGAACCUGGAGAACGAUGAAGAACGAACCAGUUGCUGCAAAAGUACAUUGUUGAGGAAGAUCCGACAGAUCCAGCUCCUCCUCCGCUCUCCUCUUCUCUCUCCCUAUUUUCUAGAUUACAACUAGAACUAACUAGAACUAGAACUUGAGGAACUAGAACUAGAACUAGAUGAACUAGAACUAGAUCUAGAUGAACUAGAGGUAGAACUAGAAGAACUAGAGGGAUCCUCUCUACUUGGAUGAAGAAUUGAAACCCUAACUUUGAUUCUGUAGAAGAGGUAUGAUCUCCAGGGGCCAGGGGGGUCUGGUUUUAUAGUCCCUUCAAGUGAAUCUGGGCCGUCGGAUCAAACCGACAUUGAUCGUGUGGUUUUCCUUGAAGUAUUAGGUCGGUGGAGCAUGAUCCCUGAACUUCACCCUGAUUGGUCCAGGGGGGAGGGCGGGCGCCCAGUAGGGGAGGGCGGGCGCCCAGUGCCCGGCUCCGUUACGUCUCCCGUUCAUUCCCGUGGCUUCUGGAGUCUUCUAGAUGAUAGAAAAUUGCGCGGCACGUUAAUAUCUCUAUGUAAACCCGACGUGGGGGCCUUUCUUCCGUAUUUCCUGAUAACCCCCUGCAGAAAUAGACAAACACCAAAACUCGUGGAAUUCUAUCAGAUAAAACCCUAAGUCUAGGUGUUGGUUGCAUUUGGAUCCUUUUCCAUGAUUAGUUGAUGGUUAAAUGUGAGAAUUAAGGACCGUCAACAAUAUCACCAAAGCCAAUAGGAUAUUUGAUUUCUUGCUUCAGGAGGGGCCAAUUAAAUUGUCACCUAAUCAUGUAAUCCCAUCGGUAGAAGAAUUGAAAAAGAUUAAGUAUUGAAAAUGGCAUAAUGCGACUUCACAUAGUACAAAUGAAUGCAAAGUGUUUAGGUUGCAAUUGCAAUCGGCUAUAGAGUCUAGGAGAAUUAAGUUUGAUAAUUCCAAAACUAAGAGGCUGAUGAAAAUUGAUCAGCACCCUUUCCCCACUAACAUGUUAGACGCUAAGGGUAAGACUAAGGUCUUGACGUCAGAAACGGCUGAGAAGAAUGCAUCAAUAGAUCCCUAGCAUCAGAUAACUACUAAUGGCGCCAAAGGGAGAGGUUUGUUGAAGGAAGGUGAGAGUUCUGGACGGCCUCCCCAAUCUGGUGUAGUAAUCACUCAUAGACGACAACGGGAGAAUUGGCAACAGCGUGAGGAUCGGUAUCGACAUCAGCAGGAGGACCGACGUCAGGAGGAAGAGAGGCGUCGACAAGAGUGGAAUCGGCAUAGGGAUCAUUGAGAUUGUCCAUUUUUUGUACAUUGCUGGGAACAGGGUAUUAAACUACCAACUGUUCAAGAUUGUCCUGAGUGCAAUGGUUAUCGACAGCAUGAUCUAUCAAAUGAGAGAUUCCAAACCGAUAAUCAGUGUCUUGAUGGGUCAAUCAGGAGAAGAACAUCAGUACAUGAUCGGCUGGGGGCAGGCUUAACGUGCAUGACAGGCUUGGUGGACGUGUCGAUCAUUUUCUGAGGAAUGAGGAAGAACUUGAAAAGAUAGCAAACGCACGGGUUCCCGAUGAAUUCAUAUUUUGCAGAGAUUCUAACAUUCACCAUGUAGAGUUAAAGGAGGUUCGCUAUUAGUCGGUUUGGAAGACAAAGCUUCCCCGAUGGUGUCCAGAAGGAUUAAUAAGGACGCAGAGGAGGAGGAUGUAGCGGGAACGUUAUGAAGAUUUCUAUAGAGUGGAAAAUUCUGCUAAGUCUGAAGAUUGGCAGCAGUUGGACCGCAAGGGAAAGGACCAUCGGCAGAUGUCAACAUGGUGUUCAUAUUGCCAAUGGAGUUUCUUGCACCCUCUAGUGAUGAUGAGGAAAUUAGUCUCCUAGAUCAAAUAGCUCUGUUGGCACUUGAUCCAAUAACAACUAUUUUUGAGAAACCCUCCGAUGAUGAAAGGCAGCAUCUUAAAGCUUUGUUCGUUAAAGGCAGGGUUGAUGGAUAGCCGGUCUCUAAGAUACUUAUUGAUGGUGGAGUUGCAAUUAAUAUUAUGCCAUAUGUGAUGUAUCGGAAGCUUGGGAAAGGAGAUCAGGAUUUAACCAAGACCGAUCGGCAGCUGAAAGAUUUUGAAGGUAAUGUGUCUCCAGCUAAAGGGGUUGUAUGCGUUGAGUUGACCAUCGGCAGUAAGACCUUGCUGACAACUUUCUUUGUUAUUAACAGAUAAAAUUGAAGUUGUUCCUGGGGAUUCUUCAUACAUCAUUGCAUCGGCAGAAUCAGAUACUUAUGAGUGAACCAGGUGCAUAUCGAGAGAGGCUUGGGAGAAAGAUUUCCUCAAAGUUGCUGAUUACGAGAUUCCACCGAUCCAAACAGUCGGUUCUGAUGAGGAGUUUUAAUGGAUAGGUUCGCCGAUGAUGGAAAGUUAGGAUAGGGGUUUACAUCGGCUGAUGAUUUAGUAGAAGUAGACAUAGGUAGUGGUGACAGGCCAAGGCCUACUUUCAUUAGUGCUAGGUUAGAUUCUGUUGAUGCAAAAGCUGAUCUGCAAACACAAAUGGCUAAUACCCGAUUUAAACGUUAAGGCGUGCCAGCCGAUUUGACCUUACUAUCGGCAAAGGUGGUAACUCGAAUACUUUGGUCCUAACAACAGCGAUGCGCCUGGAUGUCACGGCCAAGACGUAUUCACACGGAACUUGAGAACACACCGAGCUUAAGUCGACGAAUUCCUAAGAACUCGUAAUGAAAAGAAAAAGUAUGACGAAGUCAUCGAAAAAGUAGAUGCUUGGAAUAUGAGUAAAACGUGUGUUUGAUUGAUUGAUAGAUCCCGAUUACAAAGCCCUAGGGUCCAUAUUUAUACCCUGCUCAAAGAGCUACAACCAGACACGACUAGAACUCGAAUUCCAAAUUACACAGAACCCGUAUACAAAACGACUUGAAUAACUAAGGAAAACAUAAAACUAUCCCCCCGUGACAGACUGGAACACCUCCACAAACCGAUCGGCAACUUCCAGACUCUCCCUCCAUAUCAUCGGCAAACUCCCUUGUCGUAGCCAUCGGCACAAACACAUCAUCACCUAUGGACUUGGUCAUGUUCAACCACUCCUCCAUCGGCAACCAUCCUCAUCGGCAACUCAUCCUGAUAGAUCAAACACUGCCGUCUUAUCUUACCGACCUACACUUUACCAAUCAUGGACACGUGCCCAAAAACGGUGUCAACACAUGCCCCCCAAUUUCGGAGUAUGAAAUCAUUAAUGCUCCGAAAUUCUCUGCAGUAAUGAUGCCUUUCCGCAAUUAAUGCUCCCAAUCUGGUAACCGACAGCCUUAAUCUGAACAACUCUGAUUUGAUUCUUCCGCAGAUUCCUCGAAAUCCUCAACUUCCCAAACGGACAUUUCCAUUUUAGUCACGCAUCGGCAAUAUUACUGUUACAAGGACUUGCCGAUGGACUGAUCAGGACGUCCAUAUCUUAUCCUUCCAAACGGCUAUCUCCACUUUAUUCGCCCAUCGACAAUAUGACCGUUACAAGGCGCUGCCGAUGGACCGACCAGGAGAUCCCGCCCGCACAGUAAAAUAUCUCUGGAUAAUGACCCCUUCCUGUCAAAUCACCUGCACAAUCCCUUGAUUACCAUGCGAACAGUUACCAUAUCUACCUGAGUACCCUCGGAUUUCACGGAUACGGCGAAGAGAUAAGUCAAAUUUGCCCUUGCCCGUUUUGUCCUAUAAAUAGUUCCUUCUCGGGUACUCCUUCUCCAUCACAUCAUUCCACAACUCCAACUCUACUUUCCCGGCGGCGGCGCUGUUCAAGAGCUCCAAGAUCUUCGACGAAGUCCCUUCUUCACCAACUCUGAAGCCCUCGAUCAUCCUCCUCGUGACAAGAUGGCCGUGAACUUCAUCGUUCAUGAGGUCAGUUCUUCACUCCAUCUCCUCGUGACAAGAUGGCCGUGAACUUCUCUUGUACUUUUUCUCGCACCCCUGUUCAUCCGCAAUCCGUUUUACUGAACAUUUUCUUUUUCUUUCUUUGUUUUUCUUUUACCUCCAAAACCAUUAGGAUUUGUCCAAUAAAAUUGUCAUCCCCACCGAUCAACCACACCUCCAAUGCCUUGGCCCGUUAGGGGAUCCAGAUCCAACCGACCUCAUUAACGCAGAAACCAACAGAAUCCCUUUUAGAGCCGAGAACUUUUCUUUGGAUCUGUGGAAGGAUACUUUCUGUUCUUGGCCCAGUCCUACUGUGGGAUGGACGGAUUGGUUUUUGAUGGUCAGCAACUCAAACGAAGUUCAGUGGGGCGAGAGAAAACUAGACCAAUGCAUCAGGUUGUCCAUUGCCGAUAUGCAUAGAAAUGAAUCAUUGCUGAUAGCUGCAUCAUACUUCUGGUCAGACACGCUCAACGCCUUUGUCUUUGGCCACGGUCCUGCUUCCCCUACUCUUGCCGAUGUAGCUAUGCUCACUGGCCUAGAUGUAUCUUCUGCCGAUAGCACCCACUAGUGCCAAGGUAGAAACUCGUUCCAUCGGCGGUUGGUCAGGGUAUAUUCAGAAAUAUAAACGAACUGGCCCUGUCAACAUAAAGGAGCAGACCUGCUUUCUGAACAUGUGGUUGGACAAAUUCGUGUUUUGUGGCCGAUCGGCAGGACCAACCUCCGUCUAUCUAGCAGCAGCAGAAAACUUAGCUAAUGGUGGCUGAUUUCCCCUCGGCCGAUACCUGGUUGGUGCAGCCUAACACCUCCUUCAUCAAGUGACUAGGAAACUCUUACUCGGCCAGUCUAUCGGCAACUUGGGAGGUCCCUGGUGGUUCAUCAACAUGUGGCUCAGUCUCCACAUGCACAAGCGUCUUGAAUUUGACCUUUUUGCACAACGUUUUCCAAGGGACAUAGCCGAGAACUAUAAACUAGAUGAAGAAGAAUCGGCAACACGCCCUCCCCUAAACUUUGGUGAAGCUGUCAUAGUUUUACCUGGUACAGGGGGUAAUGCAGACCAGGUCAGCCGAUUCUUCCAAACCUUGUAUGAAGGCUUGACCAGAGCGGAGCGAGCAUGAUUGGCUUAUGACGAUCCAAACACCAUGUUUCCUCUGGUUUUCAACCCGUUCAAUGAUGCUCUUGACACGGAUCACGAAGUGAAGAUGGCACUGGUCACUCCCAGAGCUAUACCAGUGAAUUUCUUUGGUAGUGGGAAAACCUCCAUCCAGACCUAUGAGUUUUAUAACCCAUCGACAUUAGCUCGUCAAUUAGCUUUCGGCCAGCUGCCGAUUGCACUCUAUUAUGCUGAUGUGAUAAAACCCAGGGAAACCAUCACUAGCCUUCUUGAAUGGAUUCGAGUGGCCCAACUGCCAUCAAGUGCCGAUACAGAUGUAGACCUGUCAGAAUGGGUUCCAGCCGCCUUCAUCACUCACGCAUACAAGCAAUGGUGGGCAGAAUGGAAGGAACAUCUGUUCUGCAGAUUGGCUCUUAUGUAUCGCGGCAUGAUCGACCCCGAGUACAAAGUUCUUGAUGACACUGUAAGUAUCUUCGAACCGAUGUUUCAAUUUUCUCAUUUUUAUUUCCAUCGGCGAUUUACCUUUGUAUCAUCUUGCAGGUUGACAACACCCCUCCAUCGGUCAGCAGGAGUGGCAAACCGAUUGACCUGUUUCCAUCAGGCCCAAUCUCCUCAAUCGGCAACAACGCUCCUACCCUGGCCGCCAUCAUGCAUCGAUGUGUACACCUCAAGAAAGUCACCACUAGGAGGACUCAGAUAUCUCCAUCGGUAGCUGCUUCCACCUUGGCACAGGUGUUCAAGGUAAUUGUUAAACCUUUUCAUUCAUACCGAUUCGUAUUUUACAUCUGCCACACUUGUACUCAUAAACCUUUUCCAUAUCAGCAGACCGGCGCAUCAGCAAACGCCAGAAGCAAAAGUGCCGAUGCCCCCCAGUCCAGUCAACCGAAGAGAAAGGGUGCCAAGAACACCAGGGCACAAGCAAAGCGCCAAAGAGUAGCAACGCCUCCUCCUCCCCCGGUAUCUCCAAUCCCGGUGGAAUCUUCUCCUUCUGCUCCAGAAGCCCAGAUGCAACAAGUACCGUCUCCCCCUCCAAUGCAAGAAGCACCACAAGUGGAAGAACCCCAACCAGAAGAGCCUCAAUUAGAAGCACCCCAGCCAGAAGAUACACCAACCGAUGUAGGCGAGCAAACUACCGAUCCGGCAGGUUCAAUCAUAUCAUCCGUAGUUUCUUCAAUCUAGACAAGCACUGUCCCUCCUCAAGGUAACAUAUUUUUAUGAGAUUAUUGCCGAUGAACCCAUCUCUUCUGUUUUACAAUUAUUUCCGUUAUUCUUUCAGCUGACAUAGUCCAACCGGCCGUCUCAGCCGAUCAUCCUGUUAUUCCAUCGGCAUCUUCCAGUGAAAGGCAGGAGAUCGCCUUAAAGCAAGUAAGUUAUCCAACCCCUGUUUGCAUCAUUUAUCAAUACCUGGCCAUAGAAUAACCCGUUUUAUUUCCUUUUUAGGAGCAGGACUCUCCUGACAGCUUAUUCUCUUUCGCCAUCGACAUCUCCGAAGAUGAGGGUGAAGAAGCAAGCUCUUCUCGGGCAGUUGUGAUCACAUCGGCAGAAGUCAGGGCAAAGCUGGAAGAAUUAUCGGCUCUCCUCCACCAAGACACAGCCCAGCUAGUCGAUGAUUCCAAUCCAGCCAAGGCUUUAUUCAAGACUCUGAGAGGCCACAUCCCCGCCGAUGCCGAAGAAGUUCUCUUUCAAGCAGCAUACCUGGAGAGCCGUCAACUGCAGUACCAGAGGGCGGCCCAGCGCCUUGCCGACAGAGCCGCUCAGACUCGUCUUUCUGAGGAGAUGAUGAAGGAAAAACUUCUUACCGAUGAAAAGCAUAAGACCAUCGGCACCCUAAAGUCCUCGGGAGAUGCUCUGAAGCACAAAAUUUUCGAUCUGUCGGCAAAAAGGGAAGCUCUGUUGGCAGAACAUAAACAAGUAGAGGAUGCCCUGUCCCAAGCCAGACAGGAAGAAAGCCAACUACCAGAGACAAUCAAGCUUCUUGAGUAAGAGCGAAAUGUCCAUGGUCGCAAAGCACUGUAGUUGAAGAAGAAGUUGAAACCAGUAGAAGGUUCUGCCGAUGAAGACGCCAAAGAGAUAGAAGCAGCCAAUCAAAUCCGCAUGCGUGCUAUAUCGGCCAUCCAAGCGCUGCUAAACAUGUGAGCCCUUCAUCGGCAACAUACUCACCUUUCUCUGCUUUCCAGCUUUCUUGAUGUUUAGUCUAGCCGAUAGGACUAUUAUCGGCAUCUUUUGAAACAUUGAGUCCUGCCCCAAACAUAUUUCAAUCCAGCCGAUAGGAGUGUUAUCGGCAUUUAAACUUUUAUGCAUCGAUCCAUAUGCUGGGGUGGUAUUUCUUUAGAUAUUUGCCAUUUAAUGCUCUGGGAAAUUCAACUCCUUCGAGAGUUUCUAAAAUGUAGGCAUUACCAGGAGCCGAUCGACUUAUCCGAUAGGGACCCUCCCAAUUGGGAGACCACUUCCCAAACUUUGGACUUUUUGUCCCAAUCGGUAAGAUUAAUUUCCACACUAAGUCCCCAUCGGCAAACUCCUUAGCUUUUACCUUCUUAUCAUACCAUCUGGCAACUCUUUUCUUAUUCUCUUCUAUACUCAUCAAAGCCCUCAGCCGAUGCCAUGCUAGAUCUUCCAACUCGUCUGUCAUCAAAGUAGCAUAAUCAUCGGCAGCCAAUUGAUCUUGAAAAGAUAAUCGCCUAGACCCAGCCUUAAUUUCCCAAGGUAAUACUGCAUCAUGCCCAUACACCAAUUGAUAGGGUGAAACCUUGGUCGAUCCAUGACAACCAUCCGGUAUGACCAUAAAGCCUCGUUUAACAACGUGUGCCACCUUCUAGGAUUUUCUUCAAUCUUCCGUUUAAUAAGCUUAAUAAUUCCUUUGUUAGACGCCUCGGCCUGCCCAUUAGCUUGAGCAUAGUAAGGAGAAGAAUUUAAAACCUUAAUCCCCAGGCCGAUUGCGAAUACAUCAAACUCCCCUGAUGUAAACAUAGUGCCCUGAUCGGUAGUAAUUGUUUGACGAAUCCCAAAUCGGUAAAUAAUAUGCUCUUUCACAAAAUCAAUCAUAUUGGCCGAUGUGACUUUCUUCAAAGGAAUAGCUUCAACCCAUUUGGUGAAAUAAUCGGUGGCAACUAGAAUAAACUUAUGCCCUUUGCUAGAUGGUGGAUAAAUCUGGCCGAUCAAAUCAAUAGCCCAUCCUCGGAACGGACAAGGCUUUAUAAUAGGAUUCAUAGCCGAUGCAGGCGCCCUUUGAACAUUACCAAACUUUUGACACCCUUGACACCCUUUGAAAUACUUAAAGCAAUCCUCAAGUAUAGUCGGCCAAUAAUAUCCAUUUCUCCUAAUCAUGCACUUCAUCGUGAAAGCCGACUGAUGUGCUCCACAUACCCCUUCAUGGAUUUCUCCCAUCAAACUUCUAGCUUUAUCAUCACCUAAGCAUCGGAGAAGAAUCCCAUCAAUAGUUCGGUAAUACAAUUCAUCUCUGAGGAGCACAUACUUGGUAGCUUGAAACCGAACCCGCCUUUCAACUUUCUUAGACGGAUCCUUCAAAUAAUCAAUGAUUUCUUUUCUCCAAUCAUCGGCACCAAUUGCCGAUAUCGUACUAAUCAUAGGCUGAUAUCCCGAGGCAUGCUGAGCCAACCGAUUGGCCUCUUCAUUAUGCAAUCGAGGAACAUACUCUAAUCGGAAGUCUUUGAAUUUCUUUAACAGUUGCAUACUCCUUUCGUAAUAAGUUAUGAGAACUUCACUUCGGCAUUCAUAGCUUCCAGCCAAUUGAUUUAUAACUAGCACAGAAUCCCCGAAGACCUCAACAGCAUCAGCAUGAACUUCUCUUAACAACUCCAAUCCCUUUAUUAAAGCUUGAUACUCAGCCUGAUUAUUCGUCGAUGUGGCAACAAUUGGCAAGGAAAACUCAUACUUCCUUCCCCGAGGGGAAAUUAAUACUAUGUCGAUUCCUGCCCCCCGGUCACAUGUGGAUCCAUCAAAGAAGAGCGUCCAAGGUACAAUUCCCAAAGUUUCCACUGCACCACAAUGUUGUGUUACAAAAUCAGCCAUAAUCUGACCCUUAACUGCCUUAGUCGAUUUGUAACGCAGAUCGAAUUCCGACAGCGCCAAAAUCCAUUUACCGAUCCUGCCACUCAUAAUUGGCAUAGACAGCAUAUACCGGACCACAUCAUCUUUGCAAAUAACAGUGCAUUCGGCCGAUAGCAAGUAGUGCCUCAACUUGAUACAAGAGAAAUACAAGCACAAGCAUAGUUUCUCAAUAGUCGAAUACCUAGUCUCAGCGUCAAUCAACCACCUGCUUAAGUAAUAAAUUACACGCUCUUUCCCUUCAAAUUCUUGAAUUAAAGCCGAACCGAUGACCAUCCCAUUGGGAGAUAAAUACAAUCUGAAGGGCUUCCCUUGCUGAGGUGGGAUUAGAACUGGAGGAUUUACUAAAUAAUUCUUGAUUUCAUCCAGAGCCAACUGUUGUUCUUUCCCCCAAACAAAUUCUUGAUCGGCUUUUAGCUUAAGAAGAGGACUGAAAGCAAGAAUUUUACCAGACAAAUUAGAUAUAAACCUCCUGAUAAAAUUUACCUUGCCGAUCAAGGACUGGAGCUCAGUCUUAUUGGUAGGGGCAACUAUUUUGUUGAUGGCUUCAACAGAUCUUCGACUGAUUUCAAUCCCCCUUUGAUGCACCAUGAAACCGAGAAACUGUCUUGCCGAUACACCAAAUGCACACUUAUUGGGAUUCAUUUUCAAACCAUGCUUCCUCGUACAUUCUAACACUUUUCGUAGAUCGGCAAGAUGCUUUGUGAAGUCUCUAGAUUUUACCACCACAUCAUCAAUAUAAAUCUCCACCAGCUUGCCGAUGAACUCAUGAAAUAUAAAAUUCAUGGCCCUUUGAUAAGUAGCACAAGCAUUCUUGAAGCCGAAGGUCAUGACUAUCCACUCAAACAAUCCAACAUGACCAGGGCACCUGAACGCGGUCUUCGGAAUAUCCUCUUCAGCCAUGAAUAUUUGGUUGUAUCUUGCAUUGCCAUCCAUAAAACUAAUAAUCCGAUGUCCAGCCACAGCAUCAACUAGCAGAUCGGCAACUGGCAUUGGGUAUCCAUCCAUCGGUGUAGCUUUGUUGAGAUUCGUGAAAUCAUUGCAAACCCAAACCUUCCCGUUCUUCUUGUAGACCGGAACAACAUUGGAAAUCCAUUCGGCAUACCGACACUGCCGAAUAAACUUGGCUUCAAUAAGUUUAGUUAUUUCGGCCUUGAUAUUAGGAAGAAUAUUAGGAUUACAUCGGCGAGCUAGCUGCUGAUAUGGCCGAAAUCCAGACUUGAUAGGCAACCGAUGUUCAACAAUCGAUCGGUCCAAACCAGGCAUCUCAGUAUAAUCCCAAGCAAAGCAAUCUUUAUAUUCCAUUAACAAAUCAGUCAAUUGCUGCUUACACUCAGGACUUAACUUAGCACUAAUAAAAGUAGGUCUAGGUUUAUCACCACUACCUAUAUCUACUUCUACCAAAUCAUCGGCCGAUGUGAACCCCUGGCCUAAUUUUCCAUAAUCGGCGAACCUAUCCAUUAAAAACCAUCUUCAAAACCGACUGCUUGGAUCGGUGGAAUUUCAUAAUCGGCAACCUUGAGAAAAUCUUUUUCCCAAGCUUCUCCUGAAAUACACCUAGUUCUUUCAUAGGUGUCUGCCUCUGCCGACGCGAUGACAUAAGAAGAGUCUCCUGGGACAAUUUCAAUCUUAUCACCUACCCACUGGACCAAGCAUUGGUGCAUUGUAGACGGGAUGCAACAAUUGACAUGAAUCCAAUCUCUUCCCAACAGUAAGUUGUAAGCACCCUUUCCACUGAUCACGAAGAAAGUUGUCGGCAAGGUUUUACUGCCGAUGGUCAACUCUACGCAUAUGGCUCCUUUAACUGGGGUUACAUUGCCCUCGAAGUGCUUGAGCAUCAUAUCGGUCUUGGUCAGGUCCUGAUCUCCUUUUCCAAGCUUCCGAUACACUGCAUACGGCAUGAUGUUGAUAGCAGCCCCACCAUCAAUUAGAAUCUUGGUCAUCGGCUGCCCGUCAACCCUUCCUUUGACAAACAGAGCCUUGAGAUGUUGCCUUUCAUCAUCGGCAGGCUUCUCGAAGAUAGCUGUCAUCGGAUCCAGAGCCAAUUGAGCUAGUUGGUCGGAGAAUUCUACCUCAUCAUCACUGGAUGGCGCGAGGAACUCCAUCGGCAACAUAAAGACCAUGUUGACAUCUGCCGAUGGACCUUUCCCCUUAGGAUCUGGUUGUUGCUGAUCCCCAGACUGUCCAGAGUUCUCCCCCUUGCUCAACUCUUCUCGCCUUUCGCGCUGCAGUCUUCUCUUCUGAGUCCUGGUCAACCCCUCUAGACACCAUGGAGGAAGUUUCCGCUGCCUUACCGAUGGGCGGCGAUUUUCUCCUGACUCCAUUCGGUAAGUAUUGGCAUCUCGGCAGAAGAUGAACUCAUCGGGAACCGGUGCAUUAGCCAUCUCUUCGAGUUCUUCCUGGUUCCUAGGAAAAUAUUCAACACGAUCCCCAAGCCUGUCGUGCACACUGAGCCUGCCCCCCAGCCGAUCAUGAACGGAUGCUCUCCCCCUAAUCGGCCCAUCAAAUCAUCGAUCAUUAUCACGAUAGUACCGAUCGGACCUGUCAUAGCGCUCAUAACCGUUGCACUCGGGACAAUCUCUGACAGUGGGGAGUUUGAUAUUUUCCUCCAACAAUGAAUGAAGAACGGGCAAUUCUAGUGGUCCCUAUGCCGAUUCCACUCCUGUCGGCGUCUUUCCUCUUCCCGACGAUAAUCCUCUUGCUGGCGCCGAUACCGAUCUACACGUUGCUGCCAAGUCUCCCGGGGCCUCCUGUGAGUUAUCACAAUGCCGGAUCGGGGAGGCCUUCCUGAGUUAGCUCCCUCCUGGAUCAAGCCUUUCCCUUUCACAUCGGCAGUAGUGAUUUGAUGCUGAGGAUCCACCGAUGCACUUCUUUCAGCUGCUUCUGACGUUAAGACCUUGGCCUUUCCCCUCGCAUCCAGCAUGUUUGUCGGGAAAGGAUGUUGGUCAAUCUUCAUCGGCUUCUGGGUCUUGGAGCUGUCAAAUUUGAUCCUUCCAGAUUCUAUAGCCGAUUGCAGUUGCUGUCUGAAGACCUUGCACUCAUUAGUGUCGUGAGAAGUCGCAUUGUGCCACUUACAAUAUUUCAUCCUCUUUAAUUCUUCAGCCGAUGGGAUCACAUGAUUAGGUGACAGCUUGAUCUGACCUUCCUGGAGUAGAAAGUCAAAUAUCCUAUCGGCCUUAGUGGUGUCGAAUGCGAACUUUUCUGGUUCCUUGUGCCCAAAAGGGCAAGACAUCGGCUUCUUAUUUUUUACCCAUUCUGCCAAGCCAAUCACUGGUUCUUCAUCAGAGUCCGAGCUUGUUGCUUCAUCAACGAAUGACACCUUUUUGUUCCAUGCUCUCUUGGGCUCGAAAGGCUUGAUAUCUUGAUCAAAAAUUCUCUGCACCAAAUGACUUAAGCUUUCAAACUCCUGAGACGCAUAUUUGUCCCUGAUGUGUGGCAACAAACCCUAGAAAGCCAAAUCGGCUAGUUGCCGAUCAUCCAGAACCAGGCUAUAGCAUUUGUUCUUGACUUUCAGUAUUCUCUGCACAAAACUUUCAACCGAUUCAUCAUUGUGUUGCCCCAAUUUAACCAAAUCGGUGAUCUUCUUCUCAUGGACCCCAGAAAAGAAGUACUUGUGCAAUUGUUUAUCCAGAUCGGCCCAGGUAAUCACUGAGUUGGGAGGUAAUGAUAUAAACCAAGUGAAAGCCGAUCCAUACAAUGAUGAUAAGAAUAAACGGACCCUUAACUCAUCCCUGUUACCAGCUUCCCCGCAUUGGAUGAUGAACCUGUUGACGUGCUCCAUGGUUGACGUGUCAUCCUGCCCAGAAAACUUACUAAAAUCCGGUACCUUGUACCGAUUCGGAAGCGGGAUCAAAUCAUAUGUGGGAGGAUACGGUGUCCGAUAAGAGUAAGUGUUGACUUUGGGUUUUAUCCCAAAUUGGUCCCUCAUCACUUCAGCGAUCUUAUCGGCCCAAUAAGCAUCGGCAUCUUGCCGACGAGGCGGUUGCGGAUCGGGCGCCUGCUGGUAGGCUUCCACGUGUCGAUGCAGCGCACGAUCUGCAUGGAACAUCGAAGUAAUCAUCUGGCCCCCAAUCUGUGGACCACCAAGCUGUUGCCUGCCAAUCUGUUGUCCGCUGACCUGGUGCCCAAGAUUUAUUGGCUGGUUGGGAAUCCCCUGAUUCUGAAACCCAGGAUAGAUCUGGCCUUGCUGGAACCCUGUAGCCUAAUGACUCUGUUGGGGCGUUUGCGGAAAAACUUGCUGCCCAAGCCAUCCAUUAUUAGCAUUCAUCGGCAUAGGUCCUGCCGAUGACUGGUAAUUGGGCAUCAUCAUCGAAUUGACAUACCCAGGUUGAGUCAUAAACCUCUGUUGCAUCAGCAAUGAGUCUGCCGAUGUGUUAGGCAUCUGGAACGUUGGAGCUUGAGAAUUCCCAGUGUAAGGUCUUGCAGUAGUAGUUGUAGUAUACUGGGGACUCUGAUUCAUCGGCAUGCUUGGGGGUGCCGAUGCCAUAGGAGCCUUGCCUCUCACAUCAGUCGCCUGCGACGUACCCGGUGUUAACUCUGGAGGCAUACCAUAACCCCACCAGUUAGGAGGAGGAAUCGAUCCUGACAUUGCCGAUGCCAAUAGAUCUGUAGCGAGUUUAAUCUGCCCAUCUGAAGUUGGUGGAUUAGUCAUCAUCGGCGUAGAUCGUGCAUUAGUGAUUCCCAACGUGCUUGGCGGAAUGGGAAUUUCUAUGCCCGCAGCGGCCGUAGCAGCCGAUGGAGCUGUGACCACCGGUGAUCCUGGCUGAUGAUGAGAGGGGCCCACAUAGUCUGGCGGCAAUUGUCCUUCCUUGAACGUUCUGGCUACGGCGUUGAAAACCGUAUUGGACAGCACACCAGCUUGGUUGAUCAAAGCACGGUUGAUAGCACUAUCAACCAUCUCUUGAAGUUUACCAGGAUUGGCUUCGAAAGUAACCUGCCGAGGCAUCGGCAGCGCAUCCUUCUGGAUCACUUCACCGCUCAUGUUUAUGCUGAAGGACCUCAGGCAUUGCUGCUUGUAAUCCUCCAUGGCUUUAGCAAUAGCUUGCUUCUGCUCGUCUUUGAGACUAUCUUCUGUCACGGGGAUAACGUUCUCCAAUUCGAACUCAGUAUUUGACAUGUUGAUCUUGAUCUUGAAUCUGUCCCACCGGGCGUGCCAAAAGAUGUGUUGAUGCAAAAGCUGAUCUGCAAAUACAAAGGGUUAAUACCCGAUUUAAACGUUAAGGCGUGCCAGCCGAUUUGACCUUACUAUCCCCAAAGGUGGUAACUCGAAUACUUUGGUCCUGACAACAGCGAUGCGCCCGGAUGUCACGGCCAAGAGGUAUUCACGCGGAACUUGAGAACACGCCGAGCUUAAGUCGACGAAUUCCUAAGAACUCGUAAUGAAAAGAAAAAGUAUGACGAAGUCGUCGAAAAAGUAGAUGCUUGGAAUAUGAGUAAAACGUGUGUUUGAUUGAUUGAUAGAUCCCGAUUACAAAGCCCUAGGGUCCAUAUUUAUACCCUGCUCAAAGAGCUACAACCAGACACGACUAGAACUCUAAUUCCAAAUUACACAGAACCCGUAUACAAAACGACUUGAAUAACUAAGGAAAACAUAAAACUAUCCCCCCGUGACAAACUGGAACACCUCCACAAACCGAUCGGCAACUUCCAGACUCUCCCUCCAUAUCAUCGGCAGACUCCCUUGUCGUAGCCAUCGGCACAAACACAUCAUCACCUAUGGACUUGGUCACGUUCAACCACUCCUCCAUCGGCAACCAUCCUCAUCGGCAACUCAUCCUGUAGAUCAAACACUACCGUCUUAUCUUACCGACCUACACUUUACCAAUCAUGGACACGUGCCCAAAAACGGUGUCAACAGAUUCCGAAUGUAAACAACAAUGGACCGAUUUGUUAAAAGAGUAUAUAGAUUGCUUUACUUGUGAUUAUACUGAGAUGCCUGGAUUAGACCGAUCGAUUGUUGAACAUCGGUUGCCUAUUAAAUCUGGAUUUUGGCCACAUCAGCAGCCAGCGCGCCGAUGUAACCCUAAUAUUCUUCCUGACAUUAAGGCCGAAGUAACCAAACUUAUUGAAGCUAAGUUCAUUCGGCAGUGUCAGUAUGCUGAGUGGAUCUCCAAUGUAACGUUCCUAUUUACAAGAAGAAUGGGAAACUUCGUGUGUGCAUUGAUUUUAGGAAUCUCAACAAAGCCACACCGAUGGAUGGCUAUCCGAUGCUAGUUGCCGAUUUGUUGGUUGAUGCUGCGGCUGGGCAUCAGAUUAUUAGCUUCAUGGAUGGUAAUGCAGGGUAUAAUCAAAUAUUCAAGGCCGAAGAAGAUAUUCCUAAGACUACAUUUAGGUGUCUUGGUCAUGUUGGGUUAUUUGAAUGGAUAGUCAUGACUUUUGGCUUGAAAAAUGCUAGUGCUACUUAUUAGAGGGCUAUGAAUUUUAUUUUUCAUGAGUUCAUCGGCACGUUGGUGGAAAUUAAUAUUGAUGAUGUGGUGGUUAAGUCUAGGGAAUUCACAAAGUAUCUAGCCGAUCUAUGAAAAAUACUUGAAUGUACAAGGAAACAUGGUCUAAAGAUGAAUCCUAAUCAAUGUGCAUUUGGCGUAUCGGCAGGCCAGUUUUUGGGUUUCAUGGUGCAUCGGAGAGGAAUUGAAAUUAGUAAGAGAUCUGUUGAUGCAAUCAAAAAGAUAGUUGCCCCUGUCGAUAAAACUAAACUUCAAUCCUUCAUCGGUAAGAUUAAUUUCAUCAAGCGGUUUAUAUCCAACCUAUCGGGUAAGAUUAAGGGUUUUAGUCCUUUGCUCAAAUUAAAAUCUAAUCAAGAGUUUGUGUGGGGAAAAGAGCAACAGCUGGCCUUGGAUGAAAUUAAGAACUAUUUAGUAAAUCCUCCUGUAUUAGUUCCACCUCAACACUUGAAGCCCUUCCGAUUGUACUUAUCCACCGAUGAUACAGUUAUCUGUUCAGCUCUCAUUCAAUAAUUUGAAGGGAAAGAAUGUGUGAUUUAUUAUUUAAGUAGAAGAUUGGUGGAUGCUGAGAUAAGAUAUUCGGCCAUUGAAAAGUUAUGCCUAUGUUUGUACUUUUCUUGUAUUAAAUUGAGGCAUUAUUUGCUAUCGGCCGAAUGUACUGUCAUAUGCAAGGAUGAUGUAGUCAAAUACAUGUUAUCAAUGCCGAUUUUGAAUGGUAGAAUCGGUAAGUGGAUAUUGGCAUUAUCAGAGUUUGACCUACAUUAUGAAUCGGUUAAAGCAGUCAAAGGGCAGAUGAUGGCUGAUUUUGUUACCCAACAUUGUAGUUCGAUAGGUUCUUUAGAGGUUGCUCCUUGGACACUUUUUCUUUGAUGGAUCUACAUGUGACCAAGGAGCAGGUAUCGGUGUAGUGUUAAUUUCUCCUCAGGGAAAGAAGUAUGAGUUUUCAUUGCUGAUUGUUGCUACAUCGACAAACAAUCACGCUGAGUACCAAGCUUUGGUAAAAGGGUUGGAACUAUUAAGAGAGAUUUGUGCCGAUGUUGUUGAAAUCUUUGGUGAUUCUUUGCUUGUUAUAAAUUAGUUGGUUGGAGUUUAUGAAUGAUGUAGUGAAAUUUUAGUAUCAUAUUAUGAGAGGUGUUUGCAGCUAUUGAAAGAAUUUAAAGAUUUCCGUUUGGAACAUAUUCCCCGAUUACAUAAUGAAGAAACUAAUCGGUUGGCUCAACAUGCUUCGGGAUAUCAACCUAUCCUGGGGGUGUUUUUAUCGGCAAUCAGUGCCGAUGAUUGGAGAAAGGAAAUUGUUGAUUACCUGAGAGAUCUGUCUAAGAAAGUUAAGAGAUGUGUUAGAUUUCAAGUCACCAAGUAUGUACUCCUUGACAAUGAGUUGUAUUAUCGUACAGUAGAUGUGAUUUUACUUAGAUGUCUUGGUGAUGAUGAAUCAAAAAGUUUGAUGGGUGAAAUUCAUGAGGGGGUAUGUGGAGCACACCAAUCGGCGUUUAAAAUGAAAUGGAUGAUUAGAAGAAAUGGAUAUUAUUGGCCGACUAUUCUUGAGGAUUGUUUCAAAUACUUCAAAGGGUGUUAGGGAUGUCAGAAGUUUGGUAAUAUCCAAAGGGCGCCCGCAUUGGCUAUGAAUCCUAUUAUCAAACCUUGGCCAUUCAGAGGAUGGGCUAUUGAUCUCAUCGGUCAGAUUUAUCCGCCAUCAAGCAAAGGACACAAGUUUAUUCUUGUCGCUACUGACUAUUUUACUAAAUGGGUUGAAGCUAUUCCUUUGAAGAAGGUGACAUUGGCUAACAUGAUUGAUUUUGUUAAGGAGCAUAUUGUUUACUGAUUUGGUAUUCCUCAGACAAUCACUACCGAUCAGCGUACUAUGUUUACAUCGGGAGAGUUUGAUGAAUUUGCAAUCGGUAUGGGGAUUAAGGUGUUGAAUUCUUGUCCUUAUUAUGCUCAAGCUAAUGGGCAGGCCGAAGCUUCUAACAAAGGGAUCAUUAAGCUCAUCAAGCGAAAGAUUGAAGAAAACCUUAAAUGAUGGCAUACGAUAUUAAAUGAAGCCCUAUUGUCGUAUCGGAUGGCGUGUCAUAGUGCAACUAAAGUGAUAUGACCACGCCACCAAACAAGAUGUCACAAGCUCCAAGUCAAGCUACAUCCACUCAAGUUUCACCUACGCCGACACCACCUCAUGUCAUCAAUGGACCGAUUACACGUAGUCGUUCAAAGAAGCUACAACAAGAGGUCCACGCGCUACUUUGUGAGAUUCAUUUUAACAUUAAUAAGAAUUAUAUACUACCUUAAGUGUUGUACCUUGAUUGUACUCAGGUAUAUAGAAGAAGAGAAGGAUGAAUCGGACCUGAAGAACGGAACAGUGCAAGUUCUAGAAGAAGUCAAAAAUGACCAGUGGAAGUCAAAAACGGACCUAUGCAAAGAAAUCUUCAUAACAUUUUAGUCACAAAAGCCAUGAAGGUCUAUGAGGACUUGUUGGAAAGCUUGUCGAGUCUACUUUCCAAUGAAUCUAGUGGCGACCAGUUUGGUUACACCAUAUUGCCUGCAUACGUGCUGGUUGGCAUACAUUGCUGGAAAGCCCUUUGAGUCUAGUUUCACACCCAAGAAAUGGUUCAUCAUUUGGACUUCCCAAUAAAACGUUAUGGUCAGUUUACUGAAAACUGCUCUGGAGGCCAACAGUCACGCGAAGCCACUUCGGGAAUCCAUUUCGAGGGGACCUUUCAUAUUGCCUUCCCUCAUAAACUCUAUUUCGUUUUCAUACCUAUCUAGCAGGGCUGUUGCUAGUAUAAAUACCCCCCUAAGACUCAUUGUAAUCAAAGACUUUUGAUAAUUGAAAUACAGAACCCCUUUUGUUUUGCUGUGUGCUAGCAAAUAUUCAGAGAGUGAUCUCUACCCCUUGCUCUUGUGAUUUCCUCCCGGGAUUACAUAUGCGGUGGCUUCAUCUGCUACCAAUUGGUGCUCCUACUCCCUUCAAGGUAUACCUUGAUUGAUUGUAGGUUGUGUUGGUUGGUUCUUUGAGAGUGUGGUUGGGCGAAUCCUCGAUUUAGGUUGCCGGUUAAAGACGGUGGGUGGCUUCGAGUUUUAUUUGCCUGGUUGCACUAGUUAUCGCUGCUUGCAGCAAGUUAUCCGGCUGUUCUUCAGCUAGUUAUCGGUGUUCUUCCUACAUCGUGAAGAUCGGGACAACGUGACGCAUCAUCUGGUAUCAAAGCUUUCGUUACCACAGUAGGAAUUCUAUCCCUAGCUACACAUAUAUUUUUGCUUCGUCCUAUCCACCAAAAAGCUAGAAAAAUAUAUUGCUUAGACCUUUCUUUCAAUCUGUUAUUUUAGUGAGUUCGGUUAAGUCGUAGUCCAUUAGAGUCUUUGUUUUAGUUGCUGAUCAUUGUAACACCCAAAAUUUUGAUUUCGAUUAAUAGGAAUUAAUUUGAUUUAUUUGAGUAUUUCUUCUGUGAGCAUUUAAUAUAGUAAAUAAAUAAUUUUUGUCGAAAUUAAAAUUUUGUUCACCAUAAAUUUAGAAACAUGGUUGUGCAUUCAUGCUAAGAUUUAUUUAUUCCCCUGUGUGUUUUGUUUUGUCUACAAAAGGAUUUAAAAAGUCUUCUCAAAAAGCUAUAGAAAGGAGAUUAAAAAAAGAAAAAGGAAAACCCCAGCCAAACCCGUCUCCCCCUCUCCUCUUGGCCGUAGGCCACAGCCCAGCACCCUGUCCCCCAGCGCACGGCCCAUACCGGCCCAGCCGAGCAGGCCAGCCGCGGCCCAGCGCAGCUCCCUUCCCCUCUUCUCUCUCUGACCAGUAGGCCCCACCUCCCUCUCGCUGACGAGGCGACCCCACCUGGCGGGCGCUGCUCCUCUUCCUUCUUGCGCCGAGGACGAACAGGGCUCAGUUGGGGAUAACCGACCCGAGCUAAAAACUUUCCAUCCCGAAAACUCUGAGAUUUCUUGCCAUAUCGACCCCUAUUUAACCCCCAGCACCGCCCCUCGUGUUGUUUUCCACCCUCGACAUGGAAACCAAGCCCUAGACGCCAGCCCACGGACGGUUUGAAUCUCGCCGAGAGCCAAGUCCUCCGCCGCACGCCGCGAGCCGUUUUCGUCAUCUCUCGGUCCAAGCAAAGGGUCCCAGCGAGGUCGCGGUGAGCUUCUCGCCCUCCCGGUGUUUUUCUUUCGUUGAUUGGCGCUCGGAAUCAAGGAAUCGGUGGACUCUGGCGAGCACUCCCAUGGCGCCGCCACGGGGAGGCACAACUCCGGCCGGCCCGCCGCCACUGGCCCCCUAGACGUGCCCGAGCCGUCGGAUCAAGAUCCUGCGGCCGAGAUAGGAAGAUACCCCUUGGGGGGGUAUUUUUGUUAAAGAGUCCUCGAACUUCUUUAGAAUAGGACCCGCAGUCCAUAGCGCCUAUCAGAGUUUACGUUUUGCUCUUGGGGAAGCGUAAAGCCUCGGGUUAACGCCAGAAUAUGUUUUCCAUUAUUUACAGAAAUGCAACUGAUUUUGUUUUGCUUAUAAAAUGUUCAUUUUAACUCCGUUUUUGUCCAUUCAAAUUUCAUUAGAUUCAUAUUCUCGAACUCUACAUGUUAGAAGUAUUAGUUCACUGUUUUGAAACUUUUUAAUUCUGCAGUAGCAUUUAAUUAAUUAUUUCUCUAUAGGAAAUCUGAGAAAAUUCAUAUCUUCCACGUUUUAAUUCUGAUUUUCGUGAACUUUGCGUUUGUGUGAUCGUAACGCUGCGUAGAAUAUUUUUAUAAACUUUUAUCUUUGAUUUCUCACUGUUGGUGCAAUGUUCUAAUUAUAGCUUGUUUGCUUUGUGUAUGAUUGUCUACAUUGGAUUGCGUGUUGUUGAUUGAUGUUUGGGAAUAGACGGUGAGCCAAACGUUGGUGAUCAAGACCAAGCCUUUGAAGACCAGCAGGCUCAGGAGAGCUUUGAUCAAGGCAAGUAUAACUGGGGAUCAUCCAUGUUACCUAUACACAAUUAAUACAAUAUUUAUCAUAUGCAUGUGUCCACCUUGAUGACCUUAGCAAAAUCAUGGAUGAUUGUUAUCCUGAAUUCCUUGUUACCUAUUUGGAUAUGCAUUUCGGUAGUUCUUGCUAGCGCUUGAUUAUUAAUCCAUGAUCUUGUGGCAUGAAUAUUUGAAUAUACAAUAAACAAUAGAAUAAGCUUUCUAGCAACUUGAAUAUAAAGGGUGGAAAGAACUCUGGCUUUUGCUGGAUUGAUUUUGACCCUCCAUAAGGUCUUAUCCCUUGGCAAAAGCUGGGACAACUCGUACAACCAUGCGGGCUAUAUGGCUCUGGCUUUAGCUCAGUAUGAAGACCUUUUCUAGCUUGUUAGAGGUUACCCGAAAGGGCGCUAGAGGUGCUGAACCGACACGGGUAUAGUGCGAGCCCCUGUCCCUAUGUGUGUAGGCUGCACGUCAUUGUGCCAUUUGGAAGGGGGGUAUCUAUAUCUGCUCGCGAAGGAAACCUUGCGGCCCUAACAUGUUAGACGAGCUUUUGAAAGGCUUCAUAGUGAUCCCCGCCGACCUCCCUAGUUAGGGGGUUAAAAGACUAGCUACCUCGGGUGAAAGGGUAAAUCAUGACUCAUGGGUAAAGAUGUACAACCUCUGCAGAGUGUUAAAUCUGGUAUAUCAGCCGUGCCCACGGAUACGGGUGGCCCGGAAAACUGACGGAAUAGAUGGACCCUGAUGAACAUGAUUAAUGAUGAUAAAUGAUGGUUUAUUAUAUUGUUUAUAUGUGUUAUUCUUAAUUCUUGUAUACAUUGAUCAUGUGGUUAUGGGAUUAAUUAUGCUACCUUGAUAUUCACUAUCCAAUGAUUAAAUAUGCUAUCUACAUAAGCUAAAUGCCGUGAAACCAGUGUCAGCUUAUUGAGCCUCAUGAACCCGUGGUUAUACUUGUUGAGUACGAUAUGUGCUCACUCUUGCAAUUUCCCCCACACCUCAGGAGAGGUUUUGGGCUUGUGAUCAACCAGUCAGUUGGAUCCUGUAGAGAGAAGUUAAUACCCGAAGGUUGGAGUUGUCUAUCCGCUGUUUGCUAUCAAAGGUUAUCUCUUUUAUAAUAAGUACGUUAUAUAUUUAUGCAUUGUCUUUUGAUAUUACUCCUUAUUUGUAGCUAUAUGUGAGAUUUGGUCUCUAAAACUCACAUAUAUUGCAUAUCUGGUUUUGUCCUUAAAAUCGGGUAUUACAAUCAUUUAUCCUUUGCGUGUUCUUUGUGCCUCUUUUAUAUCUAAAAAUCCCAACAAAAAAUCUCUAUAGCCUAUAUCAUCCUUUGUGUUAACUUUGAUCCUAUCUAGCUACUGGUUGUUGUUUUAUUUCUGUCUUUAUUUGUGCAAGUAUCAUAACCUGAUCCCUGUUUUAGUUCUAUAUAAAAAUAAAAAAAAGUGUGUCAAAAAAAAAGAAAAGAAAGUGCAAAAAAAAGUGAAGUGAAAAAAAGUUGAGAAAGGUUGAGAGAGAAAGUCUGAAAGAUUAGUUGGUUUAUGUGCACAAGUGCUGAAAGUUUCAUAUCAAGUUCUGCAACCAGUUUGCUAUCUUUGUUUGGUGCAAAACUUUAGUUGGAUCAGAUUGCAACACUUGCAUCCCAAUCAUACUCCUUGUUUGCAUCAUUUCUGAAAUUUCUUUCCGUGUGUGUGAUCUAUUUAUACACUUUGAAUCUUUUGAUCAGCACUAGGCAGAGAACUUCUAGUUUGGAUUGUUACUUAACUUUACAACAACUAGAAUUCAGAUUGCAUUGCUUGUGUAUUACUCACCACCAAGCUCCACAUAAAAACCAUCGUAAUCGGUACUCUCUGUUCUUGUAUUCACCUCGCCAUCACUUUCAGUUGCCACCACACAUUUGUUUUCCUUGUAAUCUGCAGCAGAGGAAUUCAUAAGAGCUUCGGUGGUGAAAGAGGUGAGUUGUGAGAGCCACCAAAUUUUCAUAUUCCACAAAUACAAAUUAUUUGUAUUCAGCUAAUCUUACAGGAAGAUGGAUCGAGUGGACAUCCAAGAUCGUGUUACCAUAGCACAAUUUAAUAAACUCUGGCAAAGCAUGGAAGAAAAGCAAGAGAGGUUGACACAAGAUCUUCAGAAUCUUAUGUCUGAAAUCAGAAGGCAUCAUCCACCUCAUGAUGGUGCAAGCAACCAUAGUGGAGAUAGAGAAGAUAGUGAUGGAGGAAGAGGAGGUCGGAGGAAUCGGAGGGCUGCACAUGUUAGAGGAAGAAGACAUAGUCGAAGAAAUGAUGAUGAAUCUGAAGAUGAGGCUAAUGACAACCGCUUCCAACUCAGUUUUGGUCGCCGAUGUCAUAGAAGAGGCAACCAUGAAGAAAGUUUUGGCAAACUGAAAUUUACCAUGCCAAAAUUUGCUGCUGAAACAUCCACGAGGAAUUUCUCUAGAGGAAGCAAAUCACACACAAAAUUUGCUGCUGAACCGUCCAUGGUGAAAAGCUCAAGUGGAGGCUCACGAUCUAAUUUUUAGGGUACUAUUAGUGGAAACAACACUGCUGUCUCAAGUUAAAAACCAGCAGCAUCAACCACUACUUCAGUGGGUUCUACUUCCAAGAGUAGUGGAGUUCAGUACUUCAAGUGUGGAGGCCAUGGGCAUAUAAGUAAGGAGUGCCCAAAUAACUAGGUGAACAUUGUGAAUGAUGAUGGAGAAUAUGAAUCAGCUAGUGAAGAGGGAGUUGAGAAGGAAGCCCGUGGAGAUGAGGACCUUACUGGCUGCGAGUUUGAGCAAGGAGCUGCUCUUGAGAUGACUCAUAUCUUGAGUGUUCAGGCAAAUGAAGCAGAAAUUGGGCAGCAACACAAAUUAUUUCAAACUAGAGCAAAGGUGCAUGAUAAAGUGGUGAAGGUGAUUAUCGAUGGAGGGAGCUGCCAUAAUCUUGCUAGUUGUGAGAUGGGUGAUAAACUUGGCUUGAAGCUGCUACGACACCCUCAUCCAUAUCAUGUACAGUGGCUGAAUGAUUCGGGAGAUAUCAAGAUUGGAUACAAAGUAAAUGUUCCAUUCAAGAUUGGUGAAUAUGUUGACACAGUAGAGUGUGAUGUGGCACCUAUGUUGGUGUGUCACUUGCUGCUUGGAAGGCCAUGGCAAUAUAAUCGAUAUAGCCAACAUCGUGGGAGAACAAAUCAUUUCAGUAACAAUCUAAAGGGGAAGAAGUUUGUUCUCAAGCCUAUGACACCCCAACAAAUCAUGGCUGAACAUUUACAAAAGAAAUCUGAAAUUGUUCCAGUGAGUAGAGAGGAAGGAGAGCAAAAGAAAUUGAGUGUCAUCCACAAUUUGGUGAGUGACUGCCACAAGCCAAAUUUGAGGGAGAAAAGAAAGGAGAGGGAGAGAAUGUAGUCAUGCUAGCCACAAAAUCUGAAAUGAGAGAAGUGAGGAACAACCCUAAACAAGUGCUCUUUGUACUUGUGUACAAAGGCUUUUUAAUUUCAGCUAACGACAUGACCUCUCUUCCUAGUGUUGUGUCUCAUCUUCUACAGGACUAUGGAGAUGUCUUUCCAGAAGAAACACCGGCGGGACUACCUCCAAUUCGUGGGAUUGAGCAUCAAAUUGAUCUCAUUCCAGGGGCUACACUACCUAAUCGACCACCAUAUCGAACCAAUCCAGAAGAAACAAAGGAGAUACAAAGGCAAGUGCAAGACCUUCUUGAUAAAGGUUUUGUUCGUGAACGUUUAAGUUCUUGUGCUGUUCCUGUAAUUUUAGUACCUAAGAAAGAUAGUUCUUGGAGAAUGUGUGUUGAUUGUAGAGCUAUAAAUAACAUCACUGUUCGCUAUCGCCAUCCUAUCCCACGUUUAGAUGAUAUGCUUGAUGAAUUAAGUGGUUCCACCAUAUUCACUAAAAUUGAUUUGAGAAGUGGAUACCAUGAGAUAAGAAUUUAAACAGGGGAUGAAUGGAAAACUGCAUUUAAAACAAUAUUUGGGCUGUAUGAAUGGCUAGUUAUGCCUUUUGGUUUGACUAAUGCUCCUAGUACUUUCAUGAGAUUAAUGAACCAUGUCUUGAGAGCUUUCAUUGGAAAAUUUGUUGUUGUCUACUUCGAUGAUAUCUUAAUUUACAGCAAGUCUUUUGAGGAACAUGUGAAUCAUAUUCGUCAAGUCUUAGAAGUGCCUAGAAAGGAGAAAUUAUUUGUUAAUCUUGAGAAGUGCAGUUUUUGCACAGACCAUGUUGUGUUUCUUGGCAUUGUUGUUUCACGAAAAGGCAUAGAAGUGCAUGAAAGCAAGGUGAAAGCCAUCAAGGAUUGGACAUCUCCAACGAAUGUAAGUCAAGUAAGAAGUUUUAAUGGCCUUGCUGGUUUUUAUAGGAGGUUUGUGAGAGAUUUCAGUACCAUCGUUGUUCCUUUGAAUGAAUUGACAAAGAAAGGUGUUGACUUUAAAUGGGGAAAAUCACAAGAAAAUGCUUUUCAAGAACUAAAGAAAUGUUUAACUGAAGCACCAUUACUUGUUCUUCCUGAUUUCACUAAAACUUUUGAAUUUGAAUGGGAUGCUAGCAGAAUUGGCAUAGGAGGAAUUUUUAUGCAACAAGGAAAACCUGUAGCAUAUUUUAGUGAAAAACUAGGAGGUGCUCAACUGAAUUAUUCUGUGUAUGAUAAAGAACUAUAUGCUUUGGUACGUGUGCUUGAAACAUGGCAGCACUACUUAUGGAAAAAAGAAUUUGUUAUUCACUCUGAUCAUGAAGCUUUGAAAUACUUGAAAGGACAAGCAAAACUAAACCGUCGUCAUGCCAAAUGGGUUGAGUUCAUCAAAACAUUUUCAUACAUUGUGAAAUAUAAGAAAGUGAAUCGCACAUUGUCAAUGUUGCUGCGAACAAUGGUGAAAAAGAACCUGAAGGUUUGGUAGGAAUUUCUGCCACAUGUCGAGUUUGCAUAUAACAGGGAAGUACACUCUAACACUAAUAUCUGUCCUUUCAAAAUUAUAUAUGGGUUCAAACCUAUUGCUCCGAUAGAUUUGUUGCCCCUUCCAUUGCAGGAAAGAACCAAUAUGGAAGCCUCCAAGUGUGCUGCAUACAUCAAGAAGGUACACAAGAAGACCAAGGAAGCAAUUGAACUCAAGGCAGGACGCAAGGCUGCAAGUAUGAACAAACAUAGGAAGAAGGUGUUAUUUGAACCCAGGAACUUGAUGUGGACACACAUGUGCAAGGAUCUCUUUCCUCAGCAGCGCAAAUCAAAAUUGUUGCCACGAGGAGAUGGUCCAUUUCGUGUUCUUGACAAGAUCAAAGACAAUGCAUACAAGAUGGAUCUUCCUGCAAGUUAUGGCGUGAGCAACUCCUUCAAUGUUGUUGAUCUCUCACCAUUCACAAGUGAAGACACUUCAGAGUCGUGGACGACUCCUUUUCAAGGGGGGAGGAUGAUAUGACCACGCCACCAAACAAGAUGUCACAAGCUCCAAGUCAAGCUACAUCCACUCAAGUUUCACCUACGCCGACUGUUGACGGUUCUUAAGUAUCAAUUUUAAUUAUCAAAUAAACAAGAGAAAGGACCAAUAUGCAAACAACACCCAGAAUUAGGGUUUGAUCUAACAGAAUUCCACAAGUUUUGUUGUUUAUCUGUUUCUACAGGGGGUUAUCUGGAAAUAAGGAAGAAAGGGCCACAUGUCGGAAUUACAUAGAGAUAUCAACGCACCGCGCAAUUUUCUACCAUCUAGAAGACUCGAGAAGCCACGGGAAGGAAGCAGAGGCCGAAAGGGGCCUGGCCCAGGGCGCCCACCCCCCUCUAUACUCCGUUCAGGACUCUUUUCGCACACGACGCUCCACCGACCUAAAGGAUCAAGGAUAACCGUCCAAUCAAUGUCGGUUUGAUCCAAUGGCUCAUGUUCACUUGAGGAGACUAUAAAACCAGACCCCCUGGCCCCUGGAGGAGACAAGUUUAUCAUAGAGUUGAGGGGAGCCCUCGAAGGAAAACCUCUUCUCUAAAUAAAAUUUAUUUUUAGGCUUAGCAUCCAAUGUGAGUAGAAAUAGAUCUUAUAGUUUCUACUAGAUUGAGAGAGAUAGAGUGGAGGUGUAGAUCGGAGGAAUCCCGGCGUGUCGGUGUCUACUCCGAGCUUGUACCUGCGGGAUCAAGUUCUCCUAACCCGAGGCUUGCUCCUAGGAUUCAUCAGUAUUUCGACUUCUCAAUUCUAGUAAGUUCUUGUUUUAUUGUUCUUUUGGUUUAUGAGUUUACUUUAAUCUCUUCGCGUAGAGUUUAGAGUAAUAAUCUCUAGCGUAGACGUGGUGUUUAAGCUAGGAUACUCAUAGAUAUUCCCUGACUAGCUAGACCGUGGUAGUAGCGAGGAACAUGACAUUUCCGAGUUACCUUUGCAAAACAUAUCUCUAUUGAUGCAAAAGCUGGAUCUGCAAACACAAAGUGCUAAUACCCGAUUCAAACGUUAAGGCGUGCCAGCCGAUUUGACCUUUCCAUCGGCAAAGGUGAUAACUCGAAUACUUUGGUCCCGACAACAGCGAUGCGCCCAGAUGUUACGGCCAAGAGGUAUUCAUGCGGAACUCGAGAAUACGCCGAGCUUAAGUCGACGAACUCCUAAGAACUCGUAAUGAAGAGAAAAGUAUGAUGAAGUCGUCGAAAAAGUAGAUGCUGGAAUAUGAGUAAAAACUUGCGUUUGAUUGAUUGAUAGAUGUCCCGAUUACAAGUCCCUAGGGUCUACAUUUAUACCCCGCUCAAAGAGCUACAACCAGACACGACUAGAAUUUCAAUUCCAAAUUUAAACAGAAUCCGUGUAUAAAACGAUUUAAAUAACUAAGGAAAACAUAAAACUAUCCUUCUGUGACAAACUGGGACACCACCACGGACCAAUCAGCGACCUUCAAGUCUUCCUUCUAUGUCAUCAGCAGACUCCCCAUCGGCAACAGUUAAUACUGGCCAUCGGCAUAAACACAUCACCACCCACGGACUUAGCCACAUUCAACUGUCUCCUCAUCGGCAACUACCCUCAUCGGCAACUCCCCUGGAGACCAAUUAGUGUUGCCCUUUCUCCACCGAUCCUGGGUACGUGUCCAAAAACGGUGUCAACACAUGCCCUCCAAUUUCGGAGUAUGAAAUCAUUAAUGCUCCGAAAUUCUCUGCAGUAAUGAUGCCUUUCCGCAAUUAAUUCCCCCAAUUUGGUAACCAACAGCCUUAAUCUGAACAACUCUGACCCGAUUCCUCCGCAGAUUCCUCGAAAUCCUCAGCCUCCCAAACGGACAUUUCCACUUUAAUCGCCCAUCGGCAAUAUUACCGUUACAGAAAGCUGCCGAUGGACUGACCAGGACGUCCCGCCCAGCGAAAUAUCUCAACCUCCCAAACGGUCAUCUCCGUUUUAUUCGUCCAUCGGCAAUAUUACCAUUACAAGGUGCUGCCGAUGGACCGACCAGGAGAUCCCGCACAGUGAAAUAUCUCUAGAUUUUGACUGCUUCCUGUCAAAUCACCUGCACAAUCCCUUGAUUACUGUGCGAACAGUUACCAUAUCUACCUGAGUACCCUCGGAUUUCACGGAUACGGCGAAGUGAUAAGUCAGAUCUGCCCUUGCCCAUUUUGUCCUAUAAAUAGUUUCUUCACGGGUACUCCUCCAUCACAUCAUUCUACAGCCCCAACUCUACCUUUCUGGCGGCGGCGCUGUUCGAGAGCUCCAAGAACUCCACUGAAGGCUUUUCUCCACCAGUCUCGAAGUCUUCAAUCUCCUUCCUUGCGAGGAAAUGGCAAUCAACUUCACCGUUCCUGAGGUCAGUUCAUCACCCUAUCUCUUGUACCUUUACCGCAUCCUUGAUUAUCCGCAAUUUACCUUACUGAACAUUUUUCUUUUCCUUUCUUUGUUCUUCUUUUUACCUUCAAAACCAUUAGGAUCUGUCCAAUAAAAUUGUCAUCCCUACCGAUCAGUCACAUCUCCAAUGUCUUGGUCCGUUAGGGGAUCCAGAUCCCACCGAUCUUAUUAACGCAGAAACAAACAGAAUCCCCUUUAGAAUCGAGAAUUUCUCUCUGGAUCUGUGGAAGGACACCUUCUGUUCCUAGCCCAGUCCUACCGUGGGAUGGAAGGAUUGGUUUUUGAGGGUCAGCCACUCAAAUGAAGUCCAGUGGGGCAAGUGAAAACUAGACCAAUGCAUCAGGUUGUCCAUUGCCGAUAUGUAUAGGAAUGAGUCACUGCUGGUAGCUGCAUCAUAUUUCUGGUCAGACACACUCAAUGCCUUCAUCUUUGGCCACGACCCUACUUCCCCUACACUUGCCGAUGUUGUUAUGCUCACCGGCCUAGAUGUAUCUUCUGCCGAUAGCACCCACUUUUUCGAUACCAAACCCAGUGCUAAGGUGGAAACCCGCUCCAUCGGUGGUUGGUCAGGGUACAUCCAAAAAUACAAACGAACAGGCCCUGUUAACAUAAAGGAACAGACCAGCUUCCUAAACAUGUGGUUGGACAAAUUUGUAUUUUGUGGUCGAUCGGCAGGACCAACUUCUGUCUACCUGGCAGCAGCAGAAAGACUAGCCAAUGGUGGCCGAUUUCCCCUCGGGCGAUACCUGCUUGGCGCGGCCUACCACCUCCUUCAUCAAGUAACCAGGAAACUCCUGCUUGGCCAGUCCAUCGGCAACUUGGGGGGUCCCUGGUGGUUUAUCAACAUGUGGCUCAGCCUCCACAUGCACAAGCGUCUUGAGUUUGACCUUUUCGCACAGCGCUUCCCCAGGGAUAUAGCCGAGGACUAUGAACUGGAUGAAGAAGAAUCAGCAACUCGUCCUCCUCUAAACUUUGGCGAGGCUGUCAUCGUUCUGCCUGGCACUGGUGGCAAUGCAGACCAGGUCAGCCGAUUCUUCCAGACCUUGUACGAAGGCCUGACCAAAGAGCAGCGAGCGUGGAUGCCUUAUGAAGAUCCACAUACUAUGUUUCCUUUGGUUUUCCAUCCAUUCAAUGACACUCUCAACAAGGAUCAUGAUGUGAUGAUGGCACUGAUCACUCCUAGAGCUAUACCAGUGAAUUUCUUUGGCAGUGGAAAAACCUCCAACCAAACCUAUGAGUUUUACAACCCAUCGGCACUAGCCCGUCAACUAGCUUUCGGCUAGCUGCCGAUCGCCCUCUGUUAUGCCGAUGUGAUAAAACCCAGGGAAGCCAUCACUAACCUUCACGAGUGGAUUUGAGUAGCUCAAUUGCCACCGAGUGCCGAUACAGAUGCAGAUUUAUCAGAGUGGAUUCUAGCCCUCUUCAUCACUCAGGCGUAUAAACAAUGGUGGGAAGAAUGGAAGGAGCAUUUGUUCUGCAGAUCGGCCCUUACAUACCAUGGCAUGAUUGAUCCUCAGUACAAAGUCCCCGAGGAUACUGUAAGUACCUCCAAACCGAUGUUCUAAUCCUUUUACUCUCAUUUUCAUCGGUAACUUACUUUCCGUGUUAUGUUGCAGGUUGAUGACACUCCCCCAUCGGUCAGCAAGAGUGGCAGGCCGAUUGAUCUGUUCCCACUAGGUCCAAUCUCUUCAAUCGGCAACAACGCUGCCACUCUGGCUGCCAUCAUGCAUCGAGGUGUACGUCUCAAGAAGGUCGCCACUAAGAGGACUAAGACAUCUCCAUCGGUAGCCGCCUCGGCUUUGGCACAGGCUUUCAAGGUAAAUUUUCAAACUUUUCCUUAUCGAUUUCAUUUUUGCAUCUACUAUACUUGUACUCACAAACUUUCCUCUCCGUAUCAGCACACUGGCGCAUCGGCAAAGACUAGAAGCAAAAGUGCCGAUGCCCCCCAGCCCAGUCAACCGAAGAGAAAGGGUGCCAAGAGCACCAGAGCACAAGUAAAGCGCCAGAGAACAGCAACACCUUCUCCUCCCCUAGUAUCACUGAUCCCAGUAGAAUCUUCUCCUUCCUCUCCAGAAGCUCAGAUGCAACAAGCACCAUAUCCCCCUCAGCUGCAAGAAGCACCCCAAGUGGAAGAACUCCAACCAGAAGAAUCCCAGCCAGAAGCCCCUCAGCUGGAAGACACAUCGGCUGAUGUAGGCGAGCAGACUACCGAUCCAGCAGGCUCAAUCAUAGCAUCGGUAGUUUCCUCGAUCCAGACAAGCACUGCACCCCCUCAAGGUAAUACAUCUUUACAAAGUCAUUGCCGAUGAAUCCACUUUCCUGAUCUCAUAAUUACUUCUGUUAUUCUUUCAGCUGACAUAGUCCCAUGGGCAGCUCCAGCAGAUCAGCCUGUAGUGCCAUCGGCAUCUUCCAGUCAAAGGCGAGAAAUUGCCUUGAAACAAGUAAGCCACCCAAUCUCCAUUAGUAUUAUUUGUCAAUACUCAACCAUGGAAUGACUCACUUUAUCUCUCUUCUAGGAGCAGGACUCUCCUGAUAGCUUGUUUUCCUUUGCCAUUGACAUCUCUGAAGAUGAAGGUGAGGAAGCAAGCUCUUCUCGGGCAGUCGGGAUCACAUCGGCAGAAAUCAGGGCAAAAUUGGAAGAAUUAUCGGCCCUCCUUCACCAAGACACGGCCCAACUGGUUGAUGACUCCGACCCAGCCAAGGCCCUGUUCAAGACCCUCAGAGGCCAAAUUCCUGCCGAUGCUGAAGAAAUCCUCUUUCAAGCUGCACAUCUAGAGAGCCGUCAGCUGCAGUACCAGAGGGCUGCCCAACGUCUUACCGAUAGAGCUACUCAGACUCAGCUUUCUGAGGAGAUGAUGAAUGUGAAGCUCCUUGCCGAGGAGAAGCAUAAGAACAUUGGCACCUUGAAGUCCUCAGGAGAUGCACUGAAACACAAGAUCUCUGAUCUGUCAGCAAAAAGAGAAGCCCUGUUGGCAGAGCUCAAGCAAGUGGAAGAAGCCUUGUACCAAGCCCAACAAGAGGAAAACCAGCUGCCCGAGGCAAUCAAACUCCUUGAGCAAGAGCGAAAUGUCCAUGGCCAUAAAGCACUGCAGCUGAAGAAGAAGUUGAAGCCAGUGGAAGGUUCUGCCGAUGAAGACAUCAAAGAGAUAGAAGCAGCCAACAAAAUUCGCCUUCGUGCUAUAUCGGCCAUACAGGCACUGCUAAACAUGUGAGCUCUUCAUCGGCAACAUAUUUGCUCCUCUCUGCUUUCCAGCUUUCCUAAUAUUUGGUCUAGCCGAUAGGACUGUUAUCGGCACCUUUCAAAACACUGAGUUUUACUCCCAGAUACAUUUUGAUCCAGCCGAUAGGAGUGUUAUCGGCACUUAAACUUUUAUGCAUCGACCCAUAUGCUUGGGUAAUACUUCUUUAGAUAUUUGCCAUUUAAUGCACUGGGAAAUUCGACCCCUUCGAGGGUUUCUAAAAUAUAAGCAUUACCGGGAGCCGAUCAACUUACCCGAUAGGGACCCUCCCAAUUGGGAGACCACUUCCCAAAUUUUGAACUUUUAGCCCCGAUCGGUAAGAUUAAUUUCCAUACUAAGUCUCCAUCGGCAAACUCCUUAACCUUCACUUUCUUAUCAUACCAUCUGGCAACUCUCUUCUUAUUCUCUUCUAUACUCAUCAAAGCCCUUAGCCGAUGUCCUGCUAGAUCAUCUAACUCGUCUGUCAUUAAAGUAGCAUAAUCAUCGGCAGCCAAUUGAUCUUGAAAAGAUAGUCGCCUAGACCCAGUCUUAAUUUCCCAAGGUAACACUGCAUCAUGCCCAUAUACCAACUGAUAAGGUGAAACCUUGGUCGAUCCAUGACAAGCCAUCCGGUAUGACCAUAAAGCUUCGUUCAACAAUGUGUGCCACCUCCUAGGAUUUUCUUCAAUCAUUCGUUUAAUAAGCUUGAUAAUUCCUUUGUUAGAUGCCUCGGCCUGCCCAUUAGCUUGAGCAUAGUAAGGAGAAGAAUUUAAUACUUUAAUUCUCAUACCAAUUGCAAAUUCAUCAAACUCCCCCGAUGUGAACAUAGUACCCUAAUCGGUAGUAAUUGUUUGAGGAAUUCCAAAUCAGUAGAUAAUAUGCUCUUUCACAAAAUCAAUCAUAUUGGCCGAUGUAACUUUCUUUAAAGGAAUAGCUUCAACCCAUUUGGUAAAAUAGUCAGUGGCAACCAGAAUAAAUUUGUGUCCUUUGCUGGAUGGCGGAUAAAUCUGGCCGAUCAAAUCAAUAGCCCAUCCCCAGAACGGCCAAGGCUUGAUGAUAGGAUUCAUAGCCGAGGCGGGCGCCCUUUGAACAUUGCCAAAUUUCUGACAGCCUUGACACCCUUUGAAAUACUUAAAGCAAUCCUCAAGUAUAGUCGGCCAAUAAUACUCAUUUCUUCUAAUCAUCCACUUCAUCUUAAAAGCCGACUGAUGUGCUCCACAUACCCCCUCGUGGAUUUCUCCCAUCAAACUCUUAGCCUCAUCAUCACCUAAGCAUCUAAGAAGAAUCCUGUCGAUAGUUCGGUAAAAUAAUUCAUCUUCAAGGAGCACAUACUUGGUAGCUUGAAACCAAACCUGUCUCUCCACUUUCUUAGAUGGAUCCUUUAAAUAAUCAAUGAUCUCUUUUCUCCAAUCAUCAGCAUCGAUUGCCGAUAUUGCAUUAAUCAUGGGCUGAUAUCCCGAGGCAUGCUGAGCCAACCGAUUGGCCUCUUCAUUAUGCAAUUGAGGGACAUGCUCUAAUCAGAAAUCCUUGAAUUCCUUUAACAGUUGCAUACUCCUUUCGUGAUAGGUUAUGAGGACCUCACUUCGGCAUUCAUAGCUUCCAGCCAAUUGAUUUAUAACUAGCAUAGAAUCCUCGAAAACCUCAACAGCAUCAGCAUGAACCUCCCUUAGCAAUUCCAAACCCUUUAUCAAAGCUUGAUACUCAGCUUGAUUAUUUGUGGACGUGGCAACAAUCGGCAAGGAAAACUCAUACUUCCUACCCCGAGGGGAAAUUAACACUAUGCCGAUUCCUGCCCCCCGGUCACACGUGGAUCCAUCAACGAAGAGCGUCCAAGGUACAAUUUCCACAGCCUCCACUGUACCGCAAUGUUGAGUUACAAAGUCAGCCAUAAUCUGUCCCUUAACCGCUUUAGCUGAUUCCUAACGCAGAUCGAAUUCCGACAGCGCCAAAAUCCACUUACCGAUCCUGCCACUCAUGAUCGGCAUAGACAGCAUGUAUCGAACCACAUCAUCUUUGCAAAUAACCGUGCAUUCGGCCGAUAGCAAAUAAUGCCUUAACUUAACACAGGAGAAGUACAAGCAUAAGCACAGUUUCUCAAUAGCCGAAUACCUAGUCUCAGCAUCAAUCAACCUCCUGCUUAAAUAGUAAAUCACACAUUCCUUCCCUUCAAAUUCUUGAAUUAAAGCCGAGCCGAUGACCAUCCCAUCGGUAGACAAAUACAAUCUGAAAGGCUUCCCUUGCUGAGGUGGGAUCAGAACUGGAGGAUUUACCAAGUAAUUCUUGAUUUCAUCAAAGGCCAACUGUUGUUCUUUCCCCCAUACGAAUUCUUGAUCGGCUUUCAACUUAAGUAAAGGACUGAAAGCACGGAUUUUACCAGUCAAAUUAGAUAUAAACCUCCUGAUAAAAUUUACCUUGCCGAUCAAGGACUGGAGCUCAGUCUUGUUGGUAGGAGCAACUAUUUUGUUGAUAGCAUCAAUGGAUCUUCAACUAAUUUCAAUCCCCCUUUGAUGCACCAUGAAACCAAGAAAUUGUCCUACCGAUACACCAAAUGCACACUUAUUGGGAUUCAUCUUCAACCCAUGUUUCCUUGUACAUUCCAAUACCUUUCUCAAAUCGGCAAGAUGCUUUGUAAAGUCUCCAGACUUAACCACCACAUCAUCAAUAUAAAUCUCCACCAGCUUGCCGAUGAACUCAUGAAAUAUAAAAUUCAUAGCUCUCUGAUAAGUAGCACCAGCAUUCUUCAAGCCAAAGGUCAUGACUAUCCAUUCAAACAACCCAACAUGACCAGGACAUCUAAAUGCAGUCUUUGGAAUAUCUUCUUCAGCCAUGAAUAUUUGAUUGUAACCUGCAUUGCCAUCCAUAAAGCUAAUAAUCCGAUGCCCAGCCGCAGCAUCAACUAGCAGAUCGGCAACUGGCAUUGGGUAGCCAUCCAUCGUUGUAGCUUUGUUAAGAUUCCUGAAAUCAAUGCAGACCCGAAGCUACCCAUUUUUCUUAUAGACUGGAACAACAUUGGAAAUCCAUUCGGCAUACCGACACUGCCGAAUAAAUUUAGCUUCAAUAAGUUUGGUUAUUUCGGCCUUGAUAUCGGGAAGAAUACUAGGAUUACAUCGGCGAGCAGGUUGUUGAUGUGGCCGAAAUCCAGACUUGAUAGGCAACCGAUGUUCAACAAUUGAUCGGUCCAAACCAGGCAUCUCAGUAUAAUCCCAAGCAAAGCAAUCUUUAUAUUCUUUUAGCAAAUCAGUCAACUUUUGCUUACACUCAGAAUUUAACUUAACACUAAUAAAAGUAGGCCUAGGCUUAUCACCACAACCUAUGUCUAGUUCUACCAAAUCAUCGGCAGAUGUGAAUCCCUGGCCUAAUUUUCCAUUAUCGGCGAACCUAUCAAUUAAAAACCUUCAUCAGAACCGACUGCUUGGAUCGGUGGAAUUUCAUAAUCGGCAACUUUGAGAAAAUCCUUUUCCCAAACUUCUCCUGAAAUACAGCUAGUCCUUUCAUAGGUGUCCGCCUCUGCCGAUGCGAUGACAUAAGAAGAAUCUCCUGGGACAAUCUCAAUCUUGUCACCUACCCACUGGACCAGGCACUGGUGCAUUGUAGACGGGAUGCAACAAUUGGCAUGAAUCCAAUCUCUUCCCAACAGUAAGUUAUAAGCACCCUUUCCACUGAUCACAAAGAAGGUGGUCAGCAAGGUUUUGCUGCCGAUGGUCAAUUCAACACAUAUGGCUCCCUUGACCGGAGACACGUUCCCUUCAAAGUCUUUAAGCAUCAUAUCGGUCUUGGUCAAAUCCUGAUCUCCUUUUCCAAGCUUCCGGUACACUGCAUAUGGCAUGAUGUUGAUACCAGCCCCACCAUCAAAUAAAAUCUUGGUCAUCGGCUGUCCAUCAACCCUUCCUUUGACAAACAGAGCCUUAAGAUGUUGCCUUUCAUCAUCGGCAGGCUUUUUGAAUAUGGCUGUCAUCGGAUCCAGAGCCAACUGAGCUAUAUGGUCGGAAAACUCCAACUCAUCAUCACUGGAUGGUGCAAGGAACUCCAUCGGCAACAUAAAUACCAUGUUGACAUCUGCCGAUGGACCUUUCCCCUUAGGAUCUGACUGUUGCUGAUCCCCAGACUGUCCAGAGUUCUCACCCUUGCUCAGCUCUUCUCGCCUUUUGUGUUGCAGUCUUCUCUUUUGUGUCCUAGUCAACCCCUCUAGACACCAUGGAGGAAGUUGUUGCUGCCUUACCGAUGGGCGAUGAUUUUCCCUUGACUCCAUCCGAUAAAUAUUGGCAUCCCUGCAAAAUAUGAACUCAUCAGGAACUCGAGCAUUAGCCAUCUCUUCAAGUUCUUGCUGGUUCCUGGGAAAAUAUCCAACAUGAUCGCCGAGCCUAUCGUGCACACUGAGCCUGCCCCCCAGCCGACCGUGAACGGAUGCUCUCCCCCUCACUGGCCCGUUAAAUCGCCGAUCGUCAUCGUGAUAGCACCGAUCAGAUCUGUCAUACCGAUCAUAACCAUUGCACUCAUGACAAUCUUUGAUAGUGGGAAGUUUUAUAUUUUCCUCCCAACAAUGGAUGAAGAACGGACUAUUCUAGUGAUCCCUAUGUCGAUUCCACUCCUGUCGGCGUCUUUCUUCCUCCAGACGAUAGUCCUCUUGCUGGCGCUGAUACUGAUCCUCACGUUGCUCCCAAGUCUCCCGAGGCCUUCUAUGAGUUAUCACAAUACCAGAUCGGGGAGGCCUUCCUGAAUUAGUUCCCUCCUGGAUCAAGCCUUUUCCUUUUGCAUCGGCAGUUGUAAUCUGAUGCUGAGGAUCUACCGAUGCACUUCUUUCAGCUACUUCCGAUGUCAAGACCUUGGCCUUUCCCUUGGCAUCCAACAUGUUUGUUGGGAAAGGAUGCUGAUCAAUCUUCAUCAGUUUCUGGGUUUUGGAACUGUCAAAUUUGAUCCCUCCAGAUUCUAUAGCCGAUUGCAGCUGUUGUCUGAAAACUUUGCAUUCAUUGGUGUCGUGAGAAGUUGCAUUGUGCCAUUUGCAGUACUUCAUCCUUUUUAAUUCUUUAGCCGAUGGGAUUACAUGAUUGGGUGACAAUUUGAUCUGACCUUCCUGAAGUAGAAAGUUAAAUAUCCUAUCGGCCUUGGUGAUGUCAAACACGAACUUCUCUUGCUCUUUAUGCCCAAAAGGGCAAGACAUCGGCUUCUUGUUUUUCACCCAUUCUGCCAAGCCGAUGACUGGUUCCUCAUCAGAAUCUGAGCUUGCUGCCUCAUCAACAAAUGAUACCUUUUUAUUCCAGGCCCUCUUGGGCUCAAAGGGCUUGAUAUCUUGAUCAGAAAUUCUCUGCACCAAAUGGCUUAGGCUUUGAAACUCCUGAGAUGCAUACUUGUCCCUGAUAUGUGGCAACAAAACCUGGAAAGCCAAAUCGGCCAGCUGCCGAUCAUCCAGAACCAGGCUAUAGCAUUUGUUCUUGACUUCCCGUAUCCUCUGCACAAAACCUUCAACGGAUUCAUCAUUGCGUUGCUUUAACUUGACCAAAUCGGUGAUCUUCUUCUCAUGAACCCCAGAAAAGAAGUAUUUGUGGAAUUAUUUCUCUAGAUCGGCCCAAGUAAUCACUGAGUUGGGAGGUAAUGAUAUAAACCAGGUGAAAGCCGAUCCAGAUAAUGAUGACGAGAAUAAGUGAACCCUUAACUUGUCCCUGUUAGCAGCUUCCCCGCAUUGGAUGAAGAACCUGUUGACAUGCUCCAUGGUUGAUGUAUCAUCCUGCCCUGAAAACUUAGUAAAAUCCGGUACUUUGUACCAAUUUGGAAGCGGGAUUAAAUCAUAUGCGGGAGGAUACAGUGUCCGAUAAGAGUAAGUGUUGACUUUGGGCUUUAUCCCAAAUUGGUCUCUCAUUACUUCAGCAAUCUUAUCGGCCCAAUAAGCAUCGGCAUGUUGCCGAUGAGGCGGUUGUGGAUCUGGCACCUGCUAGUAAGCUCCCACGUGUCUGUGCAGUGCACGAUCUGCAUCGAACAUUGGGUUGGCCAUCUGACCACCAUCCUGCUGACCACCGACCUGUUGACCGCCAAAUUGUUGCCCGCCGAUCUGCUGCCCAAGAUUCAUUUGCUGGUUGGGCAACCCUUGAUUUUGGAACCCGGGGUAGAUCUGGCCUUGCUGGAACCCUGUAGCUUGAUGAUGCUGUUGGGGCAUUUGUGGAAAGACUUGCUGCUCAGGCCAUCCACUAUUAGCAUUCAUCGGCAUAGGGCCUGCCGAUGACUGGUAAUUGGGCAUGAUCAUUGAGUUGACAUACCCUGGCUGAGUCAUAAACCUCUGUUGCAUCAGCAUUGAAUCUGUCGAUGCAUUAGGCAUCUGGAACAUUGGAGCUUGAGAAUUCCCAGUGUAAUGUCUUGCAGUAGUAGUUGUAGUAUACUGGGGACUCUGAUUCAUCGGCAUAUUGGGAGGUGCCGAUGCCGUAGGAGCCUUGCCUCUUCCAUCAGCCGCCUGAGAUGCACCAGGUGUCUUCAAUGUGAACUCUGGAGGCAUACCAAAACCCCACCAGUUUGGGGGAGGAACUGGUCCUGACAUUGCCGAUGCCAAUAGAUCUGUAGUAAGUUUAAUCUGCUCAUUUGAAAUCGGUGGAUUAGUCGUCAUCAGCGCAGAUUGUGCAUUAGUGACUCCCAACGUACUUGGAGGAACAGUAGUCUGGGUGCCCGCAGCGGCUGUAGCUGCCGAUGGAGCUGUGACCACCGGUGACCCUAGCUGAUGAUGAGAUGGGCCCACAUAAUUUGGUGGCAACUGUCCUUCUUUGAAAGUUCUAGCCACGGCAUUGAAAACCGUAUUGGACAGCACACCAGCUUGGUUGAUCAAAGCACGGUUAAUAGCAUUAUCAACCAUAUCUUGAAGUUUACCAAGAUUGGCAUCAAAAGUAACCUGCCGAGGCAUCGGCAGUGCUUCCUUCUAGAUCACCUCGCCACUCCUGUUUAUGCUUAAGGACCUCAAGCAUUGCUGCUUGUAAUCCUCCAUGGCUUUAGCAAUAGCUUGCUUCUGCUCAUCCUUGAGAUUGGCCUUAGUCACAGGGAUGACAUUCUCCUGAUCGAACUCAGUAGUCGACAUGUUGAUCUUGAUCUUGAAUCUGUCCCACUGGGCGUGCCAAAAGAUGUGUUGAUGCAAAAGCUGGAUCUGCAAACACAAAGGGCUAAUACCCGAUUCAAACGUUAAGGCGUGCCAGCCGAUUUGACCUUACUAUCGGCAAAGGUGAUAACUCGAAUACUUUGGUCCUGACAACAGCGAUGCGCCCGGAUGUCACGGCCAAGAUUCACAUGGAACUCGAGAAUACGCCGAGCUUAAGUCGACGAACUCCUAAGAACUCAUAAUGAAAAGAAAAGUAUGACGAAGUUGUCGAAAAUGUAGAUGCUAGAAUAUGAGUAAAAACUUGUGUUUUAUUGAUUGAUAGAUGUCCCGAUUACAAGGCCCUAGGGUCUACAUUUAUACCCGGCUCAAAGAGCUACAACCAGACACGACUAGAAUUCGAAUUCCAAAUUUAAACAGAAUCCGUGUAUAAAACGAUUUAAAUAACUAAGAAAAACAUAAAACUAUCCUUCCGUGACAAACAGGGACACCACCACGGACCAAUCGGCGACCUUCAAGUCUUCCUUCUAUGUCAUCAGCAGACUCCCCAUCGGCAACAGUUAAUACUGUCCAUCGGCAUAAACACAUCACCACCCACGGACUUAGCCACAUUCAACUGUCUCCUCAUCAGCAACUACCCUCAUCGGCAACUCCCCUGCAGACCAAUUACUAUUGCCCUUUCUUGCCGAUCUACUCUCCACCAAUCUUGGGUACGUGUCCAAAAACGGUGUCGACAAUCUCGUUAGCAGGAAGGAUAGGGUUUAUAGGUGCGGGUUGAACAUCCUUUGUGGUGUCUAGAUUCCGUUAGCCUCCCUAAUAGAACAGUAGAUCAUCCUUACCAAGGUUAGAAGGAGAUUACGGUUGUAGUCUUCUCUAUUUAUCACUCACAUCGAGAAACAUUCUUCGUUGCCUAAAGGGUUAGUAGUAAUAGACCGGGUUAGUCAGAUGCACUCUUUCUCCUAGUGGUAAAAAAAUAAAUACGAUACUCUAGAUAACCUCCCGGGUAAAGUGCUCACCGAUAUCCGUGCGCUUGCGGAUCAAUUCCUUAUUGCGUUCCCAAAUAUCAACACCGACACCAGCCCAUGUCAUCAAUGGACCGAUUACACGUAGUCGUGCAAAGAAUCUACAACAAGAGGUCCACGCGCUACUUUGUGAGAUUCAUUUUAACAUUAAUAAGAAUUAUAUACUACCUAAGUGUUGUAUCUUGAUUGUACUCAGGUAUAUAUAGAAGAAGAGAAGGAUGAAUCGGACCUGAAUAACGGAACAGUGCAAUUUCCAGAACAAGUCAAAAACGGACCAGUGGAAGUCAAAAACGGACCAGUGCAAAGAAAUCUUCAUAACUUUUUAGUCACAAAAGCUAUGAAGGUCCAUGAGGACUUGUUGAAAAGCUUGUCGAGUCUACUUUCCAAUGAAUCUAGUGGCGACCAGUUUGGAUACACCAUAUUGCCUGGAUAACAGAAUUAGUACAGACUACUCGGAAGGUCAACAGUCUAUCAUGACAGAAUGUUGGUACAACUUGCCAAGUAAAACUCUACCAAUCUACAAUGUAUCAUGCUGGUUGGCACACAUUUCUGGAAAGCCCUUUGAGUCUAGUUUCACACCCAAGAAACGGUUCAUCAUUUGGACUUCCCAAUAAAAAGUUAUGGUCAGUUUAUUGGAAACUGCUCUGGAGGCCAACAGUCACGCAAAGCCACUUCGAGAAUCCAUUUCGAGGGACCUUUCUAUUGACGGUCCUUAAGUAUCAAAUUUAAUUAUCAAAUAAACAAAGAAAAGGAUCUAAAUGAAAUCAACAUCUAGACUUAGGGUUUUAUCUGACAGAAUUCGACGAGUUUUGGUGUUUCUCUAUUUCUGCAGGGGGUUAUCAGGAAAUACGGAAGAAAGGCCCACACGUCGGGAUUACAUAGAGAUAUCAAUGUGCCGCGCAAGUAUUUUACAUCUAGAAGACUCCAGAAGCCACGGGAAGGAAGCGGAGGCCGAACGGAGCUAGGACCUGGGCGCCCGCCCAAGUCCUUAGGGCGCCCGCCUUGCUACAGUGGCCAAUCACGUUCAACCUCGCGGAUUAUGCUCCACCGACCUAAAGGAUCAAGAAUAACCGUUCAAUCAAUGUCGGUUUGAUCUGACGGCCCAGGUUCACUUGAGGGGACUAUAUAACCAGACCCCCUGGCCCCUGGAGGAGGCAACCCCUUGAUCAUUAUUCAUUAUUCAUAGACAGAGCAAAAGCUAGGGUUUAGAGAUGAGAGCUCUCCUCUCUUCUCUAAACUAGAGUAGAUCUAGAUAGUAGCAAGAUGGAGAGCGAAGGAGGAUUAGAGGAGAGGCCGGCCUGUCGGUUCUUCCUCCGGUUGUACUUCGCCAUGAUCAAGCUCUAAUCAAGCUUGCUCAUGGGAUGACUCUGGUAAUCUACUUCUAAUUCAUUAUGCAAUUACUAAUUAUGUAUGUUCUGGUUCACAACUCUUUUGAGUACUUUAAUCUAUAGGACGCUAUAGGUGAGAGUUGUAGUAUAGGUGUAAGCGAGGUGCUUAGAUCUAGAUUACUUGUGGAUAUCCCCUGUCUAGCUGGAUCGUGUGGUAGGCCGCGUAGGUGACAGUUACGUUGGUCCUCUGUAGUCCACCUCUCGUUAGUAGGACGGGUAGGGUUUAUCGGCCUAUGGAUAAGCAUCCUUUGUGGUGUAUUCUUAUCACGUGGUUCGUCCUAGACAUAGACAUACCCCUUUGAAGUAGAGAAACCAUAGUUAUCCUCUCUAUUCUGCUACCAUCGCCCAUAUACUAGAAUUGCUCUAUUCUCUAUUCCCAUAUUAUCACUCACUAUUAUCUUACCUUUAAUAUUGUUCUUAUUCAAUUCUACCAUCUUUCCUAUUUACACUUAUCUAUUUAUCUUGGUUAAGUUAGAGCGUAGUUAGUUCUCCCGUUUCCCUGUGGAUACGAUAAAACCUUUAACCGGGUAAAAGCUUCAACAGUAUCCGUGCGCUUGCGGAUUAUCUGUGUGCGUAUAAAUACCAUAGUACACUCUAGUGCCAUGCUGGAGAUGACAACCUAGUAUUCAAGUGGUGUUAGCAAGUGUCAAUAAGCAUUAUUGGCGCCGUUGCCGGGGAAACGGUUGCUGAGUUGACUACGAACUAGCUUAAUCAUUUUCUAAAAAAAAUAAUAAAAAAAUAUAUAUACUUUUCCUUUUAUCCUUUGCCUCAUCUCUGCUAUUCUUUCUUCUUAUCUAAUCCUUGAUCUCUGGUCUAUCAUGAAUUCAAACAUGUCUAUCUAUGAAUUUCAUAGACCUACCAUAGCAUCUAGUUUUGAGAUAGACCCCGAAUACAUAGAAUUUGUUCAAAAACAACCUUUCUCAGGAGAAGGUGAGGAAAACCCAUACACACACCUAAGAGAGUUUUAUUGAGUCUGUGACCUCCUUCGUAUAGUAGGCAUGUCUGAUGAAACCCUUAAAUGGAAGCUCUUUCCAUUCUCUUUAAUAGGAAAAGCUAGACAUUGGCAUAAACUAAAAAUAGGGAGUGUUCAUGGAGAUUGGAAGGAGUUAUAUAGUAGUUUUCUUUCUAAAUAUUUUCCAAUCUCCAAAGUGGCGGAACUUCGACGUGAGAUUAUUUCUUAUAGACAACUGGAAGAAGAAUCUCUUAGGAAGAAGUUCCAGAAGAAGUUCUUCUAUUUCACUUUUUUAAGGGCCUUAGUGGGGAAAAUAAGCAAACCUUGAAUACAGCCUCUAGAGGAUCCUUCUAUCACCUACUUGCUAGUGAAGCUUGGAAUUUGAUUGAUUUAUUAAGCGGAAAGUCUCAGCUUUUAUAUCCCUGAGAAAGAGAAAGAACCAGUUCCUAGACAAGAAGAAGAAGUUUCGAUAGCCAGAUCACAACCACUUCAAUUCCAAACUUUAGCUAUCGAUCCUAAACCAUCAAUACCCCAAAAUUCUCCAAGGGAGGAAGGAAUUCCGACCUUAAAUCUUUCAGAUGCUGAUGGUUUAGACUUCUGGUUCCAUAAGAGACCUUCAUGCAGGGAUAAUUCAAAUCCUCGCAAUAAUGGUUCUCUUAGAGAAUGUCCUGAUUCCUGUUAUGAAGAAGUCGAGGAUGACAUAUCAAGUGAAGGAGAGCUAAGCCAUAUUGAAAAUUAUAACACCUCCCCAUUCCUUAUCACAAGUUAUAAAUGGCUAGAAUGUGUAGAAUGGAUGGAUAAGGAAGAAGCCUUAAUGAAUUCUGACUUUGGUUCAAUUUCAAAUGGUGAGUUCUUGACUCCCUUUAAAGAUGAGAUUCAUCCAACUACAGAAGAGGACAUAAGUGAGACCAAUCCAAGAGAAACUCUGAACAUUCAGAUUGAAGACGAAGAUAACAUUAAUGAGCAUGGAAUUUAUUUCAUAGCCACUUUGUUUACUCCAUGCUCACAUGCAACAUCUUCCCAAUCUAUUGGUCUCUCCAAUAUCACCACAUUUGAGAUCUCCAGCCCCCUCUUCCUUUCUAUUUAUAAAAACUUUAAAAGGGCGAUUGUCGAUGCAUAUGUCUAUAAUAAAUAUUGCAGAUCUCGUUGAGUUGAUCAUGAUAUAGGUCAGCGUUGGAAGGGAAACCACUUCGCUGACAUAAAUUGAUGGUUUCACAAGGACAAGCUUGGUGUCCUAAAAUAAGCACUGAUCAGAUCGUAACAUGAGUUUUUAAUUAUUUGCAACAUUACCUUGUGUAUUGAGCAUAUAAGGAUAAUUGUAAAAAUAUUCCUUCGGGUAUUCUUGUCACUAACCUUUCUAGGAUUGGAGCAAGAAGAUCGGAUGAAUGACAAGCAAGUACAAGGUAUGUCCAACCAAUCAUCAUGCAACACUGAACUAAAUUCAUCCAAACUUGAAUUCUGCAAAAUUCAAGCUUGGGGGAGUACUUUACAUAAAAACAUCCUUUGCCAUGUUGCUGUGUUGGUUGUCCCUACCUUUAAGACAUGCUCAAUUUGUUAAAUAACAAUCACACUACUUCAUCUCCACUUGAGUAGAUCUCUAUAAAUGCUGUCAUGUUACCUUUGCCUAUUUACUAGCAAGUGUUAGUUUGGAAGUACUGCACAUACUUCUAUUGGCUUUUAAAUUAAGCAUGGUGCUUAGGUUAAAUAGUCUUCCUUAAUCUGAUUAGACAUGGAGUCUAGUUCGGUUAUUGAACUAAAAACUGCUUGUGUAGACAUUGGUAUAUAUUUGUCGGACUAACCCCUGCAGAAAAACUUCCAAUAUCGAUUUGGGAAGUCCUGAGAUAAACUCACAUCAGAGACGAAGAGAGUGACACAUGAAGUUUAACAAUUUGCACAAGAAGGACAUAGCUCAUUCAUCAUAGAGAGAUGAUCCAUGGAGGGUGCCACUAACACGAUGCACAACCGCUAAGAAAGGAAAGCUUCCACAAGGUGAUACUGUACCGUCACUCUUCAAGUAUGGUAACACCUUAAGGUACUUGCCGAUCACUUUUAUAAGCUUCUCCUUGGUUUUGGUGUUCAUAUGAAUAAAAGAGACAAACAUGUAUGAUUUAUAGCUCUAGGUUAACCAACCCAAUCGAUUCAACAUGUUUAGUCCUUCUACUUUUGUGAUCCCACACUCCUAAUCAUAUGAGCUAAAAUGUUACGCAUUCAAUCUUUGAGAGAUAUAAAGAAAAAGACAUAUACAUAGAUAGAUUAUCUUUCCAUAAGGUUGAGCGAUCUGAUCUGACAAAUGUUAUAAGUGCUACACUCAUGAACUUUUCAUCCAUCAACUUUGUCUUGCUCACUAUGCUUAGGGUUAGAGAAAAACAAAUACACUUUUGGUUCUGUUGGUCCACCAACAGGACCCAUGCACUUGAUCUCUGCCUUGUCUCUAUGAGCAGGUACACUUCGAGCAAAACAUGGAGGAGUUUUAUAACUCUCAGACUCUACCAAGUAAAGCACCUGAAUCAAAUGACGCAUCUGAAGAAUGAACACAUUGAACCCUCACCGAAAGGUAAGAUCGGUAGUUAUCCAUAUUUAUCCUUUCUGCAUUCCCUUUUCCCUUUAAUUUUUUACUUUCCUUAAAUAGAUUAUUAGUUAAUCAUGCUAUCUUGAAAAGAAAAUAAAAAUGUUAAAAAAUACUAAGCCCCAUGUGAGUAUACGAGUGGCAUAAAACCCAUAAGUACCUUCACUUUGGUGGCAUAAAAAUAAAAUAAAUAUUUCUUUUCUGCUUUAUAAAAUAAAAAUAUAAAAACAGGGAGUAAUAUUUAUUGAGGAAGCUCAACAUGAUGAAGGCUAGAUAUUUAUGCUAACACUUAAUUAGUUCCACAAGCUUUGUUGUCUAUUUGAGCUCCACAGAAUUUAAGAAUCAAGAAGACUAGCAGACGGAGGACAUUCUAAUCGCUGUCAGAAUGCUGCUGACUUUCAAAUACACCUCUGCCACCUGCUAGCAACAUCAAGAGAAAUUACGUCAAAAUUCAGCUUGGGGGAGAGCACCCCCAUUUAUCUCGCUAAGUAUUUCUACCUAUCUUUAUACUUAUAUUAUAUUAGAAUAUUAAAAUACAUAAACUAUGAAAAACCAAAUAAAGAUUUUGUGCUUAUAUAUAUAUCUUUUGCUUAGUGUGUUUAAUAAAUAAAGUGGCUAUGCUAAUCUGAAUCUUAAUAAUAAAACUCUAGCAUGGAUAUGACGAAUAGUUGCUCUGCCUAAUUUGCAAAUUUGAAGUUCUCUCUCAAGUUUAGACAUAACUGUUAUAAUUUAAAGCUUGCUCUAGAUCUAAACUUGUGGGAUGAAAACUUGAUCUGAAAUCUAAGUUGUUAACGGAUAUGAUAUGGGAAGGUUGAGCUGCUGUUUAUCUGUUCCUAGAGAUGCUAGAAUUCUGGAGAAUUUUAUCUUUAAAAAAUCUUUAAAAUAUUGCAUGAUGAGUUCCUGUAUGAUGAGAGUUUAAAUUCCUACCACAACCAUAUAUAUACAUGCUUGCUAGACUUUGAGCCACACAUUUAUUAUUUACUGCUUAUGAGCAUUGAGUGUGGUCAAGCUAUGUAGACCCUUAGGAGCUUGUCAUGUGGUUAAAUCAAGAUUCACUUGCACGUUCACUCAUAUAUGCUACUUCUACUCCGGAAGUACCAUCCACAUAUAUCCAUCCAUGUCCAUCUCCAGAACCAGCCAAAAAUAUUCUACUCCUAAUUCGAGAGAGAAUAGCCAAAAAUAUUUUUGUUUUCCCUUGUGAAAUAAAUGCUCAAGUUAUCUUGCUACUACCACUUGCUAUAUUAUCUCAAGAGAUGAGUGCUCUGAAAAAAAGAAAAAAAAUAAUAAACGAGGAAAUAAAAAGGGGCAAGUGCCCGGAACCUCGAAAGAAAAAAAAAGAGUGAGACGAGAGGUAAAAAUGGACAAGUGUCCGACAGUAGAAUUAGGGGUACAGGAUACCCACCUGAGAGGAAAGAAAAAUGAAAGAUAGAGCAUCUCAUUCUCCUCAUAAAGUUUCAAAAAGCAAGUAAGGUAUGUAUCCCUUCAAAAGAGCAAAAGUAGAAUUAGACUUCCACCGUUGUUAUCACCAUCAUCACCAUACACCAUUCAUUCGCCACACAUGCACAUCUUGAUUUGACUUAUUGACUUGUUUCUCUAGAUCCAUGGUUUGACUAUGCAAUAAAUGUCUUGUAAGUAUGUAUUAGUUGUCUCCCACCUAUGAGCUCUAGAUAUUAAAGACUUAUUAGAGUAGGGUGAGAGAGAAGGCAAUGUCACUAUGCCUUAUACCACAAAUACCAUAUAUCUUGAGAGAAGGCAUAUACCAUCACUGCCUUGGUAAGGAUCCAGAAAUACCAUAAAAGAGAGAUUUAGAGAGUCAUACAAGGAAUCUCUAAGUUUUAUUUGAAAAUCUGCAAAAACUCCAGAGCUAUAGCUGAUCAAGAAUAAGAGCCAUGGCACUUGGCUAGACUGUUCUAUCUUUUAACUACUCAAGACAGAAGUGACGGUUACAAGUCCCAUGGUGAAAGGUAAAGUAAGUAAGUUUUAGUUCUUGACAGUUUACUCUAACUCAGAGAUGAGAUCUUAUUUAAAAGCAUGUGUACCAUCAAAUUUCUAAGAUAUUGCAACAACUUCUAAUCCAUUGCUGAGUCUAUCCUUGCUCAGGGACGAGCAAGAGGUAAGCUUGGGGAGUAUGUUGACGGUCCUUAAGUAUCAAAUUUAAUUAUCAAAUAAACAAAGAAAAGGAUCUAAAUGAAAUCAACAUCUAGACUUAGGGUUUUAUCUGACAGAAUUCCACGAGUUUUGGUGUUUCUCUAUUUCUGCAGGGGAUUAUCAGGAAAUACGGAAGAAAAGCCCACAUGUCGGGAUUACAUAGAGAUAUCAAUGUGCCGCGCAAUUAUUUUACAUCUAGAAGACUCCAGAAGCCACGGGAAGGAAGCGGAGGCCGAACGGAGCCAGGACCUGGGCGCCCGCCCAAGUCCUUAGGGCGCCCGCCCUGCUACAGUGGCCAAUCACGUUCAACCUCGCGGAUUAUGCUCCACCGACCUAAAGGAUCAUGAAUAACCGUUCAAUCAAUGUCGGUUUGAUCCAACGGGUCAGGUUCACUUGAGGGGACUAUAUAACCAGACCCCCUGGCCCCUAGAGGAGGCAACCCCUUGAUCAUUAUUCAUUAUUCAUAGACAGAGCAAAAGUUAGGGUUUAGAGAUGAGAGCUCUCCUCUCUUCUCUAAACUAGAGUAGAUCUAGAUAGUAGCAAGAUGGAGAGCGAAGGAGGAUUAGAGGAGAGGCCGGCCUGUCGGUUCUUCCUCCAGUUGUACUUCGCCAUGAUCAAGCUCUAAUCAAGCUUGCUCAUGGGAUGACUCUGGUAAUCUACUUCUAAUUCAUUAUGCAAUUACUAAUUAUGUAUGUUCUGGUUCACAACUCUUUUGAGUACUUUAAUCUAUAGGACGCUAUAGGUGAGAGUUGUAGUAUAGGUGUAAGCGAGGUGCUUAGAUCUAGAUUACUUGUGGAUAUCCCCUGUCUAGCUGGAUCGUGUGGUAGGCCGCGUAGGUGACAAUUACGUUGGUCCUCUGUAGUCCACCUCUCGUUAGCAGGACGGCUAGGGUUUAUCGGCCUAUGGAUAAGCAUCCUUUGUGGUGUAUUCUUAUCACGUGGUUCGUCCCAGACAUAGACAUACCCCUUUGAAGUAGAGAAACCAUAGUUAUCCUCUCUAUUCUGCUACCAUCACCCAUAUACUAGAAUUGCUCUAUUCUCUAUUCCCAUAUUAUCACUCACUGUUAUCUUACCUUUAAUAUUGUUCUUAUUCAAUUCUACCAUCUUUCCUAUUUACACAUAUUUAUUUAUCUUGGUUAAGUUAGAGCGUAGUUAGUUCUCCCGUUUCUCUGUGGAUACGAUAAAACCUUUAACCGGGUAAAAGCUUCAACGGUAUCCGUGCGCUUGCGGAUUAUCUGUGUGCGUAUAAAUACCAUAGUACACUCUAGUGCCAUGCUGGGGAUGACAACCUAGUAUUCAAGUGGUGUUAGCAAGUGUCAACACUUUCAUAUUACCUUCCCUCGGAAACUCUACUUCAUUUUCAUACCUAUCUAGCAGGGCUGUUGCUAGUAUAAAUACCCCCUAAGACUCAUUGUAAUCUAAGACUUUUGAUAAUUGAGAUACAGAACCCCUUUUGUUUAGCUGUGUGCUAGCAAAUAUUCAGAGAGUGAUCUCUACCCCUUGCUCUUGUGAUUUCUUCGCGGGAUUACAUAGACGGCGGCUUCAUCCGCUCUCAAUUGGUGCUCCUACUCCCUUCAAGGUAUUCCUUGAUUGAUUGUAGGUUGUGUUUGUUGGUUCUUUGAGAGUGUGGUUGGGCGAAUCCCCGGUUAAAGACGGUGGUUGGCUUCGAGUUUUAUUUGCCAGGUUGCACUAGUUAUUGCUGCUUGCAGCAAGUUAUCUGGCUAUUCUUCAGCUAGUUAUCGGUGUUCUUCCUACAUCAUGAAGAUCGGGACAACGUGACGCAUCAUAAAGUGUCACCUUAUCAGUUGGUAUAUGGGCACAAUGCUGUGUUACCUUGGGAAAUCAAAGCUGCCUCUAGGCGGAUAUUUUCUCAAGAUCAAUUAGCUACCGAUGAUUAUGUUACUCUAAUGAAAGAUGAGUUGGAGGAUUUGGUGGGACAUCGGUUGAAGGCUUUGGAGAAUAUAGAAGAGAAUAAGAAGAGAGUAGCUAGAUGGUAUGAUAAAAGUGUAAAGGCUAAGGAGUUCACUUAUGGUGAUUUAGUUUGUAAAUUAAUUCUAUCGAUUGGGACUAAAAGUUGUAAAUUUGGAAAAUGGUCUCCUAAUUGGGAAGGUCCUUAUCGGAUAAAUCGAUCUGCUCCUGGCAAUGCAUUUAUUCUAGAGAUUCUCGAAGGAGUUGAAUUUCCCAGAGCAUUAAACAGAAAGUAUUUAAAAUGAUACUACCCUAGUAUUUGGGUCGAUGCAUAAGAAGUUUUAGUGCCGAUAACAGUACUAUCAGCUUGACAAAAUACUUGUGUUUUUGAAAGAGCUGAUGAGGCAUACUACCGAUGAAAAACUUUAUAGAUUCAAUAGAGCUUGGAUGGCCGAUAUUGCACAAAGACGAAUUUGGUUGGCUGCCUCAAUCUCUUUGGUGUCUUCAUCGGCCGACCCUUCUAUCAGUUUGAGUUUCUUCUUCAUCUGCAAGGCCUUUUGGGCUUGGGCAUCCCUUUCUUGCUGAAGGUCCUUAAGCAUAUCUGGCAGCUGGCUUUCUUCUUGCUUGGCCUGAGUUAGUGCUUCUUCAACUUGCUUGAGCUUAGCAAGUAAAGCUUCUCUUUUGGUCGACAAAUCAAAAAUCUUUUGCUUUAGUUUGGAUCCUGAGCUUUGUAGAGUGCCGAUGCUUUUGUGCUUCUCAUCGGCAAUGUGCUUCACUAACAACAUUUCCUCUUUACGUUUGGCUUGUGCAGCUCUGUCGGCAAGGCGUUGGGUAGCUUUUUGGUAUUGGAGACGGCGACUUUCCAGAUGAGCAGCUUGGAAGAGUACCUCUUCGACAUCGGCAGGGAUCUGACCGCGGAGAGUCUUGAAAAUAACUUUAGCCAGAUCGGAGUCGUCUACCAGUUGAGCUAUAUCUUGCUGAAGUAAGGCCAAUAGAUCCUCCAGCUUGGACUUGAUUUCCGCUAAUACGAUCCCGAGUGCCAGGGAGGAGCUUGAUUCUUCUCCUUCAUCGUCGGAAAUAUCGAUGGCAAAAUAAAAUAGACUAUUAGGGGAGUCUUGUUCCUAAAAAUAGAAAAGAAAAUAAGUUAGUCAGGAUUAAGUAUGAAUAAUACAGGACUGGCCAGGUUGGGUGACUUACUUGUUUCAAGGCGAUUUCUUGCCUUUGGCUGAAGGAUAUGGUUUGAAUGGUGCCCUGAUCGGCUAGAUUUGCCGAUGGAAUAUCUUCAGCUACAAAAUUGGUUAAGUGUUAAGAAUUAUGGUUUCUUUAUGAGAUGCAUCGGUAAUGGUCCAAUAAGUGAUCUGUAUUCUACCUUGGGAAGAGACGAUGGUUGUUUGCUUGGGAAUGGCGACGGAUGAUGUGCCUUGAUCAGAUGGAUCGAUGGUCUGUUCAGGUGCAUCGGUCGGGUCUGCUUGAAUCUAGGGCGCCGGAUGAGGUGGAGAGGAUGGUGCUGCUUUCUACCGUUUCGGCUGAGUCUCGGUACUUGUAGGAGCCUUUCUCUUGGGAGGAGCUUGACUGGAUGUUGGCUGGGGGGCAUCGGCACCCGAUGAUUGGACACUUUGGACCUUUGCCAAUGCGCUGGUUUGCUGCUACAAGACAUAAGGUUUUAUGGGUUAAGUAUGAAAGCAGAGGAAUAUUUCUGAAGUUCAUUAAUAAUGAAAGUGUCUAUUGCAAAGUUACCGAUGACACUCCAGUUGUAGUCGAUACACCCUGAAAGGAUAGUGUAAGUGCAGGCUAAAAUCGGUAUAACAGAAAUAAAUUGAGGAUUACCUUAAAAGCUUGUGCUAGAGUGGCGGUAGCAACCGAUGGAGCGGCCUUUGACCAUUUGGUGGUCAUCUUCUUGAAACGAAUUCCUUGGUGCAUCAGGGCUGCUAGACUGGGAGCGUUGUGGCCGAUCAGAGAAAUUGGAGAUACUGCCUAGAGAUCAAACGGCCGCCCACUUCUACCCACCGAUGGUGCCGGAUCAUCGACAUGUUAAAAUGAAGAAGUAAGUUGCCGAUAAAAUUAGAAGUAAAGAAAGAAUUGAGUAUUGGAGAGAGACUUACAACAACAUCCGGAAUUUCAUACUCAGAGUCGAUCAUGUUCUGGUAUGCAUGAGCCGAUGUUGUGAACAAUUGUUCUUUCCAUUAUUCCCACCGUAGUUUGUAAGAUUCGGUGAUGAAGGAAGCUGGAACCCAAGCCGAUAGGUCGACAUCUACUGUAUCAGCGUCUAGCGGAAGUUGGGCUACUUUUAUCCACUCAAGGCCGCUAGUGAUUGUUUCCCUUGGCUUGAUCACAUCGGCAUAGCAAAGUUUGAUUGACAGUUGACCGAAGCCAACUGACGAGAUAAUGUUGAUGGAUUGUAGAAUUCGUAAGUCGCAUUGGUAUUCUUUCCUCUGCCGAAGAUGUUCACUGGAAUUGCCCUUGGGGUGAUAAUGGCCAUCAUCAAAUCAUUGUUCUUGUUAAGUGCUUCAUCGGCAGGAUGAAAGAGGAGGGGGAAUCUUGAUUCUUCAUGUUCAUAGGGCAUCCAGGCCCGAUGGUCCUAGGAAAGACCAUUAUAGAGAGUUUGAAAGAAUCGGCCGAUCUGAUUCUCAUGUGCAUCAGUCCUAGGAAGGACUAUGAUGGCCUCACCGAAGUUGAGGGGCGAGCGAGUUGUCGAUUCAUCUUCUGCUAACUUGUAAUCUGUGCAAAGAAAUCCGAUUGCACACGCUUGUGCAUAUGAGCAUUAAGCCACAUGUUGAUAAACCACCAAGGACCUCCCAGGUAACCGAUGGGUUCACCCAACAAAAGCUUCUCAGCCACUUGAUGAAGGAGAUGAUAGGCAUUACUCAAACGGUAUUAGCCAAGGGGAAAUUGGGAACCAUUGGCUAACCGCUCAGCAACUGCUAAGUAGACACAAGUCGACCCUACCGAUCGGUCGCAAAAGAUAAACUUAUGCAGCCACAUGUUUAGGAAAAUGGCAUGCUCUCUCUGGCUGACCGAUCCGGUUUGCUGAUACUUCUGGAUGUAUCCUGACCAACCACCGAUGUUACGGGUGUCUACUCUAUGAUCUGGUUUCUAAUUGAAAAGACUACCAUCAUCAGCAGUUGAGAUAUCUAGCCCUGUGAGCAUGAGUACAUCGGCAAGUGUGGGGGAAGCUGGGCUGUGACCAAACUUAAAAGCAUUGAAGGUUCUGACCAAAAGUAUGCAGCAGCUAUCAUCAUCGACUCAUUUUUCUCCAUAUCGGCAAUGGAGAGUCUGAUAUAAUGGUCUAGUUUGCGUUCUCCCCAAUACAUCUCAUUAGCCCCACUGACUCUUAGAAACCAAUCUUUCCAUCCAUUAGUGGGUUUUGGUAGGAUCGGAAGGUGUCUUUCCAUAGAUCUAGGGAGAAAUUUUCAGCUCUAAAAGGAAUUCUGUUGGUUUCUGUGUUUAUUAUGUCAGUAGGAUCUGGAUCACCCAUCGGACCCAAACAUGGGAUGUGAGGUUGCUUAGUAGGGAUAACUAUUUUGUCACUUAGUUCAUAAGUUUGGGGAAUCAAAAGGACAUAAGAAAACAAAAAGAAAGUACAAAGUAUAUAAACUUGUAAGAAUGUGAAGAACUACGGUAAGGAAAAAGGAGAAGAUAGAAGUAGAUUAACCUCGGGUGCGAUGAAUUUGAUGGGCAUUUCUUCCAAGGUGAAGGGGAGACUGAGGGCUUGAAGAUACUGGGUUGAGAGUUUUGCUGCAGGGGAGCUUCUCGUUGCUGGAGUUCUGAAGCUUUUCGUCGAGGUCUUCGCCGGAGGAGAUGGGAUUGAAGAUGGAGAAUGGCAGGGUGGAAGAUGAGUACUGAGGAAGGAAGUAUUUAUAGGUUGAGAUGAGUGGGGGUAUUUUUGACUUAUCUCUUUGCCGCAUCCAUGAAAUUCAAGGUUGUUUAGAUGGAUAUGGUAACUGUUCGCACGAUAAUCAAGGGAUUGUGCAGGUGAUUUGAUGGCAAGUAAUCUUGAUCUUGAAGAUAUUUCACUGUGCGCAAUGUUUUAAUGAGUCAUUGGCAAUCCAUCCUGAUAGUAAAGUUUUGCCGAUGGGCGGUUUUCCCUAUGAUUUGGUGUAGGUGGUUGGAAGAUUUAAGGUGUUUACUGAGAUGCGAGUAUCAAGGUUGAGGUUGUUUGGAUUUGGUAACAGAUUUUUACCAGAAGGAAAGUAAUUAUAAAAAGGUCAUCAUUAUCUAGAGUAAAUUUUGGGGCAUUAAUGAUUUCAUACUCCAAAAUUGUGGGCCAUGUGUUGACACUGUUUUUAGGUAUGAGUCAAGAUAGUUAAGACAAGCUGAUCGGUGGUAGGGAAGUUGCUGUGAUCAAUCGAUAAAAGAGUGUCGAUAGCCGAUGAUGCCGAUGACAGAAUGAUGGUUGGAGGAUUCUGCUGGCCUGAGGUUGGAGACGACAACUGCUGAUUGUUGUCGAUUAGUCGCCGAUGCCGAUAAGGGACGGUUGAUUGCCGAUGCCGACGGAAGAGAAUGUAAAAAUCAUUGCUAAAGGGGCAUGUAUGUGUCGAUGGGGCAAGACUCGAUGAAGGUUUGGAACAAAAAGUCAAUGAAGACUUGAAGCAGUAACCAAUGAAGAUUUCAUCGUUAUUAGGAUGGACAUAGGAAUAGAUGAUCAUUGUUUCUUUCUAUAAUUAUCGAGAUAUGCCUUAUAUGUAAGAGUCUCAUUUGCUUUAGAUGAAUCUUAGUUGUUUUCGGUUGUAACUCUUAAGGGAUAGGGUAUAAAUAUAAACCCAGUGGCAAUGUAAAAUCAAUCAAUACCAAACACAAGUUUUACAUCUACUUUCACAUCUAAUUUUCGACGACUUCGUCAAUUCGCAUACUUUUUUUCUGUUUACGAGUUUUCAAGGAUUCGACGAGUCAUACUCGAUGACUUCUCGGGUUCCAUGUGAGUACCUCUUGGCCGUGACAUCCGGGCGCAUCGCUGUUGUUAGGACUAAAGUAUUAAAGUUAUCACCUUUGUCGAUUGCUAGGUCAAAUCGGCUGGCACGCCUUGAUAUCAAAAUUGAGUAUUAGCCCUUUGUGUUUGCAGAUUUAUUUUUUGCAUCAACAAGUUUCCAUCUUAGAGUUUCAUUGGCCAUGCUCUUAAUACUUAGACAUGAACAUGUCUGCUCAAAAUUAGCUAAGUGGGAAUAGGGUUUUCCGCUAGAAUUACCACAAAAAAUAUGUUCUUGAACUAAUUUGUCCCGGGCGUAGCUCAUAGCCACAUGAUGUGAUAGGUUUAGAAGAUUCUUUUGGCUGGAGGUACAAUCCCAAUGGUUCUCCAUAUUGAUAUAAAAGUUGAGAUUCAAUUUCCAUAUUUAUAUAUUAUUAUAUAUAUUUAUAAUUUUUUAUAAAAGGAUAACUAUAGACUAAGAUAGACUAAUGUCAAAAAUCAGCAAACUAUUCCCUGGCAACGGCACCAGAAAUGAUUGUUGGUAUAAAUUAACUGCACCCUAAUAAUGAUUAUAAUUAUAUUAUCCACAAGCGCAUAGAUAUAUACUGAUCAGCACUUCACCAAGAUCAACCCAGUUUUAAUAUCGAACCCAAAGGAACAGUAGGUGAUUUAUAACCUAGCCUAUAAUUCUUAAUCUAAGGGGUCACAAUCGAUCUAGAAACUAUUGAUGAUGAGGAAAUACUAAUGUACUCUGUUUCUAAUAACCAGUAAACUUUGUAUAGUAUUGUCUUAUCGGACAAGUAACCCAAAUAGGGGAAGAAUGAGUGUAAUCCCCUAUCAAGCACCUAUAAGCCUAUCAAUCCUAUCAAUGGGAAGUGGACUACAGACGAAUCUCGUAGCUAUAAAGUCACCUACGUGAACUACCACUGUCCGGCUGAUCAGGGGACAUUCACAAGCAACCAUAGCCCAGACACCACGUCUAUGCUACGAAUCACUACUCCGACCCAGGAGCUACCCAAAUCAUAGUACUCAAUAUAAUAUGAGUUGCAAACCAAAGACAAAUACAAACAAAUUUCUUAUUCUUACUUGAAUCAGAAGGGUAAAUACAAAAGUACCUCAGAACGUGGUUCUAGGCGAGGGAGCCGAAUCGAGACGUAUACAGCUCCUGAGGAAGCUCCGACAGACCGGGACUCCUCUGAAUCUCUACUCCUCUACUCUAUCUCUCUAAUCUCUAUAUUGAUUGCUAGCCUAGAUCUAGUGGAUCUCUAUCUAAUGCUCCGGCUCUUCAUCUCUGGAUCUAGCCUCCUCUAGGGGGGUCUAGCCUUCUAUAUAUAGCCUGGUGGGAUGAACACGCGCUGUCGGAUCAAAUCGACUUAACAAGCGGUCAAGAUGGCUCCUUAGAGGCGGUGGAGGACCAGCCAGCGCUAAGGUGGGGCCGACCGGCCCCACCUGGCGGCUGCUGGUUCCCACCUCGCGUUGGCUGUCUUCUAGAGUGUUCCUGAAUCCUCUGGUGUUAUCCUUCCAUCGCGGAUAAGUUUCAUGGCCAAUUAGCACUUAAAUCCCUCUUUUCAGCACUUUUGAAAUAAUCUCUAGAAAACACAGAAUAUACAAAACUCGUGGAAAUUGUCAGUGAUAACCCUAUUCUUGUAGAUAUUCAUUUCCGGUGGAGAGAUAAAUGCUAACAAAUUUUGUAACUUAACAGGUGUCAGCAAUAACGGUAGGGAGUAUCUACUGAAAUAACUGGAGAUUUAUUAGACAAGAUAGAAUGAAUAUUUUUGGGUGUCUUCUAGUGUAGGAGUAGAACAUUUUCUAAGUGUAUGUGGAAUGUGUAUGAAUAAAAGAAUGGUACUCCUAGGAUAGGAGCAGCAUAGGCGCGUGUCUCUAGGAUAGAAACAACAUAGAGUGUAGUAUAUAUUUUUGGGUGGUACUUCUUGGAACAAAAGUAGCACAUAGUGAAUGUGGUGGAUGUAAGUGGUUGUGUACUUCUAAGGACAGAAGUAGCUAAGAUCAAUGGAUGGAGAGCACAUAAUAUUGAUUUUUACAAGACUAGUUCCUUAGGGUCUACACAGCUUAACUACCCUCAGUGCUUAUAGGUUGAAAUAUAAUCGGAGGCUUUCCUAAUCUAGUAAAGUAUUUGGCUAUGGUAGUAAUUUUAAACUCUCAUCAUGUAGUAAUUUAAGAUUUUCAAAAUAGAAUUCUUUAGAAAUCUAACAUCUCUAGGAGCAAGACUGAUAGCAGCUCAAAGCCUUCACAUAUUGUAUCCAUCAACUACCUAGACUUUAGUUCAAGUGAUUACUACCCACAAGUUUGAGGCUCAGAGCAAAUCUUAAGUCUAAACAGUUGUGUUUAAAACUAGAGAGAGUACAAGGUUGAAAACUUGGUACUUAUAAGGAAUUAUGGCAGAGCAACUAUUCAUCAUCUCCAUAUAAGAGUUUAUUCUAGAGGUUCAUUUAAAUAGAUUCAUUAAGAGCACUCCUAACAAGAUUAAUUAUGAAAGAUGAAAUAUUUAUUGGGUUUCUAAGAUUACUCAUCUUUUUAUCUUAUCACAACAUACUAGUAAUAAAUAGAUAAGUGAGUUAGGGACACUUAGCUUGGUAUACAGGGGUUGCUCUCCCCCAAGCUAGAUGUUAACAUAGUCUGCUGACGUUGCUGACGGGCACUGAAGGCAUACUGAUCCUCCUAGAGCGACGUGGGUACUUGUUGUCAUAAACAACACUUGCCUGCUAUGAAUAGUACUCCAACAGGGGACAAGACGUCUUCUGCCUGUUAGUUCUUCUUGAUCAUUUAAAGGCUGUGAAGCUCAAAUAGACAACAAAGCUUGUGGAACUGAUUAAGCUUUAGUAAUAAACCUCUAAGCUUUGGGAGUCUAGAACUUUCUUAUACCCAUUUAUCUUUUAGCAGGAUCAAUAUGCUUUCCAUAUUUAUGGUAUGCUGACAGUAGAUAAGUUUGUGAGUUGUUCCAUCACAUAUUAAAUACAUGGGGCUUAGCAAUUUUUCUAGAUGCAAUGCAAUACAUAUUUAUUUUCUUUUUCUAAUUCAAAAAUAAUAAAGAUGAAACUACUAAUGCAAUUAAGAGAAGUAAAUAUGCUAAAGGAAAAUGCAGAUAAAUACCAAGUUACCUCGUAGCGCAGUGUUAGGUGAUUUUAAGUCCUCCAAAUAGGACCUUCUUGUUCACUCAAUGAUUGAGGGGCACAUCAGAUGGCGCCACAGGUGUUGUGUCCUCUACAGGAUUUAAUUUUGAAUUUACCUUUGGUUUCCAUACCUGCCCUGUAGGUGAUGGUGUCUUGGAGGAGAGAGUGUCUAGAAUCACUAUGUCUUCUUCUGUGGGUACCCCCACUUUGGCAGUGUUCUCCUUGUCGUGAUAUCGAUCUUCGAACCUUGAAACCUCUCCUUCAUAGUUGGCCCAUCCGUCUACAAAAUUCUUCUUUUCUGAUGGUGGGUACGUCGCCUUCUCCUUCACCUAUUCUUCUUGGGAUCUUCCUCAAUUAUAUAUUUGCUAUUGAAGUGAAGGCGUACCUUUUCUAAGGGAAAUUAGAAAUGGACCUCCCCUGUUGCAAUGUAUAUGAUGGCCUUGGUGGUGUUGAGGAAUAGUCUUCCUAGGAUGAUGGGUGGAUCACAUUCAUCUUCUCCCAUGUCGAUGACCAAGUUAGUGGGGAUGUAGUGGUCGUCAAUAUGGACAGGGACGUUUUUGACUUUCCCUUCCACGAAGCGAAAGGACUGGUCUACCAAUUGUAGCUACGCAUAGGUAGGGUCCAUAGGCAUAGUACCAUAUAGAAAUUCAUAAGUUACCUUGGCCAUUAUGUUGACGCCUGAUCAGGUAUCGUCCUUCUUGAUCACAUGUGGAGACUUGAGCAGGUGGUCAUACUCCAUGCGGAUUGCAGUGACCAUCUGUGUGUCUCUGUCUUCUGGGUCUUCUGUUUGCCCUUAUUCUUGGUCUUAGCCUUGUUUUGAGUGUUGCUCUUGUUCCUAGCACCAACAGUUUUGUUCUGAGUAGGGAAUGACAAUGUCCUGUUCUCGAAAUAAAUGGCUUCCCUAUUGCCCUUAAUGUUGAAAGUAAUCUUGGCAUUGUUGGCAUAGAUAAUAGCUCUGGCAGUGUUCAAGAAUGGUCAUCCCAUAAUGAUAGGUGACCUCUCAUCAGUAACUGUGUUCACUACUAUGAAGUCUACAGGUACGUUAGAGUUGCCUAUUCACACGCAGAUCUCUUCCAAGAUUCCCAUGGGGUAGCAGAGUGACUAGUCUGCAAGCUGCAAACACAUGGUUGUGUCUGAUAAAGGAAUAUUGAAAAGUUUUUCAUAUAUCACCUCGACAUGAUGUUGACGCUUGCACCGAAGUCACAGAUCGCCUCAUCAAAGUUUGUACUUCCAAUGGAGAUUGGGAUGACUAGCCUCCCUAGAUCACCUUCCCUUGUUCAUAGGGACGAGUCUAACCAUGUUGCUUUCAGAGGGUCCCUCUAGUAGCUUUCUGCAUUAAAGAUGUCUACAAGAUUUGCAGUUUCUAAUUCUCUGAUUGUCCAGGAAUCUUACCUUGAUCGUUGGUGGCAGCAAAGGGAGCAAGUUGUUGUAACUAAGACUCUAGCAUCUUAUUAAAGCUAAGCUCAUUCUUGAUAGCAUUUGAAAAACUUUUCAUUCUAAUAUUAAUUGAUUCUAAAGUUUUAUCAUUAGAUGCUAGCUUCUUAGAUAGUCUAUCCAUUAACUUGCCCUGAUUAAUUACUAACUCCCUUAAAGGUGGUUGAUUAGUAUUAUUGUAAGAAUUAUUACCUUGGUAUUUACCUGAGUAGUUACCUGAGUAGUUAGGCCAUUGUUUCUGGUUCCAGCCUUGAUUCUACUGAGGAUGGUAGUGGUAGUUGUUGUUGUUGUUGAUGAUGUAGUUCAUGUCCUUCGUUAGCUCUGGGUAGUUGGUACCUGUAUGCCCAGUUUCUCCACACUCUUCAUAAGUCAUGCCAGAAUCAUGAAUGUGCGUGACUCUCUUCUUCUCAAUGGUUCUCUCAUCAAGUCUUUUCAUCAACAGGCCCAUCUUGUCAACUAGCAUGUCUACCUCCUUGAGGUGGUGCAUUCCUCCACCUCUCUUGCGGGUCUAGGUUGUCUCUUCACUCCAACCUUGGUUGGAGGCCAUCUUUUCCAUAAGAACAGUGGCUUGUGUAAUGGUAAGUGAUAAGAAUGCUCCUCCAGCAGUCGUAUCCAUGGUUUCAUGAGUGCUGUUGCCAAGCCCAUGAUAGAAUAUUGUCGAGGGUAUCGGUAAGGGGUACCCUCAGCGAUGCGCAUUAUGAGAUUGCCCAUACGAAGGUUGGGACCCCCAAUUCGACGCCUUAAUCUUACUUACGCGCCGCCAACGACGGUCGCAGCCUCGAAUACGGAAAUAGCGUCGAGCGAAUCGGUCAGGGCUCGAGCAACGACUACCGUCGAAGACGGAAGCGGGCUCGAGCGAACCGAGAGACGUCGAGCGUUAGGACACUGUCCGCCGCCUGACGCGCGCACGCGGGCGGGAGCAUUAAAUGCACCUGACGUUUCCCACCUAACACCCGGGUCACGGAAGGCGUGAUAGGGAACAAGCUUCUGUCCCAUCAUUCUUUUUGCAGCCUUCCCACCGAACGACCCAGGGUGCGUCAGGACGCAGGAAACGAGGAUGGAACGUCUAAUCAGGACCCCCUCGAGGCACCCAAGGUCAGCGCUCCGGAUGUCAGCCUAUUACGCGGCGCCCGACAUUCGACCGAACGAGGUCCCUUCUCGGGGACGAGUCGGGCAUCGACUGACAACACCACAGCUGCUCCGCCGGAUCCGCCACCAUACCAUACGAGCAUGCGGUCUCAGAACCAGCACAAGGCGGCUGGCAGGACAGCACGCAGGAGCACGCGUAAUCAUCACCAAGCUAUCAAGAUGGGACGGCUCGAGGCCAUGACGUACGGAAGCCUCGAGUAGGUCAGCGCUCCAUGCGGCUAUCGAUCCAUACUCUAAUAUCUAUGCAUGUACCCUUUGUCUCUCCUUGGAGCUAUAAAAGGAGGGACUCAGGAAUAGAAGAGGGACACAUCACAACGCAAGCACACACACACACACGUAGUGGAGCGACACAUUUCAUUCCACGCUUGUAUUCGCCCCUGUACAAGCACUUAGGUGCAAGAUAAUACGAACUCUCUCCCCCCGCUGGACGUAGGGCCUUCUCUUGCCCGAACCAGGAUAAAUCUCCGUGUCUUCUUGCAUCACCAUCCGGAAAGGGGAGCACGCAUACAAAUUUACUCGUUGGUGUGACCCCCCCCGGGGAAAAAACACCGACAGUUGGCGCGCCAGAUAGGGGUCCUGCGUGUUUUUCACCGAUUUCCCACCACUUUCCGGAUGGCUACUCCUGCCUCGCCGCUUCCGCACUCCACGGUGAUUUGGUUUGGGAGUCUCGAGUUCAUGUCCACGGGCUUCGGCUACGACAUGAUCUUGCUCUCGGUCAAAGGACCAGGAGGAGUCCGUGUUACGCCAGCACGGUUGAAGGCUCCAAGACGCCCUCACCACCACGCCUCCCCGCCUAAGAAGAGGCGCGGGCAGCACCACCGCGGCCCCCUUGCUUCGGCACGACCAACAACUCGUGCAAGGCAGGAUGCGGGCCACGGGUCGGCAACACCGUCUGACCGAGCAACAAGCGCGACGACUCAGCACCACGCGACGACGGGGGGAGACGCGUCUCGCGCGCCCUCCCCCACCGCAGCUAGGCUACCUCCACGCGGGUUGUUCUCUCCAAGGACGGCACUGCCGUUCGGAUUGGACAACGCCGCGGCAUCGCUCGCCAAGACGAUAUGCCCAAACGCUCAGACAUACGUGGAAAGACCAAUGGUCAUCCCACGUAGUUCCGAAGAGCGGCGGCCGACGUCCGAACUGCCGGACCUUUCCCAAGUACGGGGCCUUCGCCGUCUAGGCCCCGGACGAUACUCGAUCACCUCCCUCAGGCAACGAUGGCUGGAGGAAGGACGUGAAUGUCUCCACGCUGCCGAGCUGGACUCCGACUCCGAGACAGACAGUUAUGACCCUACGAGGGAAUGCUAUCACCUCGACGGAGCGGCAGAAACCACCGACGAGACACGGGAUGCUGUUGCGGGUGGACGAGCCCCCGCGGCGCAAGAAGACCCCAGGACGCCUGGGAACGACGGACGGUUCGACCCUCUUCCUCAGGAAGAUAGAACUGCGCAGCUCGCGCAGCUGCGGGAGCUCAAGAUGAAGCUCGACGAAGAUCGCGAGCGCCUCGUCCUGCUCGAGCAAAUCCUCGAACAAGACCUGCCCUACCCGCCAGGCGGAAGUGUCCGCAGACGCGCUCGAGAGGUACAUCGACAAAUCGUCGGUGACACGGAGGCGGAGCAACCUGUCGGCCGUUUCCCUCGAGCAGGCCAAAAUGUAGUGGCAGCGACGAUGCUGCUGCGUAACAUGCCAGAACCAUCGAAUUCCCAGGCCCGACGAAUUCGGGAUGAGGUUCAGACGUUGCUCCAGGUGGCAGCAGUUCAACAAGCCGAAAGUUCGGCAUCUCGACGACGAGGAGCUGCCACAGAGAAGCGCGACGAACAGCCUCUAAUCGAAGAGGAGGUGUCUGUCCAGCAACAACCUCCCCCUCGAGGCAGAAAGACCGCUCUCAUCCUCCCUGCCGACAAUCAACGUCGACACGACGCGCGACACGACGUCAAAGAAAGUAGACGCCGACGGCACGGAGACGCGGAAGAACGUGGUUAUAGCGCGCAUCGCGGUGGGAGGUACGACAGCGACGAGGACCGGGUGGCCCCCGAGCCACCAGGCCCGCGGGUGUUCAGCAGAGCAAUUCGCAGCACGCCCCUGCCUAGUCCAUUCCGACCCCCAACCAGCAUCGCGAAGUACAAUGGAGAAACCAAGCCAGAGCUAUGGCUGGCCGAUUUCAGACUGGCUUGUCAGCUAGACGGCGCUCGGGGGGAUGAUCGAGCCAUCAUCAGACAACUACCCCUUUUCCUCUCCGACACCGCCCGUCGAUGGCUCGAGGAACUCCCAGCCAAUCAGAUUCACAACUGGGUUGACCUGGUCAGAGUCUUCGAGGGUAACUUCAAAGGGACCUAUAUACGGCCAGGGAACUCGUGGGACCUCAGCAAAUGCAAGCAGAAGACAGGAGAGACUCUUCGGGAGUACGCUCGACGCUUCUCGAAGCAACGCACUGAGUUACCACACAUCCCCGACCACGACGUCAUCUUGGCGUUUGUCUCGGGCACCACCAGUCGAGACUUGGUGCGGGAAUUAGGCCGCAAUCGACCUCAGACCGUCGACGAGCUGAUGGACGUAGUAGCUAACUACGCGGCAGGGGAGGAGGCAGUCGGCGCUUUCUUCAGCUCAGAAGGAAGAAAGGGCAAGCAGCCCGUCGAUGAAGAAGGGACUUUCGGUCGAGGCCUCAAGAAAAAUAAAAAGAAGCAGAAAGUACGGCAGUUCCACCAGGGAGAUUCGGGUGACGACCUUGUCGCCACGAUGGAUCGAAAGAAGCCGCGAGGCCCUCCGGAGGGGGGAAUCUUCGACAAAAUGUUGGAGGAGCCGUGCCCUUACCAUAAGGGAGGCGCUAACCACAAACUCAAGGAUUGUCGCAUGCUGAGAAAGCAUUUCGACGGUCAGGGGCUCAAAAAAGAUGCGCGUGAUGACUCCAAGAAGGAGAAGGCUGGCGGCAAGGAGGACAACAAAGAUGACGACGGCUUCCCCGCCGUCCACGACUGCUACAUGAUCUAUGGCGGGCCUUCGACUCAGUUGACCACGAGGCAACGCAAGAGGGAGCGUCGCGAAGUCUUUGCAGCAAGGAUGGCGGUGCCCCAGUAUCUUAGCUGGUCAAGCACUCCCAUCACCUUCGACCGAGAGGAUCACCCCGACAAAGUGGUCGCCCCAGGCGUCUACCCGCUCGUCGUCGACCCCAUCAUCGUCAACACCCGACUCUCGAAAGUGUUGAUGGACGGCGGCAGCAGCCUCAACAUCAUCUACCUCGAGACCCUUGAUCUCCUCGGCAUCGAUAGAGAACGCCUCCAGCCGAGCGCCGGCGGCUUCCAUGGCGUCGUACCGGGGAAAAAAGCACUGCCAGUAGGUCGAAUCGACCUACCGGUCUGCUUCGGAACGGCGGCCAACUUCAGGAAGGAGACCCUCACCUUUGAGGUGGUUGGGUUCCGAGGCACGUACCACGCCAUCAUCGGACGCCCGGGCUACGCGAAGUUCAUGGCUAUACCUAACUACACAUACUUGAAGCUGAAGAUGCCUGGUCCCAAAGGCGUCAUCACCAUCAGUUCUUCCUUCGAGCACGCGUACGAGUGCGACGUCGAGUGCGUCGAGUACGGGGAGGCGGUCGAGAGCUCCACCGAGCUCGUUGCGAAGCUCGAAGCCAUGGCCGCUGAGGCUCCAGAACCUAAACGUCAUGCGGGCAGCUUCGAGGCGGUGGAAGGUACUAAGAAGAUCCCGCUCGACCCCAACAACUCCGACGGCAAGGUGCUGACAAUCAGCACCGACCUCGACCCCAAAUAGGAAGCCGUGCUCGUCGACUUUCUCCGUGCGAAUGCUGAUAUGUUUGCAUGGAGUCCCUCGGAUAUGCCGGGCAUACCGAGGGAAGUCGCCGAGCACUCCUUGGAGAUUCGAGCCGGUUCCAAGCCAGUGAAGCAGCGGUUGCGCCGAUUCGACGAGGAAAAGCGCAAGAUCAUUGGCGAGGAAGUCCAAAAGCUUUUGACGGCCGGAUUCAUCAAGGAGGUUCAUCAUCCUGACUGGUUAGCGAACCCUGUAUUAGUUAAGAAAAAGAAUGGGAAAAUGAGGAUGUAUGUUGAUUAUACUAGUUUGAAUAAAGCAUGUCCAAAAGUUCCCUUUCCAUUGCCACGCAUUGAUCAGAUUGUCGAUUCUACCGCGGGAUGUGAAACCCUUUCUUUCCUUGAUGCAUAUUCUGGUUAUCACCAAAUAAAAAUGAAAGAGUCCGACCAGCUCGCGACCUCUUUCAUCACGCCUUUCGGGAUGUAUUGCUACGUGACCAUGCCAUUUGGGCUUCGAAACGCGGGAGCCACGUAUCAACGUUGCAUGCUCCACGUAUUUGGCGAACAUAUAGGUUCAACGGUCGAGGCCUACGUCGACGACAUUGUCGUCAAGUCAAAGCAACGAGGAGACCUGAUCCAGGACCUCGAGGUUGCUUUCAGCUGCUUGCGCACCAGCCGGAUCAAGCUUAAUCCCGAGAAGUGCGUUUUUGGCGUGCCUCGAGGCAUGCUCUUAGGAUACAUUGUUUCACAACGCGGUAUCGAGGCCAACCCCGAGAAAGUCUCGGCCAUCACGAAAAUGGGGCCAAUUCGAGACAUCAAGGGUGUCCAGAGAGUCACGGGGUGCCUGGCGGCUCUGAGCCGUUUCAUCUCGAGACUAGGAGAAAAGGCAUUACCAUUAUAUCGACUCCUGAAGAAGGUCGAGCGUUUUUCUUGGACCCCCGAGGCCGAGGAAGCACUCGAAAAGCUGAAAAAGAUGCUGACUUCGGCACCAGUCCUGGUUCCACCUCAACCUGCGGAGCCGCUGCUCCUCUACGUCGCGUCGACGACCCAGGUCGUCAGCGCGGCGGUGGUGGUCGAAAGACAAGAAGAGGGUCACGCGCUGCCAGUCCAAAGGCCGGUCUAUUUCGUCAGCGAGGUGCUUUCGGAGACCAAGGCGCGUUACCCCCAAAUCCAGAAGCUGAUCUACGCCGUAAUCCUUGCCCGCCGUAAAUUACAACAUUAUUUCCUUGGUCAUCCUAUCACGGUGGUCUCUUCUUUCCCUUUGGGCGAAAUAAUCCAGAGCAAGGAGGCCAUGGGAAGGAUAGCGAAGUGGUCGGUCGAGCUCAUGAGCGAGACUCUCACUUAUGCGCCUCGAAAGGCUAUCAAAUCGCAAGCCCUGGUAGACUUCGUCGCAGAAUGGACGGACUCCCAGCUUCCCCCGACUCAGGUCCAGGCGGAGCUGUGGACAAUGUAUUUCGACGGGUCACUCAUGAAAACUGUGGCCGGGGCCGGCCUACUGUUCAUCUCACCUUUGGGCGUCCACAUGAGGUACAUAAUCAGGAUUCAUUUCGCCGCAUCUAACAAUGUCGCAGAAUAUGAGGCCCUCGUCAACGGUCUCAAGAUCGCUAUUGAGUUAGGAGUCCGACGCCUCGACGUCCGAGGCGACUCCCAACUCGUCAUCGACCAGGUAAUGAAAGCCUCGAGUUGCCAUGACCCAAAGAUGGAAGCAUACUGCAAGGAGGUGCGUCGACUCGAAGACAAAUUCCACGGCCUCGAGCUCAUCCAUGUCGCUCGACGCUACAACGAGGCAGCCGACGAACUCGCCAAGAUUGCAUCUACCAGAGGCACAGUGCCGCCUGAUGUAUUCUCAAAGGAUCUACACGAGCCAUCCGUCGACUUAGGCACGGGGGCUGGCGCCGAUACCACCAUCGCCCAACCAACCAAUGCUGUCGAUGCGCUCUUGAUGGAGGAAGAGGUGAUGGAAAUAGAACGACGACCGGGUCGACCAUUCGAUUGGCGCACACCGUUCCUCGACUGCCUUAUCCGCGGUGAGUUGCCAGAAGACAGGACAGAAGCUCGUCGUAUCGCUCGACGGGCCAAAUCAUAUGUGAUCUACGGUGAAGACAACGAGCUAUAUCGACGGAGCCCGACGGGAAUCUUACAGCGUUGCAUCACCAUAGAGGAAGGCCGAAAACUCCUCGACGACCUGCAUUCGGGGGCUUGUGGCCACCACGCCGCCCCACGGACCCUUGUAGGAAACGCUUUUCGGCAAGGCUUUUACUGGCCAACGGCCGUGGCGGAUGCCGUCGAGCUCGUACGCUCGUGUCACGGGUGCCAAUUCUACGCCAAACAGACGCACCUGCCCGCCCAUGCUCUUCAGAUGAUCCCCAUCACCUGGCCGUUUGCGGUGUGGGGGCUCGACUUAGUAGGACCUCUACAAAAGGCGAAAGGAGGGUAUACACAUUUACUGGUGGCUAUUGACAAGUUCUCUAAAUGGAUCGAGGCUCGACCCAUCACUAACAUCCGCUCCGAGCAAGCCGUCCUCUUCUUCUCCGACAUCAUCCAUCGAUUUGGGAUCCCCAAUGUCAUCAUCACCGACAACGGCACCCAGUUUACUGGCAGAAAGUUCUUGGAUUUCUGUGAUCAGCAUCACAUCCGUGUGAAUUGGUCCGCAGUAGCCCACCCUCGAACUAACGGCCAAGUCGAGCGUGCCAACGGCAUGAUUUUACAAGGACUCAAGCCAAGGAUCUACAAUCGAUUGAAGAAAUUCGGCAAGAGAUGGGUCGAGGAGCUUUCCUCGGUCCUAUGGAGCCUAAGGACAACGCCGAGCAGAGCCACCAAAUACACCCCGUUCUUUAUGGUCUACGGCUCUGAGGCUAUCCUCCCCACAGACCUCGAGUAUGGGUCACCUCGACUCAGGGCUUACAAUGAGCAAUCGAACAAAGAAGCUCAAGAAAACGCGGUCGACCAACUCGAGGAAGCUCGAGACAUGGCCCUCUUCAACUCUGCUAGAUAUCAGCAGAGACUCCGACGCUACCACGACAAGCACGUACGCAAGAGGGACCUCAACGUAGGCGACCUUGUCCUACGACGCCGGCAAAGCAACCAAGGACGCCACAAGCUAACCCCACCUUGGGAAGGCCCGUAUGUGGUGGCCGAGGUCCUUAAGCCAGGAACGUACAAAUUGGCGGACGAAAAGGGGGCAGUCUUCACCAACGCAUGGAACAUCGAACAGCUACGUCGAUUCUACCCCUAGAAGUCCUAGAUUUACGAUCCUACUUUUUGUACGAAGACUUUGUAAAUGAACGCAUGAAUAAAUAAAGUCUUUCCCUCGAGUAGUUUCUUUCUGUACCAAAAAUAGUUACGAAUUAUAGUCUCGACGUUAAAAGGGGAUGCCGACCAUGACCCAUCAUAGUCCGCACCCCCUCGGGGGCUACCAGAGGGACGACCCCUCCCCAAGCGUCGAAAAAGCCAAAAAGUUUCUCUAUUUCCUACUUAGUAAACCUUGAACGAUCGAGUAGUCAAGGCGCCUCGAGCCCCUCGAGGACCGAAGGAUAGCGAGCCUGAGAACACCUACGCCCCCGGGCUAUGGAAACUCUACUCACUCCCUCACCCUCGAGGCGAUCGAGGCUGUGUUUUACGAAAAAUCGAACAAGGAACACAUGUGUAGGCGCAGAGGAAACAAAAGAACCUCGAGUGGAAAGACAAACAAACAUUUAACAACCACAAAAGUACUGUAUCGCUCAGAAACAGGAUUAACUAAGUUUUAUACAAGGGGCCCCAGGCACCCCGAGCAGGCUCGCAGGCCUCAGUCCAUGGUACGACCCUCGCCACCCUCACCUCCGCCCGAGCCAGUCUCAGGAGGAAGCACCUCAGGUUCAAAUAGCUUGGCCAGCCUCUCUCCAGGGGCCUCCGCGUCAUCGAUCAAAGUGUGAAGCCUUUCUUCGUUCUCCGCGUCGGUCUUAGAGAUGUCGGUGACGAAGCCGUGGGAUACUACAUCCAUGUCGUAGGAGAAGCCCGAGCAGACAACCGCCAUCGCCCGCUUCACCCCGAUGUGGAGGGCAUCCCGCACCCGAUCUCGCAGCGUCGCACCUAAGUAGCACAGCUGAUCGACCAGUGCGUCACCUCGAGAGUCCUCCCUCGACUCAUCCAUAGGCUCGACCUCCCAAGAGGUCGAGAGAUCGCUUAUCGCCGUCCGCACUCGACGGUUCAAAGCAACCUCAGCCUCGAGUUGAGCCUUGGAGUUGCGAGCCUCGGCUUGGGCGGCCAGGAGUUCGUCCUUGAGCCCUACAGAUACCGAUACAAAGGAGCUUUAGAAAAAACUCAAGCACACCUCGAAAAGGAAAUUCGACAAAGGGAACAUACCUUUGAUGCUCUCCUCUAGAGCCGUGUUCUCGCCAACCAAUCUGGUAUUGGCACGCUCGAUCUCUCUGUUGGAGCGCGUCAGCUCAGUAUUGGCAACACGGAGAUCUUCGAUCACCCUGCCAGCCUGAGCGACGGCUCCACUCUUCUCUAGCAGUUCUCCCUUCAGACGCUCGACGUCGUCAGAGAGACUGCGGGAUCGAGCUCGCUCCAUCUCGAGGUCUUCGAGGGCUUUCUUUUUUGCGUCCUCGGCGGCACCCCUGGCGACCUCACUUUCCACGAACGCUACCUUCAUCUUCUGGAAGGUAUCGCGGAGGGAGUCCAGGUCGGUCUGGAGAAGGCCCUUCUCCUUAUCCAGGUCCGCAAUGAUGCCCUUGUGGGACAGGACCUCCUCCCGGGCUCUGGACGCGGCCUCCUCGACCGAAAGAGCCCGCUCCCGUAGCCGCACCGCCUCCUCCUCCGCCUUCUUCGAGACCUCUCGGGCCUCGGCCAAAGCAGCCUCCCUCACCUUCUUCUCCUCCUCGAGUGCUAUAAGAUCUUUAUAAGCUUUAAGCAGCUUUUCCUGUGACUCGAGGAGUUGAUCCUUGAGGAGGGGAAGCUGCUCCCAUCCGCCCCUCGUGGCAUGAAUGAAGCUAGAUUUGAUGCGAGAGGUCUCUUUCAUAUCCUGCCAAUCAGGGGCCAGGGGGGUUAGAACACAGAAACCCAAAAACACCACCAAGAUUGGAGCUCGAGAAACACUUACAAAAUAAGCUGGCCCAAGCCCGUUGUUGAUGACGUCCGAUAGGAGCCCCACCACGUGUUUCAUCCAAAGGCGGAGCUCCUCGACGUGCUCCUACUUCUCGACCUCCUUCUUGUCGUCGAGGAAGAUAUUGGGCUCGGACGGGUCGCUGGAAGCUCGGAUACGAAUCCGAUCGGGACACCAGUUCUCCAUCUCCCGAUCGGCCCGUACCUUGACGCCGCGGAGAAAGUUCUCGACGGUCUCGAGGGAACCCCCGUGGCGCAAGAACAGGUCGGCGAGGCAAGGGAACCGCCCGUCGUCAUCCACCGUUUUCCAUGUACCGUCCUUACUCCCAGACGACCCGAUCUCGUCCUCCUCAGAGGGGAAGCGAUCCUCCCACGCUCGACGCUCCCGGAGGAACCCUGGGGCGAUCCCGUCCAUGCCAUAGAGUGUCCUCUUGAUCUCGGACUCGGGGUCGGUGGGGGUGCGCAUCAUGCAGGCGAGCGCCACCACUCCGUCCGCUCGCCCCGAUUCUGCCCGGAUCGCGGCAGGCGCCCCCGGGAGAAGCCACGCUGGGGUGGGAGGCCCGUACACCGGCAAAUCUCCCUCUUGAUCGCCGGGCUCUUGCGACGCCUGCGGCGCCGGUCCGGCCAAAAUUUGAGGCGGGGGCUCGAGUGGCUCGUUCUCUUGGCCCCCCAGCUGCUGUUGCCGCCCCAGCUGCUGCUGCUGCUCGUCAUGCUGAUGCUGCGGUUGCUCCUCCGGCUGGGGUUGCUACUGCUGCUGCUCCAGUGAUGGCUGCACCGCCUCGCGCUCCCGCGCCUCCUCCUCCUCCAUCUUCCUCUGCGUCUCGAGGGCUCGAAGGCCUGCGGGCCAGGGAGUCCGUCCUGCGACGUUGGGAGUCGACGCCUCUUCCUCCAUGGGUCGAACGCCCCCAGACGCUUCGUUACCAUCAGACGUAUCGCUGAUGGUGAUGGGCUCCCCCUCGACCCCCAAUCGAGGGGGCUCGGGGGCUCCCUCUGACGCUCGUGUCUGGGGGGUCGCAUCAUGAGUUGGUGGCGGCGGAAUAGGCGCGGGACGAGGCGAAGCCAUCUCGACGCCGGCUGAAGAUUGGGUGCUUGACGGGCCUGCAAAACAAAGGGUAAGGGUCAGACGUUAUGAUAACCGACAUAAUAAUAUCGCGACACCCAGGAAUUAACUACAAACCUGGUUCAGUGGAGGCGGCACCCGUUCUGAGCCUCUUGGCCAUCGAUGGUUGGGCCUGCUCGAGGGUCCGUUUCAGCCUGAAAAAAAAAAGUCAGCAUGUGAGGAAAGGCGAGAGAAUGAGGGGACAAAGACCGCAAUAACAAAAGAGCUUACCCCACGGGCAGAACGGCUCGCCUUCCGCCACCCCGACCAGCGGGCCUCGAGCCACCCCGCGUCGGGGCGCUAGGCCCCUCGAGGGCAGAAAUUGGCCUAGGUACGUCGGAUCCCGCUUGGCGGGCGCCGGGACUCGCGCUCCUACGACCGGCGUCUCCUUUCUCAGAAGCCGCAGCGCGACCGCGGGUCAGCGGCCCCGACGCCUGGGACCUAGCCGGACCGCUCUCCUUGGGCGCCAGGGGAGGGCGCGGUGCGUCCUGGCCCGCCUUGAGCGCGGAAGGAGCGUCGGGCCGGGGACGACGAGACCCGCUCGGACCCUCCUCCGGCGCCUCCGUCCGGGGGGCGUCGACGUCAUCUCGAGGCGGGCCCUCGAGGAUCCGAUCGAGACGCGACGCCAUCCCCUCGGAGUCGUCGCUACUCUCGUCGUCAUCAUCGUCGUCGUUGGGGGAUUCUUCCUCAGGCUCCCCCCUCUGCCUGGAUUUGGCUCGACGCGCUUCUAAUGCUUGGCGGUCGAGAUUCUUCUUCUUCUCCCCCUUUUUUGCGGAGUCCUUGGCGGACUUCAACUUCUCGGCGGAUUGACGCCGUUUGUCGCGAUCGACCUCGUCCUCCUUUACUGGAGGCCUCGAGGACCGGACAUCAAUCCGACCCUGCCAAAACUGAGGUAGACUUAGAAAAAAAAAGAGAGGGGAGAGGGGAAACCUAGAAUCGAGGAUGCGCGCAAGAAGAAAGCGUACCAGAUCUAUCGAGCCUGCGUCGGGUCGCAUGGGGAAGCCGUUGACGUGCUCCGGCUUAAAAUCACCGGCAAUUGCGGCCCUGACUCGGGCCGCGACUUCAUCGUCCGUCGGAGGCCCGCUGGACAUCCGACAUGCCUCGAGGUCCCGAGACGAGACGCCAGGGCCCAUCUCGUCCAUCCUCAGCGGUCGUGACAUCAGAGGGAGAACUCUCCGAUGAUGGACGGCCGAGAGGACGAGUGCGGCGGUCAAACCUUCCUGGCGAAGCUUCUUCAGGGCGUCGAGGAGAGGGUCGAGCCGAGGCUGAUGAGCUUGGACGACGCCGUAUGUCCAGUCCGCUGGGCGCUCCAAGAUUAGACGGCCCGAGUAGGGAGGUAGGAGGUUGUCGUCGUUCCGCAGGUAGAACCAUUGAGAGUCCCAACCGGCAUGGUUGGUCGACAACCCUACCGGGAUGUACUCCCGCGGCCGGUCCGUCUUCCCCGUCUUCUGCACCAGAUUGAGGCAACCCGCUCGCACGGGUUUCCUCACGCCCGUGGUUCCGGUGGAGGCGUGAAACAGCUCGCCCCUGUAGAGGUGGAGCCACAGCUCCCAGUGCGGCAUCAUCCCUAGGAAGCCCUCACAGACGGCGGCGAAGACCGCCGCCACGGUGAUGGCGUUCGGGGAGAAGUGCUGCAGCUCCACCCCAUAAUGGAAGCAGAGGGCCCGCAUGAAGCGGCUUGGAGGCGCGCCCAGACCGUGGCGGUGGAACUUGGCGAAGGACACCACGUAGCCCUCAGGUGGCUGAGGCGUCCUGUGGCUCGCUGGCGGCGCGAUCCACUCUGGCGACGACAGCGAGGUGCGGCGGCGCAGCAGUCCCUCCUUCUCGAGCUCCAACAGCCGGCGCUCCGUCAUCGACGACGGGCGCCAGUCAUCGGCGGCGACGAGUCUUACAGGCAUCUUGGUUAACGGGACGGUGGGUUCGCUACGGCUCGAGGGGGCGUGUGCGCGUGAGAUGACGAGAAAGCAAAGGCAGCGAAAGAACGAGAGCGAGAAGGCGGAAGGGAGAGGAACGGCGGUGACGCGACGACAUAUUUAUAGGCAGCUGACCGCCAACGGACAGAUCCGAGAAGUAAGGUAACUCCCCCAUAAAUGCGCCGCCUGACAGCUCCCUCUCCCUCCUCACAGGCCGGACUCUCCGAAUUCCUCGCCGAUACGGUGUCGCAACGUCAUCCGCCUAAAAAGACGCGCCCAACGGGCAGAAAUGCGAACCGCCACGACCGUUUCCUUCCCUCGUAAGCCAGGGGACAUAACCGCAAAAGUCUCGGGAGGUCGACGGCUGGCCCGCCGAAAGGGUUCGACAGCCGAUCUCGAGCGCCAGAGUCAGGGAUCCCCAGCGAGUGGUCGAAAAUCGAGGCCCGCCUCGAGGACUUGCUGGCGAUGUUCAAGGUAGGAUCGAGACAGUCGAGAGGAAUCCCCCCGAAGGGAGGCAUCGAGCCACUGGACUCUAUCGAAUGAGACCGGUAUCCCCGACCACGUCGACCCUGCUUUAUGAGGACGCCUCCGGGCUACAGCUGACCCCCCUCGAAAGGGGCACAGGUUCUCACUUGGACUACCCGCUAGGAACUCAAUUUGGGAUGAAAGACGCUCGCUCUAUCGAGAGUACGUCGAAACCCACGGGCAAAAACGAGCCAGUCAGAAUCUUCCACCACUGGUGUCGAAAGCGUUUCUGCGAAUUAGAUAACAUAACCCUCGAAGGAGUCAAAAACUCCUCCGAGGUCUCGGGGGCUACCCCGCGGGGUCGCUCGCGCGCCCCCACGAAAAUUCGACCGUAAAUCAAAACCUCCAUUCGAGCGCUAGCGCUCGAAUGAAGGCUCGGGGGCUACUGUCGAGGGUAUCGGUAAGGGGUACCCUCAGCGAUGCGCAUUAUGAGAUUGCCCAUACGAAGGUUGGGACCCCCAAUUCGACGCCUUAAUCUUACUUACGCGCCGCCAACGACGGUCGCAGCCUCGAAUACGGAAAUAGCGUCGAGCGAAUCGGUCAGGGCUCGAGCAACGACUACCGUCGAAGACGGAAGCGGGCUCGAGCGAACCGAGAGACGUCGAGCGUUAGGACACUGUCCGCCGCCUGACGCGCGCACGCGGGCGGGAGCAUUAAAUGCACCUGACGUUUCCCACCUAACACCCGGGUCACGGAAGGCGUGAUAGGGAACAAGCUUCUGUCCCAUCGUUCUUUUUGCAGCCUUCCCACCGAACGACCCAGGGUGCGUCAGGACGCAGGAAACGAGGAUGGAACGUCUAAUCAGGACCCCCUCGAGGCACCCAAGGUCAGCGCUCCGGAUGUCAGCCUAUUACGCGGCGCCCGACCCUCGACCGAACGAGGUCCCUUCUCGGGGACGAGUCGGGCAUCGACUGACAACACCACAGCUGCUCCGCCGGAUCCGCCACCAUACCAUACGAGCAUGCGGUCUCAGAACCAGCACAAGGCGGCUGGCAGGACAGCACGCAGGAGCACGCGUAAUCAUCACCAAGCUAUCAAGAUGGGACGGCUCGAGGCCAUGACGUACGGAAGCCUCGAGUAGGUCAGCGCUCCAUGCGGCUAUCGAUCCAUACUCUAAUAUCUAUGCAUGUACCCUUUGUCUCUCCUCGGAGCUAUAAAAGGAGGGACUCAGGAAUAGAAGAGGGACACAUCACAACGCAAGCACACACACACACACGUAGUGGAGCGACACAUUUCAUUCCACGCUUGUAUUCGCCCCUGUACAAGCACUUAGGUGCAAGAUAAUACGAACUCUCUCCCCCCGCUGGACGUAGGGCCUUCUCUUGCCCGAACCAGGAUAAAUCUCCGUGUCUUCUUGCAUCACCAUCCGGAAAGGGGAGCACGCAUACAAAUUUACUCGUUGGUGUGACCCCCCCCGGGGAAAAAACACCGACAAAUAUAUACAUGAGCAGCCAAUUCUCCAUCCCAUGAUGAGGACACUCAAGUAUGUAGUCUUGAAUGCACUCCCAAGCUUCUAGGAUUGUCUCAUCAUGUUGUUGCUAAAAGCUUGAUAUCUUCCCACGACGAGCAUUAGUCUUGCCUGUGGGAAAGAACUUCGCCAGGAAAUUGGUGGAACGUAAUGCCCAUGUAGUAUUCUUCUCCUUGUUGGCGUAGAACCAUUGCUUCACUUUCCCCAAGAGUGAGAAUUAGAAAAGGCAAAGUAAUAUAGCAUCUCUGGGGAUGUCCUUGAUAGUGAAAGUGCUACAGAUAUCUAGAAAGUGUUGAAGAUGAGCACUAGCAUCUUCAUGGGCCUUCCCACAGAACUGGCUUGCCUGCACAUGUUGAUCAGCACCGGCUUGAGCUCAAAUGACCCAUUGAUGUCCACAGCUGGUGUCAAACUUUGAAUAGUAGGUUGAUCUUCUGAUUUAGGAGGAUUGGUAAGCUGACAUGAUGGUGAUGUUGAUUAAUUCCUUCUCAACCUAGCCUUCGUCUUCCUUAUCAAUGUCUCUGGACUAUCAACGACAUUAUCUUGGAGAUCAAACCUGUUCAUACAUUACCCUGCAUAUGAUAUAUAAAAAUAGAUAAAAGACAAGGGUAAGUCUGCAUGAGUGAGAAGGGUGGAUGGUGCUCAAUCCAUGAGUUGAUGCAGUGAUGCUCAUUAUCCUUUCUUGCUUUCACCUUUCCCAACAACGGCGCCAAAAAUGCUUGUUGACACUUCUUAACGCGAUCACUAUAAAUAGACUUUUAAACCUAUCCCUAGCAACAUGUCAAAAUUACUUUACAUCACUUAAGCAAGGUUGUCAUCCCCAACAAGAUGUAGAAGUGUUGGUAUUAAAUCUAUAUGUUUUUCUAGGAAUGGAUAAAUAAAUAAAAGAUCCACAAGUGCAUAGAUAAUACCAAUGUAGCAUUUUAACUGGGAGUAAUCCACGUAUCAUUAUUUAUAUUUUUACCACUGGGAAGGGACAUGCAACGGAUAAUGAGCAAUGAGCACUGCAUGUAAUCACGAAGAUAUUAACCAUGUCUUUAUCUAUCUCUCAUGCAGGGUAAGUGUCAGAUAAGAUAAAUAUAUAAAUAUUAAUAAUAAGUGAUAGAUGAUAAAUAAGAAUUUAUAGCCAUAUAAUAAAUAUGAUAAUCAUCUCAAUUAGACUACUCUAAGUCUAUAGCACUAGCAUGGACUAGGACAAUCUACAAGAACAAAUCCUAAGUUAACUAUAUUGUGAAAGCAUACAUUGAUUAGUGCAAGUACACCUAGCAUCAUCGUAAGAAAAUGUUAUAUCUACGCAUAGUAAUAUUACCAAGAAAGAUUAUGAACAUAGCAAUCACUUCUCUAUAAUAAUGGUGCUCUACAAGCCAUAUAAUCAGGAGAAGGAAUACAGAGGACUCAAUAGGACUGUCACUCCCGCGAUCUACCUCAAGCUCCAGACUAUAACGGGUAAUCACAGAUAAAUAUGGUCUAGGCACCUCGUCUACACAAUAUCUACCACUUACCCAUCGGCCUAAUGAGUAAGCGCAAUACAAUCCUAUGCAUAAACAUAAUUCUAAUCUAAGUACGCUAUGGAUAUAAUCAAAGUAGACUAAUAACAAUAUAAUUGAGAACAUAAGCCAAUAGAAUAAAGUCAAUUCUGAUAUAAUCAAAUAGAUCAAAGUCAUAUUCAUAGUAGCAAGAACUAAUAUGAAUAUCACAAAGAAGAAUAAGAGUUAACCAAGAACGACGAUAGAUCUGGACUCCAAGCUUAACUUGACUCCUUCUAGAUCUAUUCCUCUGUAGCUAUGCUAUAGAACUAUAGAGAUCUAAUUGAGAUGGGGGCUAAGAACCCUAUAGAGACAGAUCCAUUUGAGGGAACCCUCUAUGUCUAAUUCUUCUUCUCUUGAUCUUCUCAGAGAAUAAUGAACUCCUCUCCAAUGGGGUCUGUUGACACUUACUAACACCACUUGAAUACUAGGUUGUCAUCCCCAGCAUGGCACUAGAGUGUACUAUGGUGUUUAUACGCACACAGAUAAAUCCGCAAGUGCAUGGAUACCGUUGUAACUUUUACCCGGUUAAAGGUUUCAUCGUAUCCACAGGGAAACGAGAGAACUGAUCUACGGUCUAACUUAACCUAGAUAGAUAGGUAGGUGUAAAUAUGAAAGAUGGUAGAAUUGAAUAAGAACAAUAUUAAAGGUAAGAUAACAAUGGGUGAUAAUAUGGGAAUAGAGAGUAGAGCAAUCUAAUAUAUGGGCGAUGGUAGGAAAAUAGAGCGGAUAACUAUGGUUUCUCUACUUCAAAGGGGUAUGUCUAUGUCUGGGAUGUACCACGUGACAAGAAUACACCAUAAAAUAUGUUUAUCCAUAGGCCGAUAAACCCUACCAGUCGUGCUAACAGGAGGUGGACUACAGAGGACCAACGUAACUGUCACCUACGCGGCCUACCACACGAUCCGGCUAGACAGGGGAUAUCCACAAGUAAUCUAGGUCUAAGCACCACGCUUACACCUAUACUACAACUCUAACCUAUAGGGUCCUAUAGAUUAAAAGUACUCAAAAGAGUUUUGAACCAGAACAUACAUGGAUAUUAAUUGCAUAAUGAAAUAGAUGUAGAUUACCAGAGUCAUCCAAUGAGCAAGCUUGAUUAGAGCUUGAUCAUGGCAAAGUACAACUGGAGGAAGAACCGACAAGCCGGCCUCUCCUCCAAUCCUCCCUCGCUCUCCAUCUCGCUACUAUCUAGAUCUACUCUAGUUUAGAGAAGAGAGGAGAGCUCUCAUCUCCAAACCCUAGCUUUUGCUCUGUCUAUGAAUAAUGAACAAGGAUGAAGGGGGUGUCUCCUCCAGGGGACAGGGGGCCUGCUUACAUAACCCCUCCAAAUGAAUGUGGGCCGUCGGAUCAAACUGACCUUAAUCGUAUGGUUUUCCUUAAUCCUUUAGGUCGGUGGAGCAUAAUCCACGAGGCAGAGCCUGAUUGGCUCCUGUAGCUGGACGGGCGCCUAAGGAGAGAGGGCGGGCGCCCUGCCCCCGAGCCCACUUGGACUCCCGUUCGUUCCCGUGGCUUCUGGAGUCUUCUAGAUGAUAGAAAAUUGCCGCACACGUUAAUAUUUCUAGGUAAACCCGACAUGUGGGCAUUUCCUCCAUAUUUCCUGAUAACCCCCUACAGAAAUAGACAAACACCAAAACUCGUGGAAUUAUGUCAGAUAAAACCCUAAGUCUGGGUGUUGGUUGCAUAUGGAUCCUUUUCUUUGUUUAUUUGAUGAUUAAAUUUGAUACUUAAGGACCGUCAACAACUCCCCCAAGCUUACCUCUUGCUCGUCCUUGAGCAAGGAUGGACUCAAAAGUUUCUGCAGUGGUUUCAUGCCUUAAGGGUACACAUGCGUUCAAACAAUAUCUCAUCUCUGGGUUAGGGUAAACUGUUAAGAUUUAAACUUACUCAUAUUACCUUCCACCAUAGAGCUUUCAACCGUCACUUGUGUCUUGAGCAGUUAAAAGUUAGAACUGUCAAGUCAAGCGCAAUGUCUCUUGUUAUUGAUCAACUAUAGCUCUGGAGUUUUUGUAGAUUUUCAAAUAAAACUCAGAGAUUCCUUUGUAUGACUCUCUCAAAUCUCUCUUUUGUGGUAUUUCUGGAUCCUUACCAAGGUAGUGAUGUUAUAUGCCUUCUCUCAAAGUAUGUGGUAUUUGUGGUAUGAGGCAUAGUGACAUUGCCUUCUCUCUCAUCCUACUCUAAUAAGGCUUUGAUAUUUGGAGCUCAUAGGUGGGAAAUAAAGUAUACAUACUUACAAGACAUUUAUUGCAUAGUCAAACCAUGGAUCCAGAGAAACAAGUCAAUAAGUCAAUAUCAAGAUAUGCAUGUGUGGCGAAUGAAUGGUGUAUGGUGAUGAUGGUGAAAACAAUGGUGAAAGUCUAAUUCUACUUUUGCUCUUUUGAGGGGAUACAUACCUUUCUUGCACUUUGAAGCUUUUUGAAGGGAAUGAGAUGCUCUACAUUUUCUUUUUCUUUUCUCUCAGGUGGGUAUCUUGUACCCCUAAUUCUACUGUGGACACUUGUCCAUUUUUACCUCUCGUCUCACUUUUUCUUUUCUUCGAGGUUCUGGGCACUUGCCCUUUUUUAUUUCCUCGUAUUCACUUUUUUUCAGAGCACUCACCCUCCUGGAAUAAUGUAGCAAGUGGUAGUAACCAAAAUAUCUCGAGGAUUUAUUUCAUGGGGAAUAAUAGGGAUAGGAUAAUGUUUUUGGCUAUUCUCUCCCGGAUAGGAGUAGAAUAAUUUUGGGUGAAUCUAGAGAUGGAAAUGAGUGGAUGUAUGUGGAUGCGUACUUCCGGAGUAGAAGCAGCAUGUAUGAGUGAACGUGCAAGUGAAUCUUGAUUUUAACCGCAUGACAAGCUCCUAAGGGUCUACAAAGCUUGACCACACUCAAUGCUCAUAAGCAGUAAAAAGUAAAUGUAUGGUUCAUAGUCUAAUAAGCAUGUAUAUGUGGUUGUGGUAGGAUUUUAAACUCACAUCAUACAGGAACUCAUCAUGCAACAUUUGAAGAUGUUCAAAGAUAAAAAUUCUCCACAAUUCUAGCAUCUCUAGGAACAGAUAAAUAGCAGCUCAACCUUCCCAUAUCGUAUCUGUUAAUGACUUAGACUUUAGAUCAUGUACUCUUCCCACAAGUUCAGGUUUAGAGCAAAUCUUAAUUCAUAACAGUCAUGCCUAAACUUGACAGAGAAUUCAAUUUUGAGAACUAGUCAUGGCAAAGCAACUAUUCAUCAUUUCCAUGUGAGAGCUUAUCAUGAGGGUUAUAGCAAACUUUAUUUAUUUAUUCAUUUAGCAAACUAAACAAAGAUAUAUACAUAAGCAUAAAGUCUUUAUUUGGGUUUUUAUGAUUAUGCAUCUUUUUAUUAUUUGAGUAAAGUAUAAACGCGAGUAGAAACACUUACCUAGAUAAAUUGGGGUGCUCUCCCCCAAGCUGGAUUUUGACGUAAUUUCUUCUGAUGUAGCUAGCAGGUGGCGGAGGUAUAUUUGAAUGUCGGCACCACCCUGAUAGCGAUUAGGAUGUCAUCCGUUUGCUAGUCUUCUUUGAUCCUUGAAUUCUGUAGAGCUCAAAUAGAUAACAAAGCUUUGUGGAACUAGUUAAGUGUUAGCAUAAAAAUCUAUUUGCCCUUCCUCUAAUAAAUAUUACUCUCUUUGGUAGGAUCAUAAAUUUAUUUUUAUAUUUUCAUUUCUAUAGGACAGGAAUAUAUUUAUUUUCAUUUUUACGCCACCACAGUGAAUGUACUUAUGGGUUUUAUGCCACGAGCAUACUCACAUGGGGCUUACUAUUUUUAACAUUUUUAAUUUAUUUUCAAGAUAGCUUGAUUAACUAACAAGCCAUUUAAGGAAAGUAAAUAAUUUAAGGGAAAAGGGAAUGCACAAAGGAUAAAUAUGGAUAACUACCGAUUUUACCUUUCGGCGAGGGUUCAAUGUUUUAAGUCUUUUGAACAAGACUUCUCACUGUGUUCAUUCUUUAGGUGCGUUAUUUGAUUUACGUGUGAACCUUGAUGUCUGCACCAGUUGAUACAAUGUCAACCAUGUUCUUCGUUUGCCCAGCAGUUUGAAGUGCGGCGUUGGCAGCAUCCUGCUUAGUGUGUUUGUGCUCGUAGAUCCAGGUCCUUCACUUGGUGGAAUCUGGGAGUUGUAAAACUUCACCAUGUUUUGCUCCAAGUGUACCUGCUCAUAGAGACAAAGCAGAGGUCAAGUCCAUGGGCCCUGUUGGUGGAAAACACCAACAGAACCAAAAGUGUAUUUAUUCUUCUCUAACCUUAAGCAUAGUGAGCAAGACAAAUUUGAUGGAUAAUAAGAUCAUGAGUGUAGUAUUUAAAACAUUGGUCAGAUCAGAUCGCUCAACCUAAUGGAAAGAUAAUCUAUCUAUAUUUUUGUUUUUUUAUAUAUCUUCCAAAGAUUGAGUGUGCAACAUUUUAGCUCAUAUGAUUAGGAGUGUGGGAUCACAAAGGUGGAGGGACUAAACAUGUUGAAUCGAUUGGGUUGGUUAACCUAGAGUUGUAAAUCAUACAUGUUUGUCUCUUUUAUUCAUAUGAACGCCAAAACCAAGGAGAAGCUUAUAAAAGUGAUAGUCAAGUACAUUAAGAUGUUACCUUACUUGAAGUGUGAUGGUACAGUAUCACCUUGUGGAAGCUUUCCUUUCUUAGCGGUUGUGCAUCAUGUUUGUGGCACCCUCCAUGGGUCAUCUCUUAUGAGCUACGUCUUCCUUGUGUAAAUUGUUAAACUUGAUGUGUCUCUCUCUUUAUCUCCAAUGUGAGUUGAUCUCAGGAUAUCCCAGGUCGAUAUUGAAAGUUUUCCUGCUGGGGUUAGUCCAACAAAAUAUCCAAUAUCUACUAUUGCAUACUAUCGGCUCAAAAAUCAACCUAGACACCAUGUCUAAUUUGAUUUAGGAGGGCAUUUUAACCAAAGCACCAUACUUAAUUUAAAAUCCCUUAGAAGUAAGAUCAUCAUUCCUAAAUUAAGCACCAUGCUUAUUUAAGAGAUAAAUGAAACUACUCCAAACCUAGACAUAUACUAAAGCAAAUAAAGGUAGCAUGAGAGCAUUUAUAGAGAUCUACUCAAGCGGAGAUGAAGUAGUGUGAUUAGUAUUUAACAAAUUGAGCAUGCCUCAAAGGUAGGGACAACCAACAUAGCAACAUGGCAAAGGAUGUUUUUAUGUAAAGUACUCCCCCAAGCUUGAAUUUUGCAAAAUUCAAGUUUGGAUUUAAUUCAAAGUUGUAUGAUGAUUGGUUGGACAUACCUUGUGCUUGUCAUUCAUCCAAUCUUCUUGCUCCAAUCCUGGAAAGGUUAGUGACAAGAAUACCCAAAGGAAUAUUUUUACAAUUAUCCUUAUAUGCUCAAUACACAAGGUAAUGUUGUAAAUAAUUAAAAGCUCAUGUUACGAUUUGAUUAGUCCUUAUUUUUUGACACUAAGCUUCUCCAUGGGAAACCAUCAAUUUAUGUCGGCGAAGUGGUUUCCCUUCCAACGCUGACCUAUAUCAAGAUCAACUCAAUGAGAUCUGCAAUAUUUAUUAUAGACGUAUGCAUCGACAACCGCCCUUUUAAAGUUUUUAUAAAUAGAAAGGAAGAGGGGGUCGGAGAUCUCAAAUGUGGUGAUGUUGGAGAGACCAAAAGAUUGGGAAGAUGUUGCAUAUGAGCAUGGAGUAAACGAAGUGGCUAUGAAAUAAAUUCCAUGCUCAUGAAUGUUAUCUUCAUCUUCAAUCUGAAUGUUUGGAGUUUCACCUAGAUUGGUAUCGCCUAUGUCCUCUUCUGUAGUUGGAUGAAUCUCAUCUUCAAAGGGAGUCAAGAACUCACCAUUUGAAAUUGAGCCAAAGUCAUAAUCCAUUAAGGCUUCUUCCUUGUCCAUCCAUUCUACACAUUCCAGCCAUUUAGAACUUGUGAUCAAGACAGGGGAGCUGAUAGAAUCUUCUAUAUGGCUUAGCUCUCCUUCUAUGGCAUUACUUGACAUGCCAUCCUUAUGGUCUUCAUGACUCCUAUGGUUUGGUCGUCUUGGUGAAUUGCUAGGAUCCUCAUGAGACUGGAAAGGAGACGGAUAAGAGGGAUCUCUAAGGUCAAGGAUGGAUUUAGAACUUGUGAACAUGGGAGGGGAGAAGAUAGAAUCUUCUAUAUGGUUUAGCUCUCCUUCACUUGAUAUGUCAUCCUCGACUUCUUCAUAACAGGAACUAGGACAUUCUCUAAGAGAACCAUUAUUGCAAGGAUUUGAAUUAUCCCUGGAAGGUCUCUUAUGGAACCAGAAGUCUAAACCAUCAGCAUGUGAAAGAUUUAAGGUCGGAAUUCCUUCCUCCCUUCGAGAAUUUUGGGGUAUUGAUGGGUUAGGAUCGAUAGCUAAAGUUUGGGAUUGAAGUGGUUGUGAUUUGGCUAUUGAAGCUUCUUCUUCUUGUCUAGGAACUGGUUCUUUCUCUUUCUCAGAGAUAUAAAUGAUAGGAAACUUUCCACUCAAUGAAUCAAUUAAAUCCCUAGCUUCACUAGCAGGUAGGUGAUAGAAGGAUCCUGUAGAUGCUGUAUUCAAGGUUUGCUUAUUUUCCCUACUAAGGCCCUCAAAAAAGUGAAUUAGAAGAACUUCUUCUGGAAUAGAAAGCUUUGGGCUAGUGAGAAUAAGGUUAAUAAAGUGAUCCCAUGAUUUGCCAAGAGAUUCUUCUUCCAGUUGUCUAAAAGAAAUAAUCUCACGCCUAAGUUCCGCCACUUUGGAGAUUGGAAAAUAUUUAAAAAGAAAACUAUUAUAUAACUCCUUCCAAUCUCCAUGAACACUCCCUACUUUGAGUUUGUUCCAAUGUCUAGCUUUUCCUGUUAAAGAGAAUGGAAAGAGCUUCCAUUUAAGGGUCUCAUUGGACAUGCCUUCUAUGCGUAGGAGGUCACAGACUCGAUAAAACUCUCUUAGGUGUGUGUAUGGGUUUUCCUAACCUUCUCUUGAGAAAGGUUGUUUUUGAACAAAUUCUAUGUAUUCGGGGUCUAUCUCAAAACUAGAUGCUAUGAUAGGCUUUGAAGAUUUUGGUGGUCCGAGAUGUGUGCCCGUAGGUCUACGAAAUUCAUAGAUAGACAUGUUUGAAUUCAUGAUAGACCAGAUAUCAAGGAUUAGAUAAGAAGAAAGAAUAGCAGAGAUAAGGCAAAAGAUAAAAGGAAAAGUAUAUAUAUUUUUUAUUUUUUUAGAAAAUGAUUAAGCUAGUUCGUAGUCAACUCAGCAACCGUCUCCCCGGCAACAGCACCAAAAAGCUUGUUGACACUUACUAACACCACUUGAAUACUUGGUUGUCAUCCCCAGUAUGGCACUAGAGUGUACUAUGGUAUUUAUACGCACACAGAUAAAUCCGCAAGCGCACGGAUACCGUUGUAGCUUUUACCCGGUUAAAGGUUUUAUCGUAUCCACAAGGGAACGGGAGAACUGAUCUACGGUCUAACUUAACCUAGAUAGAUAGGUAGGUGUAAAUAGGAAAGAUGGUAUAAUUGAAUAAGAACAAUAUUAAAGGUAAGAUAACAAUGGGUGAUAAUAUGUGAAUAGAGAGUAGAGCAAUCUAAUAUAUGGGCGAUGGUAGGAGAAUAGAGAGGAUAACUAUGGUUUCUCUACUUCAAAGUGGUAUGUCUAUGUCUAGGACGAACCACGUGUUUAGAAUACACCACAAAGGAUGCUUAUCCAUAGGCCGAUAAACCCUACCAGUCCUGCUAACAGGAGGUGGGCUACAGGGGACCAACGUAACUGUCACCUACGCGGCCUACCACACGAUCUGGCUAGACAGGGGAUAUCCACAAGUAAUCUAGGUCUAAGCACCACGCUUACACCUAUACUACAACUCUAACCUAUAGGGUCCUAUCGAUUAAAAGUACGCAAAAGAGUUGUGAACCAGAACAUACAUGGAUAGUAAUUGCAUAAUGAAAGAGAAGCAGAUUACCAGAGUCAUCUCAUGAGCAAGCUUGAUUAGAGCUUGAUCAUGGCAAAGUACAACCGAAGGAAGAACUAACAGGCCGGCCUCUCCUCCAAUCCUCUCUCGCUCUCCAUCUCGCUACUAUCUAGAUCUACUCUAGUUUAGAUAAGAGAGGAGAGCUCUCAUCUCCAAACCCUAGCUUUUGAUUUGUUUAUGAAUAAUGAAUAAGGAUAAAGUGGGUGUCUCUUCCAGGGGCCAGGGGGCCUGCUUAUAUAGCCCCUCAAAAUGAAUGUGGGCCGUCGGAUCAAACCGACCUUAAUCAUACGGUUUUCCUUAAUCCUUUAGGUCGGUGGAGCAUAAUCCGCGAGGCAGAGCCUGAUUGGCUCCUGUAGCUGGGCGGGCGCCCAAGGGGAGAGGGCGGGCGCCCUGCCCCUGGGCCCGCUCGGCCUCCCGUUCGUUCCAGUGGCUUCUAGAGUCUUCUAGAUGGUAGAAAAUUGCUGCACACGUUAAUAUCUCUAUGUAAACCCGACAUGUGGGCCUUUCCUCCAUAUUUCCUGAUAACCCCCUGCAGAAAUAGACAAACACCAAAACUCGUGGAAUUCUGUUAGAUAAAACCCUACGUCUAGGUGUUGGUUCCAUUUGGAUCCUUUUCUUUGUUUAUUUGAUGAUUAAAUUUGAUACUUAAAGACCGUCAAUAGGGUUAGGGUCAUAUUUAUAGCCCCCUAGGAAGCACCACAACCCUCGAAUCAAACCGACUUAAAUGUACGCUCAAGAUUACUCCUUAAAGGCGGUGGAGGUAGGAUUUGCGAGGUGGAACCUGAUUGAUCCACCUGCCGGCCGGCCACCCCUGACAUGUGGGGCGCCCGCCCCUGGCUCGCUGCCAGGGGGUCCCCACUUUGCAGGGUCGCCUCCUUGAGUCUUCUAGAAUAUUCCUGAGUUGACGUUUCAUGUAUUCUCUCUAUGUAAAUCUGACAUGUGGACCUCCUUUUAUUCUUAUUCUAAUAACCCCCUACAGAAAUAGAUAAUCACCAAAACUUUUGAUAUUCUGUUAGUGAUAACCCCUAUAGCUAGAUAAUAUUCUGAUGUAAGUCUAGCCUCAUGCUAUGUUGACGGUUAAAAAUAGUAUUUAUCUACCAUCAACUGAAGGUGACUUGUCUUAUGGUCAUCCAAGAAACAAAAUAGUGUUGCACUAUCAACCGCUGAAGCAAAGUACAUUGCCACCGGUUGUUGUUGUGCACAAGUCCUAUGGGUGAAGGCCAUAUUGAAGGACUUCAGAGUCAAUUUCAAAGAAGUUCCAUUGUUAUGUAACAAUGAAAGUGUCGUAAAGCUCACUAACAAUGUGGUUCAACAUUCAAGAACAAAGUAUAUAGAUGUCUGUCAUCACUUCAUAAGAGACCAUCAACAAAAAUGGGACAUGUGUAUUGAGAGUGUGGGCACCAAUGAUCAACUUGCCAUUAUAUUCACAAAGUCACUUGAUGAGCAGAGAUUUUGCAAGCUAAGGAAUGAAUUGAACAUACUUGACUUCUCAAAUAUGUGUUGAUGCACCCCACUUAUAUGACAUGUCUCUCCUAUGAGCAACACAAGGUAAACUUGGUUGACAUGUCAUUCAUCAUAUGCUAAGGACUUAUAUAGUGCAUCUAGUCAUUACUAUCAUGUCUUAGGCUUAUUCAUGAAAAUCAAAUGAGUUUGAUUCUGUAUGGUACCACUAUUGCUUAAAUGUUUGAAAUGAUCUUGUGGUAGCAUAUGACAUGUUUGUAGGCUUCUGAACCUAGUGCUUGAUCUAUAAUAUGAGCUAUAAGUGUUUGACUCAACAUGGUACAAGAUUUCCCUUAUUUUGAGGUGUGAAAAAGCUUAUCCUUAGACAAAACUAUGUUAAAUAUCUCAGGCAAGUAAUCUAGAUUGAACCAAUUUGGGAAAAUGAUCAUACUUCACAUGGUUUCACACUAACCUAUCUAAAAUUUGUGCUCAACUUUUGUGGUCAUUAAUGACAAAGGGGUGAGAAAAUUCCAAAGAUAUCAAAAAGGGAACGGAAGAAAGUACAAAGAUAGGGGUUAACAUGAACAAUUUAAAAAGAGGUAUCAAUUAAAAUUUUGAAGCACACAAGUAGGAGGAGCAAGCUCAUAAACUUGUCACUUCUCAAAUAUGUGUUGAUGCACCUCCACUUAUAUGACAUGCCUCUCCCUCGAGCAAAGCAAGGUAAAAUUGGUUGACAUGUCAUACAUUCUAUGCUAAGGACUUGUUUAGUGCAUGUAGUCAUUCGUUACAUGUCUUAGGCUCAUUCAUGAAAAUGAAAUGAAUUUGAUGCUUGUACCACUAUUGCUUCCAUGCUUGAAUUGAUCUAGUGGUAGCAUAUGACAUAUUUGUGGGCUUCCAACCCUAGUAUUUAAUCUAUAAUAUGAGCAAUUAGUGUUUAACACAACAUGGUACAAAAUAACCAUUGUUUGUGGUGUCAAAAAGCUUGUCCUUGGAUCAAACCAAGUUAAAUAUCUUAGGCAAUUAGUCUAGAUUGAACCAAUUAGGAAAAUGAUCUCAGUUCACAUGGUUUCACACUAACCUAUCUAAAAUUUGAGCAUACCUUUUCUAGUCUUUGAUGACAAAGGGGGGGAGAAAUUUCCCAAAGAUUUGCUAAAGGGGGAGAAGUGCAAAGAUAGGGGAGUAACAUGACAAAGGAAGGGGGUCAAUUAAAACUUGGAAGCACACGAGUAGGGGGAGCAAGCUCAUAAACUUGUAUGUUGCAUUUGAAUGUGCAUCACAUAUGCUUGCUUGCAUUUGAAUGUGCAUCACAUAUGUAUGCUAGUUGUAGGUUUGAUUGAUGUAAUGAAGAACUAGGAUGCAUAGGAAGAGUAACUAGACUUGUGUUUUCACAAGUGGUAGUAGAGACUUAUUUAUAAUGAUUGAUCUCAAUGGGUGUCCUAUUUUUGUGAAUGUCUAGUUACAAAUGGUGCUAAGGAUGGUGUAUAUCGGCAAAUCCAGUUGGUAUCACGCUUCAGAGGUCCAUUCCUUACACAUUAGCAUCAUUUGGUAGAAAUUGACUCCUAUCUUUCCUAUUUAAGCAAGUGUAAGCUUUCAAACCCAAAAACUCUUAGCACAUAUGUAGGGAGAGCAAUUGCUACCAAUUUGGGUUUAUAAUUGUUCAUAACCUUUGCACAUCAUAAAAUUGUUGGGCAAGCAACAUGAAUCCAAAAAAAUUUAUUGAAAAUCUUUGUAAAUGGGUUGUCAUCAAUGACCAAAAAGGGGGAGAUUGAAAGCCCUAGAUUAGUUUUGGAUAAUCGAUAAAACCCAAAGUACUAACCUCUAUGCUAAGUGUGUGAAGAUUAGAUGAGGUUGGUACAUACCAAGUGAUGGAGCAAGAGAUGAUUAUAGUGAUGAUGGUGAUGACCACAAGGAGAUCAAGUGCUCAACGUGGAAAAGAAGAAAAAGAAACACUAAAUCCUAUGGAGAUCAAGGCAAAGGUAUUGCUUAGGGCUUUGGUUUUGGUGAUCGGGACACCAUAGAGGGUGUGAUCACAUUUUAGGAUAGAUAUGCAUUCUAUAAAGAGGGGAAUUCUUUGGAUAAACGGUCUAUCAAGUGGCACUAGGUGACAUUGUUCAUGUGCAUGCAUUUAGAACCUAGUAUGCUAACUUAAUCCUUGAAAAUGUUUGUGAAAAUAUGCUAACACACGUGCACAAUGUGAAACACUUCGUGGUUAGCAUGUUUGUGUUACCUUUGCUUUUGUAGCAUCAUUAACUAGUGACUAUGGUACGGAUGGGGAUGUAGAAGAGUGGUCAAGCUAAGCUUCUUGGCAAAAUAUAAACUCACUAAAUUAUUGCAGCUACUUCCAUCAAUGAUGACAAGUGCUCACCAGUUGCUAAUAACAAAGAAAAUCUAGAACAAAAAUUAUGUUGUUGUAGCGUCUCAGGUUGUUAAAGUUGUGUAGUGAGCACUCGCUGCACAACGAUGCUCAUGUAGGCUUCUGUGCCCAUGGUAUCAAAGAUACAAAUGUUGGUGUAGUGAGAUCAUAUAUGCAUAGAUUAUUGUAACUGUUGUUUGAUUUCUUCCAGCUUACAUAUGUAAAGUCCCUUUUAUUUUUUUUCAUUUGUUUUAACAAGUGAUGUUUGUUUCCGAUGUGUUUUCUAUAGGACAUGGAUAAAUUUCAGCAACCUAAGUUAUUCACUCAUGCUCAUAACACCAAGAAAACCUAGCUGCCAGCACACACUAUUAGUUUGGUGACUAAGUUCACUUUUAAGAUUGGGAUGUGAGAUUUCCAUUCCAUUUCUUUAUUUUAUCUAAGAUAACUUGUGACUAAGGUCCCUCAGAGAACUAUUAGUUUGGUGUUCGUGAUGAAUGUAAUAAAUAUAUUGGUGAAUGACUUGUUAACCUAUUGAUUUGGUCAUGAAUGUAAUAUAUUGUUGGAUCUACAUGUGUUAAUAUGGAUUGUUUGAUGUUUGGGGUUGGGUACGUGAUGGUAUGUAUUGAGCCAAAUCAAUGAGUCAUCCUAUGUGACAAGGCAUAAGAACCUAUGACAUAAAAGUAGAAGUCAUAAACGCUUGUGACGUCUAAAACGAAUAUCACAAUAUUAUGACAUGAACACUUAAAUGUCACAAGUUGUCAUGAAAGACACAUAUCUUUUGAUAUUUCAGUUUUCGUCAACUUGGUGUCAUAAAUGGGGAUCUCUGACUUAUUUUUCAUGUAUUAUGACAUAUAUUGAAUGUCAAAAGAUAUCACAUUUCUUAUAGUGGGAGAGCACUAGCUUGCACGUGCGUGUUCGAGGCCCUGCCUCUGGAACCCUAGAGGGGGAGGGAUCGUGACUCAUGAGAGCACAGAGGAGUGGAUAAGCUAUCCUCGAAACUAGCUGUUCUUCCUUCUUGCUCUGCAUUCCUCUCCCAAAAUUCUCCUUGUCUUAUCUACCAGACUCUUAAUAGUCAACUAGUCUAAGAAAUAUUCAAUCCAUCCUAAAUUAUAAGGCAUUUGACUUUUCUACACUAAAUUUGACCACUCGUCUUGUUAAAAUUUUUUUGCAAAAUAUCAUUUAUUUUGUCGUGGCUUGGUUUAUUAAUAAAACUUCUUCGAAUAACUUAAAUUUAAUUAUAUUUGAAUAACACAAGUGGUCAAAUUUGGGGUUGAAAAGUCACUAGUACAAAAAAGCUCUAUGCAGACGGUUGAAUUUUUUUACAAGUGGUUUCAAUUAAAAAAUGCCUGUGAAAAGAAAUCGGCGGGCCCGACUAAAAAACCGCUAGCGAAAAUAAAUUUUUAUUGGCAGUUUUUCUAACAAAACCGCCAGUAAAAAUGGUGCAUUUGUACAGGCGGUUUCUCUAACAAAACCGUCUAUAGAAAUCAUGUAUUUCUACAGGCAGGUUUCCUAAGGAAAAAUCAUAUUUCAACAUGCGAUUUUUAAGAAAACUGGCUGCAGAAAUAAUUUCAAAUUAAAAUUUUUAAGCUUUUCAAAUGACCUCGAUUGAAAAAACUGCAAAAAUGAAAUUUGCAGAUCUCAAAAAGUUAUGAAACUUUUAGUUGAUAAUUUUUCAUUUGAAAUCAUCUUGUUGUUAAAAGCAACAUUUGAAUUUCUUAAAUUUAAAAUUCAAAUUUUAUAAAAGACCUACGAUGGAGAAAGUACCAAUAUAAAAGAUGCUCGGUGUAAGAUAAUAUGAAAUUUUAUAGUUGAUAACUUUUCCAUUUGAAUCUAUUUAGGGCCUCAAAUAAUCAAUGUAUGCUCGGUGUAAGAUAAUAUGUGGAGAGUGAUAAGUAGAGUGGUAGAUGAGGCUACACGUGAGGGGGAGGUCUCACGUUCAAAUCCCACCGAUCGUGUAGUGUGUGCUUUUAUGUAAAAAAAAUGCUCGGGCGAUUAGCUAGUGAGCUUUCCCAAGGAUUAAUUUUUUCUUAUUUUUAAAAGCUGAAUUCGUUGGCCCCUAAUACUCGUUGGCCCCUAAUACUGGCCGUUACGAAAAACGUUUAUAGAAAUAUGUUUAGAACCGCUUGUAUAGAGGUUCAUUCUACUAGUGAGUCAAACAUCUUGUAAUUUAGGAUAGAGAGAGUAGAUUUUCAAAUGCAGCGGUUGACCUGAUGGGUAAAUCGCUUUCAGAUGGAGAUGCGACUGCUAGCUAUACCGCUUGUGAAAAAUCAAUUGUGAAUCCCACCAGCCGUGUUGUGUGUGCUUUUAUUAAAAAAAAAUGCUCGGGCGAUUAGCCAGUGGGCUUUUCAUAGGAUUAUUAUUUUUUCUUAUUUUUAAAAAUCGAAUUCGUUGGUUCCUAAUACUGGCAGUUACGAAAAACGAUCGUAGAAAUAUGUUUAGAACCGCUUGUAUAGAGGUUCAUUCUACUAUAGUGAGUCAAAUAUCUUGUAAUAUGGGAUAGAUGGAGUAGAUUUUCAAAUGUAGCUUAUAUGGUUCGGUUGACCUGAUCGGUAAAUCGCUUUCAGAUGGAGAUGCGACUGCUAGCUAUACCGCUUGUGAAAAAUCAAUCCUGAUCAUAUCUAAAAAUAGAAAUCGUUACCGUACUGAAUCAGGUUUUGGUGAUCCUGCACAACUAUUCUCGACCAGCUACCAUUAAUUAAGGCCACUAAUGCCAGCCAAACUGAUGAGAAACUAUAAAAAUGGUAACCUCCGUCACACCGUCGUGGCAAUCAUUCACUCAGCCAUGUGGUGACGCGUCGCCGGCCGUGUCGUCUGCCUGCCUGGUAGGAAUACGAUCGAUCACUUUGUUGCGUGCAUGCGUGGCAUGAUUCUUCCUUCAUGUGGGCCUCCACAGAAGCCCACCUGCCCACUUGUCUACACUACCGGUCUCCUUCUCCAUAGUCCAUGCAUCCCACCUUCUCUUCUCCUUCCGGCAUCUCCAUUUAAACCGGAGCUCACAGCAAUGCGCAUGAGCGGUGUGGUUAGCUGUGAGGCGCUCGAGUUGCGGGGAGAAAAACAAAAGCUGUCAAGACUUUGCCUGCAGUUUUUUCCUUGCAAGGUUGCAAAUUUCAUCAAUGGCGAUGCCGGUGGAGAUGGCGGUGUGCAUCGCGCACAACGUAUUCUUGCUACUGGACAGCUGGAUCUGGACGUGCGUCCUCGCUGCCGACGAGGCCGCGCGCCUCCUCCGAUCGGCCACACGCUGAUCCUCUAGCUGACUCACGGUGAGGCUGUACCUGCUGUUAUUUGUCAUCCUUGUGACUAAUAACGGCUCGCUUCUUCGAAGUCACGAGGGGUGUUGUUUUAUUUGCCUAAUUCUCGGCAAUCAGGAUAGUUGUCACUUUUUUAGCUUUCCAUUCGGUUACUUUUGUUGCUUUGCCUUUCUGCAUUUAAAUUUUUUGAAUUAAUUAUCCAAAUUUAGGGUCCUAUUUGGAUCAAAGGAAAUUUUAACAAACAAAUUCCAAUGAAGAGAAUAGUUCCUCCAUUCUAAUGAUAAUUUGAUUUAACUUUUUAGAUACAUAUUUUUUUGGCUUUGAGAUACAUGAUUUUAUUAUAUAUCUAGAUAUAGUGCAUAUGUAAUAAGUGCAUAACAAAAACUACAAAAAAGCCAAAACGUCUUAAAUUUUAGAAUGAAAAGGGAGUAUAUAUUUAGGCAUAGUCUAUAUCUAGAUGCAUAGUAAAAAUUAUAUAUUGAAAAAGACAGAAUGACAUGUAAUUUGAAAUGAGGGAGUACAUGAUAGUGCUUAGAAAGGAAAGUUCUUUUCCAAGAAAAGGAAAUCAUGAUAGUGUUUACAAUGGAGGAAAUUUGAUUUUUUUCCUAGAAGGAAAUCAGAGUAGCAUAGAACAUAGGAAAAUCCUCACUUCAACCUAAGAGAAAUAAAUUUUGUGCUCUCUCUUGCUAUGCUCUCAUGUUUUUGUAUUUUUUCCUCAAUUCCAAAUAACUCAAAUUAUCCAUUUCCAUGUUGUGAAAACCUAUAGUUUUUCACUAUUCACUCUAUCUAAUUUCUACCUAUUUUUCAUUCCUUUGUUUCUAACAGGUCCCCAGUGUCCACGUACAAAGCCAAAGAUAUCAUCUACUCCAGUGUUAACCGACACCUAUACCCGAACUAACCGUAUAAAGUUCGGUUAGUUGGAAGCAGGGACCGAAUUUAUGACCGAAAAGUUCGGUCUCGGUCUUGGUCAGUUUGGUUCGGUCUUCGGUCUUCGGGUAAUUAUGCCCAGAGUGACUCCUACAUGACCUCCUCAACCAGUCCCCUUAGUACAGGUGAUGUACUUUUCACAAACUUUUGGUUCCAUCUGGGCCUUGUUUAGUUCCCCAAAAAUUUUGCAAAAUUUUUCAGAUUCUCCGUCACAUCGAAUCUUUAGACGUAUGCAUGGAGUAUUAAAUAUAGAUAAAAAUAAAAAUUAAUUACACAGUUUGAUCGGAAUUGACGAGACGAAUCUUUUAAGCCUAGUUAGUACAUAAUUGGACAAUAUUUGUCAAAUACAAACGAAAGUGCUAAUAUUCCUAUUUUGCAAAAAAUUUUGGAAGUAAACAAGGCCCUAGAGUUCCAAUGAAUAAAAGUCCACUGUACAUUUUGGAUGGCCGUACAGCCGCCUCUGCGUUGUUCAUCAAUGAUUUGCAUUAUGCUGUUCUGAACAUAACUUAUUGUGGUCACCUAUACAGACAAGUGGCUCUACGUACAUAGAGAUCACAUGUGCUUGUCUUUGGUUAGGUAGCACGUUCCAUUUCAUAGUCCAUAUUAAUUUUUCUAUUUAAUUUGAUGAUGUGGCAUGUUGGUUGAGAAGUUAAACAAUAUUUUCGCUCAAUUAAUAGGUGUUCAGAUAAUAGGCAACGUUAGUACGAAUGUCAAGCAAAUUAACCUCAUAUGGUAAAGUAAAAUAAAAAGAUAUUGUAGAAUAUAUAGUAUAUCUGGUAAUAUUGAUUCUUUAAAAAAAAAUUUCCUCUCUCCCAUUUCAGGGCUCCUCAAGAAUGUGUAUAGCAACGAUAGUUAGGUAUUGAAGUCGUCCAUGUGAUAUAAUCUUUUGUUUUUUCCAUUACAAGUAAUGAUUCUGAAACAGCUACUUAUUAUGUCCUUUCUUUUAAUUCAUCCUCUUAGAGAAUGAUAUUGCUGUGAAGUAUAUAUGUGACAGAAAGCAGCGGUGUUAAUUGCAAAUGAAUUCUUAUUAAUGCAUCAGUAUACUAGUUUCUUUGCAUUUCAUGGUGAACCUCAAGGAACAAGUAAUGCCCCCUUGAAUCUACAUUUUUUCUGUUCAGAUUUUUCUUUUGUACAGUAGUAGUUAUAAUAUAAGGUAGAGCCUUCGUUACUCUGUCAUUGUCGGAACCAUACCAAUUUGUGACUAGAGAAACAAAGUAAUCUGUCGCUACAGAUUAGCUGUUGUUGCGUUUGCCAAAGUUUUGAUUUGAAAUCAGGCAAAGACAACAGAAGUGAAGGACCUUACCCUAACAUGCAUAUAUAACCACCACCAAAACGGAAGAGACGACGAAGAUACAGAAAGGACAAAAGACAAUAUCAACUGCCUACAAGAUAUGGCAACUGCUCCGGUACUCUCUUUUUUUAAAAAAAAAAAAUCUACACGAAUCUAAAAGCACAUAAUUAAAAAAAUUAAUUAUUUAAUUAUCUUGGAUCUGGGUCCUGCCUGGCUCAGCCCGUCCAAGCAAAGACCUAGGUCCAGCCCAUCUGCUUAGCUCCAUUAGUGCCUCCGAGAUGGCGUCGCGAGCAGCCAUCGCUACCCAUCCCGAUCUUCCGUCGCACGACCAGUCCACAUGAUGGCUGGCGGCGUCGACCUGGCCGCACUCCACAAGCAGGUUGCCCUCGCAUCCUCCGCUGCCAUCUCCGCCUCCGACCUCGACCUCGCAUUCCAACUCUAGGUCACCGAGGCCAUCCAAGCCUCUCUCCGCUCACUCAAUGUCGCCGCCCCAUCCAAGUAAUUGUGAUUUUUAUAGACGGGGUGAGUCCCCGGAACAAAGUAAUCUUUCGUAUCCAUGGAAAAUUGUUUUCUUUACGUAUUCCGGCGGCUACUGCUGGCCUGGUUGGGUGACAGACCUUGUUCACGAGAAGCAGCACAGGCUAAGACUAAAGGUUCACCGUACUAGAUCAAUUAUAGGUACAAGUUAACUCCAUAAUGAAUUUUUAGUCAUGCCAAAAACCAAAUAAGUAGAAGAACGAAAGCCUGAUAUGUCCCUAGAGGUUAGUUAAACAUAAGAGGAACUGAAUAAUUAUUACCGUCAGUUUGAACUUUGAAGCCAGCAAUGAAUUAACUAAACGAGAACUUACUGUUGAUGACUUUUUGGUUUGGUAACAUAUCUCCUCUUAGUUAAAUUACUCAUAUUCUAUUGAUUACUUUCAGGUUUGGGAUACAACAAAUAUCUGAUGGAGCAGUAUGCAGAUGGACUGUUAUUCUAUCGACUCAUGCUUGUUGCAAGCUUUGCUCAAACUCUGGGUGUAACUUGUGAUUUGUUUGUGUUUCAUGAUCUGUAACAAUUAAAACUGUUAGUUUCGGCUGAUCCUGAUAUUCAGUACCAUGGAUCUUCGCCUCAGUAGAUAGGAGUAACAUCUUUUUUCUCGUAUCAGAUGUACAGUGACGAGUUGGUAUGGGAAAAGUUCAUUUGUGUUCAGUUUGGAGUAAAAGUUAUAUCUAUUGCUCUCAUGAUUGCUUGAGUGGAUGCCUCACUGUUGCACGAAAAAUACAAUUCACAAAAUGAAACCUGUGUAAGUUCGCAGUACGAGAACAAAAUUUACAAACUCAAACUCUGAAUAUUCAGUGAACUAUAAGCUAAAAUCCUGAAAUCUGAAACAAACUGUGCAACGGUGGAAGACACAAACACUAGUACACACAUGCUAUAAACCGGCGAGGGCAAAAAGUUUGCACAGGUUUAAUUAUAAUGCGCCUGUGUUGUAAAUUGGUAUGGCUAGAAUUAAAAACUGCCUGUAUAAAAGGUUCAGUACAAGCGGUUAUUGUAAGAAAACCGUUGUGUAAAUGGUUUAUUUAAACAGACGGUUCAGUUAUGUGAACCGCCUCUGUAAAUAUACUAACAUAGACGGUUCACAUAACUGAAGCGCCUGUGUAAAUGAACCAAUUAUACAGGCGGUUCUGUUACGUGAACCGUCUGUAUUAAUAGAUUUAUACAAGCGGUUCCAUAAACAAACCGCAUGUGCUUUAUCUUCCUAUAAAUACCACCAGCCCGGGCCCUUCUUUGACCUUGGGCGGAACUGUAGCUCGCAGCCACCUUCCAUUAUAGCCCAUCUUAGAGGUCCAGAUUUUCCAAAAUACAAGGGGGAGGUUUUGAUCUUCAUUUCUUGGAAGGAGGUGGCUAAGAAAGGUUAGUUGAUGCCUCUAAUGCCUAUUUUUGUGCCCUCUCGCUCAAUUUGAGCUACUUUUUAGAUCUAGGGUUUCAGCCUGAGAGGGAGAGAGUAGAAUAGCUAUACAUGGACUAUAUUUGCUCAAAUGAGGUUGCUUAAGAUGGUUAGAUGAUGUCUCUCCUCUCAUCUUUUUAUGUUUCCUUCUCUAAUUAGUGAAUCCAAUAAAUAUAUAUGUAGUAGUUUACAUGAAUGGUGUUUCCAUGCUUGGGAAGAGAGAGAACGAUAAGUUUUCUUUUUAGUUAUUUAAAUUAUAUUGUUUAGGAUGUUAUUUUUUAUGUAAAUUUGAUUUAAUUAUGAAAUAAGCAUUUUCAUGUAUGAGGUUGCUUAAGAUGUUGCCUCUCCUCUCAUCAUUUCCAUGUUUCCUUGUCAAAUUUAUUUUAGUGAUAUAAAGAUAUAUAUUUAGUUUCUAUCAAUAGUGUCUUUGUACCUUGUCAAUUUGAUUUAGUUGUUAGGUGUUCUUUUUUGAAUUAUUACUUAGGGUUUUGUCUUUAUUUUUUAUACUUGUUUUAUUUUUUCAAUUUGAUUUUAUUGUUAGGUGUUCUUUAUUUUUGAUAACAAAUAUUCCUAGACAAUAUUUCAAUUAAUUUACUAAUUUUUCAAACGCUCAUGAUGGAGAGGUCCUUAUGGAUGUAUAACUUAUCAAGACUAGAUCUAUCAUAUAUACCCGAGGUGUAUAGGUUUGUUGAUGCCGCUAAGAACCAUGCUUUGAGAACAAAGAUGAAGCACAUAUAUUGUCCAUGCUACGACUGUUGAAAUAUUGUUCUAUUUGAAGAUUUUGAUGUAAUCAUUUUUCAUCUAGUCUGCCAAGGAAUGAAGGAUUACUUGAUUUGGACAAAGCUUGGAGAGGGUAGCUCGGCGCCUUAUACAGUUGGGGACCCAGCAAACGUCGACACCGAUGGACCAGGCAUGCCUGCUGAUCAGUUUUUCCACGACACACCCUACAGUGAACAUGUUGUGCCAAAUGUUACCGCUGGUGGAUUCGCUGGGGGAAAUGGUGGUGUAAGAACUCAUGUCUUACCAAAUGAUACGGCAGCGGACGAUGCAGAAUUCUUGGAGGCAAUGUUGCGUCGUCAUACUAAACCAUCAAUGUUAUUAAUGAAAGGGAUGGAGGCCUUGAAGAAGGCAGCAGAAGAGCCUUUGUAUGAUGAGUCUAAGGGUUGUACCAAAGAGUUCACAACGUUGCGAGCUGUGCUAAAACUGUUGAUGGCAAAAGCCAUGUAUGGUUUGUUUGAUGCUGGAUUUGAUGCGUUUGUUGACGGUCCUUAAGUAUCAAAUUUAACUAUCAAAUAAACAAAGAAAAGGAUCCAAAUGAAAUCAACAUCUAGACUUAGGGUUUUAUCUGACAGAAUUCCACGAGUUUUGGUGUUUGUCUAUUUCUGCAGGGUGUUAUCAGAAAAUAAGGAAGAAAGGCCCACACGUCGGGAUUACAUAGAGAUAUUAACGUGCUGCGCAAUUAUCUUACAUCUAGAAGACUCCAGAAGCCACGAGACCGAAGCGGAGGCAAAACGGGGCCAGAGACAGGGCGCCCGCCCUGUCCUACUGGGCGCCCGCCCACUUCCUGUGGCCAAUCACGCUCAAUCUCGCGGAUUAUGCUCCACCGACCUAAAGGAUCAAGAAUAACCGUUCAAUCUAUGUCGGUUUGAUCAGACGGCCCAGGUUCACUUGAGGGGACUAUAAAACCAGACCCCCUGGCCCCUGGAGGAGGCACCCCUUGAUCAUUAUUCAUUAUUCAUAGACAGAGCAAAAGCUAGGGUUUAGAGAUGAGAGCUCUCCUCUCUUCUCUAAACUAGAGUAGAUCUAGCUAGUAGCGAGAUGGAGAGCGAAGGAGGAUUAGAGGAGAGGCCGGCCUGUCGGUUCUUCCUCCGGUUGUACUUCUUCAUGAUCGAGCUCUAAUCAAGCUUGCUCAUGGGAUGACUCUGGUAAUCUACUUCUAGUUCAUUAUGCAAUUACUAAUCAUGUAUGUUCUGGUUCACAACUCUUUUGAGUACUUCUAAUCUAUAGGACCCUAUAGGUUAGAGUUGUAGUAUAGGUGUAAGCGUGGUGCUUAGACCUAGAUUACUUGUGGAUAUCCCCUGACUAGCUGGAUCGUGUGGUAGGCCGCGUAGGUGACAGUUACGUUGGUCCCCUGUAGUCCACCUCUCGUUAGCAGGACGGGUAGGGUUUAUCGGCCUAUGGAUAAGCAUCCUUUGUGGUGUACUCUUAUCACGUGGUUCAUCCCAGACAUAGACAUACCCCUUUGAAGUAGAGAAACCAUAGUUAUCCUCUCUAUUCUGCUACCAUCGCCCAUAUACUAGAAUUGCUCUAUUCUCUAUUCCCAUAUUAUCACUCACUGUUAUCUUACCUUUAAUAUUGUUCUUAUUCGAUUCUAUCAUCUUUCCUAUUUACACCUAUCUAUCUAUCUUGGUUAAGUUAGAGCAUAGUUGGUUCUCCCGUUUCCCUGUGGAUACGAUAAAACCUUUAACCGGGUAAAAGCUUCAACUGUAUCCGUGCGCUUGCGGAUUAUCUGUGUGCGUAUAAAUACCAUAGUACACUCUAGUGCCAUGCUGGGGAUGACAACCUAGUAUUCAAGUGGUGUUAGCAAGUGUCAACAAGCAUUUUUGGCGCCGUUGCCGGGGAAACGGUUGCUGAGUUGACUACGAACUAGCUUAAUCAUUUUCUAAAAACAAAUAAAGAAAAAUAUUUUCCUUUUAUCCUUUGCCUCAUCUCUGCUAUUCUUUCUUCUUAUCUAAUCCUUGAUCUCUAGUCUAUUAUGAAUUCAAACAUGUCUAUCUAUGAAUUUCAUAGACCUAUGGGCACACAUCUCGAACCACCAAAAUCUUCAAAGCCUAUCAUAGCAUCUAGUUUUGAGAUAGACCCCGAAUACAUAGAAUUUAUUCAAAAACAACCUUUCUUAGGAGAAGGUGAGGAAAACCCAUACACACACCUAAGAGAGUUUUAUCGAGUCUGUGACCUCCUUCGCACAGAAGGCAUGUCCGAUGAGACCCUUAAAUGGAAGCUCUUUCCGUUCUCUUUAACGGGAAAAGCUAGACAUUGGUAUAAACUCAAAGUAGGGAGUGUUCAUGGAGAUUGGAAGGAGUUAUAUAGUAGUUUUCUUUCUAAAUAUUUUCCAAUCUCCAAAGUGGUGGAACUUCGGCGUGAGAUUCUUUCUUUUAGACAACUAGAAGAAGAAUCUCUUGGCAAAUCAUGGGACCGCUUUAUUAACCUUACUCUCACUGGCCCAAAACUUUCUAUUCCAGAAGAAGUUCUUCUAAUUCACUUUUUUGAGGGCCUUAGUAAGGAAGAUAAGCAAACCCUUCAUGCGGCCUCUGGAGGAUCUUUCCACCACCUAUCCACUAGUGAAGCUUGGAAUUUGAUUGAUUUAAUGAGCGGAAAGUCUCCUAGCUUUUAUAUCCCUGAGAAAGAGAAAGAACCAGUUCCUAGACAAGAAGAAGAAGUUUCGAUAGCCAGAUCACAACCACUUCAAUCCCAAACUUUAGCUAUCGAUCCUAAACCAUCAAUACCCCAAAAUUCUCCAAGGGAGGAAGGAAUUCCGACCUUAAAUCUUUUAGAUGCUGAUGGUUUAGACUUCUGGUUCUAUAAGAGACCUUCAAGCAGGGAUAAUUCAAAUCAUUGCAAUAAUGUUUCUCUUAGAGAAUGUCCUCAUUCCUGUUAUGAAGAAGUCGAGGAUGACAUAUCAAGUGAAGGAGAGCUAAGCCAUAUUGAAAAUUCUAACACCUCCCUUUUCUUGAUCACAAGUUCUAAAUGGCUAGAAUGUGUAGAAUGGAUGGAUAAGCAAGAAGCCUUAAUAGGUUCUGACUUUGGCUCAAUUUCAAAUGGUGAGUUCUUGACUCCCUUUGAAGAUGAGAUUCAUCCAACUACAAAAGAGGACAUAGGUGAGACCAAUCCAGGAGAAACUCCGAACAUUCAGAUUAGAGACGAAGAUAACAUUAAUGAGCAUGGAAUUUAUUUCAUAGCCACUUCGUUUACUCCAUGCUCAUAUGCAACAUCUUCCCAAUCUAUUGGUCUCUCCGACAUCACCACACUUGAGAUCUCCAACCCCCUCUUCCUUUCUAUUUAUAAAAACUUUAAAAGGGCGGUUGUCGAUGCAUAUGUCUAUAAUAAAUAUUGCAGAUCUCGUUGAGUUGAUCUAGAUAUAGGUUGGCGUCGGAGGGGAAACCACUUCGCCAACAUAAACUGAUGGUUUCCCAAGGACAAGCUUAGUGUCUUAAAAUAAGCAUUGAUCAGAUCGUAACAUGAGCCUUUAUUUAUUUGCAACAUUACCUUGUGUACUGAGCAUAUAAGGAUAAUUGUAAAAAAAAUAUUCCUUCGGGUAUUCUUGUCACUAACCUUUCUAAGAUUGGAGCAAGAAGAUCGGAUGAAUGACAAGCACAAGGUAUGUCCAACCAAUCAUCAUACAACAUUGAAUUAAAUUCAUCCAAACUUGAAUUUUGCAAAAUUCAAGCUUGGGGGAGUACUUUACAUAAAAACAUCCUUUGCCAUGUUGCUAUGCUGGUUGUCCAUACCUUUGAGACAUGCUCAAUUUGUUAAAUACUAAUCACACUACUUCAUCUCCACUUGAGUAGAUCUCUAUAAAUGUUGUCAUGCUACCUUUGUCUAUUUACUAGCAAGUGUUCGUUUGGAAGUACUCGCCAUACUUCCAUUGGCAUUUAAAUUAAGCAUGGUGCUUAGGUUAAAUAGCCUUCCUUAAUCUGAUUAGACAUGGAGUCUAGUUUGGUUAUUGAACUAAAAAAAACUACUUGAGUAGAUAUUGGUAUAUUUUGUCGGACUAACCCCUGCAGAAAAACUUUCAAUAUCAAUUUGGGAAGUCCUGAGAUAAACUCACAUCAGAGACGAAGAGAGUGACACAUGAAGUUUAACAAUUAGCACAAGAAGGACAUAGCUCAUUCAUCAUAGAGAGAUGAUCCAUGGAGGGUGCCACAGACACGAUGCACAACCGCUAAGAAAGGAAAGCUUCCACAAGAUGAUACUGUACCAUCACUCUUCAAGAAAGGUAACAUCUUAAGGUACUUGACUAUCACUUUUAUAAGCUUCUCCUUGGUUCUGGCGUUCAUAUAAAUAAAAGAGACAAACAUGUAUGAUUUACAACUCUAGAUUAACCAACCCAACUGAUCAAACAUGUUUAGUCCUUUAAUCCUUGUUCUUAGUACUACCUCCAUGAUCCCACACUCCUAAUCAUAUGAGCUAAAAUGUUACACAUUCAAUCAUUGAGAGAUAUAAAGAAAAAGACAUAUACAUAGAUAGAUUAUCUUCCCAUAAGGUUGAGCGAUCUGAUCUGACAAAUGUUAUAAGUGCUACACUCAUGAACUUAUCAUCCAUCAACAUGUCUUGCUCACUAUGCUUAAGGUUAGAGAAGAACAAAUACACUUUUGGUUCUGUUGGUGUUUUCCACCAACAGGGCCCAUGCACUUGAUCUCUGCCUUGUCUCUAUGAGCAGGUACACUACGAGCACAAACACACUGAGCAAGAUACUGCUAACACCUCACUUCGAACUGCUGGGCAAACGAAGAACAUGGGUGACACCGUAUUAAAAGGUGCAGACGUCAAGGUCCGCACCUGAAUCAAAUGACGCACCUGAAGAAUGAACACGGUGAGAAGUCUUGUCAAGAAGACUUAAAACAUUGAACCCUCGCCGAAAGGUAAGAUUGGUAGUUAUCUAUAUUUAUCCUUUCUGCAUUCCCUUUUCCCUUUAAUUAUUUACUUUCCUUAAAUAGAUUAUUAGUUAAUCAUGCUAUCUUGAAAAGAAAAUAAAAAUGUUAAAAAAUACUAAGCCCCAUGUGAGUUACGAGUGGCAUAAAACCCAUAAGUACCUUCACUGUGGUGGCAUAAAAAUAAAAUAAAUAUUUCUUUUCUACUUUAUAAAAUAAAAAUAUAAAAACAGGGAAUAAUAUUUAUUGAGGAAGCUCAACGUGAUGAAGGCUAGAUAUUUAUGCUAACACUUAAUUAGUUCCACAAGCUUUGUUGUCUAUUUGAGCUCCACAGAAUUUAAGAAUCAAGAAGACUAGCAGACGGAGGACAUUCUAAUCGCUGUCAGAAUGCUGCUGACUUUCAAAUACACCUCUGCCACCUGCUAGCUACAUCAAGAGAAAUUACGCCAAAAUUCAGCUUGGGGGAGAGCACCCCUAUUUAUCUCGCUAAGUAUUUCUACCUAUCUUUAUACUUAUAUUAUAUUAGAAUAUUAAAAUACAUAAACUAUGAAAAACCAAAUAAAGAUUUUAUGCUUAUAUAUAUAUAUAUAUUUUCUUAGUUUGCUAAAUAAAUAAAUAAAGUUUGCUAUGAAACUUAAUAUUAAAACUCUAGCAUGGAUAUGAUGAAUAGUUGCUCUGCCUAAAUUGCAAAUUUAAAGUUCUCUCUCAAGUUUAGACAUAACUGUUAUAAUUUAAAGCUCGCUCUAGAUCUAAACUUGUGGGAUAAAAACUUGAUCUGAAAUCUAAGUUGUUAACGGAUAUGAUAUGGGAAGGUUGAGCUGCUAUUUAUCUGUUCCUAGAGAUGCUAGAAUUCUGGAGAAUUUUAUCUUUGAAAAAUCUUUAAAAUAUUGCAUGAUGAGUUCCUGUAUGAUGAGAGUUUAAAUUCCUACCACAGCCAUAUAUACAUGCUCGCUAGACUUUGAGCCACACAUUUAUUAUUUACUACUUAUGAGCAUUGAGUGUGGUCAAGCUGUGUAGACCCUUAGGAGCUUGUCAUGUGGUUAAAUCAAGAUUCACUUGCACGUUCACUCAAAUAUGCUACUUCUACUCCGGAAGUACCAUCCACAUAUAUCCAUCCAUUUCCAUCUCCAGUUUCACCCAAAAUCAUUCUACUCCUAAUCCGGGAGAGAAUAGCCAAAAACAUUUUCCUAUCCCUGUUAUUCUCUGUGAAAUAAAUACUUCAGUUAUUUUGGUUACUACCACUUGCUACAUUAUCUCAAGAGAUGAAUGCUCUGAAAAAAUAGAAGAAAAAAAAAGAAGAAAAAAAAAUAAAUAAACGAGGAAAUAAAAAGGGGCAAGUGCCCGGAACCUCGAAAGAAAAGAAAAAAAGUAAGACGAGAGGUAAAAAUGGACAAGUGUCCGACAGUAGAAUUAGGGGUACAAGAUACCCAUCUGAGAGAAAAGAAAAAGAAGAGCAUCUCAUUCUCCUCAUAAAGUUUCAAAAAGCAAGGAAGGUAUGUACCCCCUCAAAAGAGCAAAAGUAGAAUGAGACUUUCACCAUUGUUAUCACCAUCAUCACCAUACACCAUUCAUUCGCCACACAUGCACAUCUUGAUUUGGCUUAUUGAUUUGUUUCUUUGGAUCCAUGGUUUGACUACACAAUAAAUGUCUUGUAAGUAUGUAUACUUUAUCUCCCACUUAUAAGCUCCAGAUAUUAAAGCCUUAUUAGAGUAGGGUGAGAGAGAAGGCAAUGUCACUGUGCCUUAUACCACAAAUACCACAUAUCUUGAGAGAAGGCAUAUACCAUCACUGCCUUGGUAAGGAUCCAGAAAUACCACAAAAGAGAGAUUUAGAGAGUCAUACAAGGAAUCUCUGAUUUUUAUUUGAAAAUCUGCAAAAACUCCAGAGCUAUAGCUGAUCAAGAAUAAGAGACAUGACACUUGGCUAGACUGUUCUAUCUUUUAACUACUCAAGACAGAAGUGACGGUUACAAGUCCCAUGGUGAAAGGUAAAGUAAGUAAGUUUUAGUUCUUGACAGUUUACUCUAACUCAGAGAUGAGAACUUAUUUAAAAAGCAUGUGUACCGUCAAAUUUUUAAGAUAUUUGCAACAACUUCUGAUCCAUUGCUGAGUCUAUCCUUGCUCAGGGACGAGCAAGAGGUAAGCUUGGGGGAGUUUGUUGACGGUCCUUAAGUAUCAAAUUUAACUAUCAAAUAAACAAAGAAAAGGAUCCAAAUGAAAUCAACAUCUAGACUUAGGGUUUUAUCUGACAGAAUUCCACGAGUUUUGGUGUUUGUCUAUUUCUGCAGGGUGUUAUCAGGAAAUAAGGAAGAAAGGCCCACACGUCGGGAUUACAUAGAGAUAUUAACGUGCUGCGCAAUUAUCUUACAUCUAGAAGACUCCAGAAGCCACGAGACCGAAGCGGAGGCAAAACGGGGCCAGAGACAGGGCGCCCGCCCUGUCCUACUGGGCGCCCGCCCACCUCCUGUGGCCAAUCACGCUCAAUCUCGCGGAUUAUGCUCCACCGACCUAAAGGAUCAAGAAUAACCGUUCAAUCAAUGUCGGUUUGAUCUGACGGCCCAGGUUCACUUGAGGGGACUAUAAAACCAGACCCCCUGGCCCCCGGAGGAGGCACCCCUUGAUCAUUAUUCAUUAUUCAUAGACAGAGCAAAAUCUAGGGUUUAGAGAUGAGAGCUCUCCUCUCUUCUCUAAACUAGAGUAGAUCUAGAUAGU
Molecule: long non-coding RNA, 168093 nt
Filed under: Sorghum bicolor (sorghum)
Lineage: Eukaryota; Viridiplantae; Streptophyta; Magnoliopsida; Poales; Poaceae
Description: long non-coding RNA (SBIC_LNC014457)
Rfam family: Plant small nucleolar RNA R71 (bases 139151-139259)
Source: RNAcentral